Molecule: long non-coding RNA, 124546 nt
Filed under: Sorghum bicolor (sorghum)
Lineage: Eukaryota; Viridiplantae; Streptophyta; Magnoliopsida; Poales; Poaceae
Description: long non-coding RNA (SBIC_LNC008289)
Rfam family: MIR5387 microRNA precursor family (bases 76216-76309)
Source: RNAcentral
ACUGUUGCAUCAAGGAGGCACUACGGAUGCACCCUACAGCACCAAUGUUUCUUCGCAAGGUGCACAAGAACUUUACCGUACGGACUAGAGAAGGCUAUGAGUACGAGAUUCCAAGUGGGCAUACCAUAGCAAGCCCUUUGGUCAUAAACCACAACAUUCCAUACAUUUACAAGGACCCUAAUGUGUAUGACCCACACCGGUUUGGUCAUGGAAGGGAGGAAGACAGAGUUGGUGGAAAGUUCACUUACAAUGCGUUCAGUGGUGGAAGACAUGCUUGCCCGGGGGAAGCUUAUGCCUAUAUGCAAGUGAAGGUGAUAUGGAGCCAUUUGCUAAGGAACUUUGAGCUCAAGUUGGUGUCAUCAUUCCCCGAGACCAAUUGGCUAAAGCUUUCCCCAGAACCUAGAGGGAAAGUGGAGGUCAGUUACAAAAGACGGAUGCUAUCUAGGAGCAUCUUGGAAAACUUAUGAUUACUUUUGUAUGAAAUGUUUUAUAUGUGCAUGCUUGUGUAAUAAACAAGUUUGUAUGCCCACACUCGUUGUACACUGAGGAAGGGAUCUUCAAAGUCUCAUACAAAUAUAAAAUGAAAAUGGAAUCAGUGUACAUCUUUUUAUGCCAUAUGAAAAUUUUCACUGAAUACUUACACUGAGUAGCAGUUUUAGAGAUCUAGCUCUGCUUGGCAUAACAAUUUAAAAUAUGAGAUCAUUUCUUGGUUUCCAAAUAUCCCAAUCUCAUAGUAAUGAUUUUCAGAUAAAGGAUAUAAAAUCAAGCCUCUAUAUCUACUUGGGACAUAUAUGAGCUCUUACGCUCAAAGUCUCAAAACUAAGUAGCAGAAAACAACAAGAAACAGGGCUUACAAACUAAUUAAAGCUACACACACUAAGAUUCAAAAGUUCAUAUCUCUCAUAGCUUCCAUCCUUUCUUGAUUUUGCGUAGCAGCAACUCUCCAGCUCAUAUGUCCUCAAGUGGCUACAUUCAUCUAGUGAAAAUUGCAUGCAUCUUGCUCCAACUCGCACGCUCAACAAGGAAAAGGUACAUCAAACACCUCAAUUUGUUGAUUUUUGAUGUCCCCUCCAUCUAACGUCCAAGAACUCUUGGACAUUAUUCAACAAUGCAUGAUAGGUAGAGGGGACAAACUGAGGUCUACUUAAGGCAUCCAUCUCUAUUAAUUUAUUAAUAGAGGCAGACUUCCUAAUGAAACCACCUCUAUUGUAUCAUGAGUAAUGGAGGUCGGCAUCAUAAAGGACUCACCUCGGUGUUGACGGCAGACAAGUACUCCUUUUAACCAUCAACAUAGCAUGAGAAAGGACUAAAACCAUAAUACUAUCAAGCUAUAGGGAUUAUCAUUAACAGAAUUCCACAAGUUUUGGUCAUUGACUAUUUGUAUAGGGGUUAUCAGAAUAAGAACAAAGGAGGUCCACAUGUUAGAUUUACAUAGAGAGAAUACGUGAAACGUCAACACAGGAAUACUCCAGAACUCGGGAAGACACCACCUGAAAGGUGGGGCCCACCUGCCAUAGGGCAGGGGAGGGCGCCCCACCUUGUUAGGUGCGACCGCCCAGGGGGCAGAGCCAAUCAGGCUCCACCUCGUGGAUCUUGCUUCCACCGCCUUGGAGGAUUAAUCUUAAGCAUACAUUCAAGGGUUGUGGUGCUUCCUAGGGUGCUACAAAUACAAGCAUGACCCCCCUAGAGGAGGAGUUCAUAAUUAUUCUCUGAGAAGAUCAAGAGAAGAAUUAGUGUAGGAUCGAUAUACUGUAGGAUAGGCAAUCAAAGGGGGGGUGAAUGAUUGCGUAAGCCAAAAUUAAAAUCUAAAGUUCACCCUAAACACAAAACCAAAGUAAGCCCUUUUUAAUUAAGACAGAACAUUGUGCUUUUAAUAGAAAUAAACUCGACCAAAAAUAUGCUCCAAUUGACCUCAAAAUUUAAUACAAUAAACUAUAUAAAAUAUGCAAAUGAACCCAACUGGAAUCAUGUUAAUCGAAGGUCUAGAACUCGAGGUAUAAAAUAAACAAUAUUAAUGUUACUGUGUGUGAUAAUGACGAGAACUGAUCCAGUUCUACUUUUGAUUAUGCGACAUCAAUUAAAGCUUAUGCCAUGAGACUUUUCAGAUUACUAGCACAAUACCCUAGCAACAAAAAAAUAUGUAAACUUGCAAACAAGAUAUGAAUCUGAAACAAAAGGCUUGACAUGUAAAUCAAGAAGCUGAUAUGUAGAACGCGAUUAACAUCACACUGAUAUGAGAUAAUUGGACUUCAUUGCUCUCAUAAUAUGUUCACAAGAUGCAACUUACAAGCAUCCACAAGAGAACUCUACAAAAGUUCCCGAAGCACUUGAAACAACUACCGGCUGANNNNNNNNNNNNNNNNNNNNNNNNNNNNNNNNNNNNNNNNNNNNNNNNNNNNNNNNNNNNNNNNNNNNNNNNNNNNNNNNNNNNNNNNNNNNNNNNNNNNNNNNNNNNNNNNNNNNNNNNNNNNNNNNNNNNNNNNNNNNNNNNNNNNNNNNNNNNNNNNNNNNNNNNNNNNNNNNNNNNNNNNNNNNNNNNNNNNNNNNNNNNNNNNNNNNNNNNNNNNNNNNNNNNNNNNNNNNNNNNNNNNNNNNNNNNNNNNNNNNNNNNNNNNNNNNNNNNNNNNNNNNNNNNNNNNNNNNNNNNNNNNNNNNNNNNNNNNNNNNNNNNNNNNNNNNNNNNNNNNNNNNNNNNNNNNNNNNNNNNNNNNNNNNNNNNNNNNNNNNNNNNNNNNNNNNNNNNNNNNNNNNNNNNNNNNNNNNNNNNNNNNNNNNNNNNNNNNNNNNNNNNNNNNNNNNNNNNNNNNNNNNNNNNNNNNNNNNNNNNNNNNNNNNNNNNNNNNNNNNNNNNNNNNNNNNNNNNNNNNNNNNNNNNNNNNNNNNNNNNNNNNNNNNNNNNNNNNNNNNNNNNNNNNNNNNNNNNNNNNNNNNNNNNNNNNNNNNNNNNNNNNNNNNNNNNNNNNNNNNNNNNNNNNNNNNNNNNNNNNNNNNNNNNNNNNNNNNNNNNNNNNNNNNNNNNNNNNNNNNNNNNNNNNNNNNNNNNNNNNNNNNNNNNNNNNNNNNNNNNNNNNNNNNNNNNNNNNNNNNNNNNNNNNNNNNNNNNNNNNNNNNNNNNNNNNNNNNNNNNNNNNNNNNNNNNNNNNNNNNNNNNNNNNNNNNNNNNNNNNNNNNNNNNNNNNNNNNNNNNNNNNNNNNNNNNNNNNNNNNNNNNNNNNNNNNNNNNNNNNNNNNNNNNNNNNNNNNNNNNNNNNNNNNNNNNNNNNNNNNNNNNNNNNNNNNNNNNNNNNNNNNNNNNNNNNNNNNNNNNNNNNNNNNNNNNNNNNNNNNNNNNNNNNNNNNNNNNNNNNNNNNNNNNNNNNNNNNNNNNNNNNNNNNNNNNNNNNNNNNNNNNNNNNNNNNNNNNNNNNNNNNNNNNNNNNNNNNNNNNNNNCAAGACUAGUGCUAACACAUGCAUACAAAAGUGAACUACCCCAUAUAACGGUCAUACAUCAUGUCUCAAAGACUCACUUAAUACUUGUGGUUUCCAAAGUUUUAUCAGAGUUUGCAGCGGUUCACAAGUAUUAGUUAGAACAUGUGUAUGCGAGUGGUUAUCCAAACUGUCCGCCAAAAUAUAAUUUUUCUUUUCUUUUCAACCACGCCAAGUUCAUCCCUUAGUGCAAUGGGAAGCCGUCUUAUCACGAGUGGUUGUGGACUACACUACAAGGCUCAAGUUCGUCCCUUAGUGCAAGUGGGAAGCUGUCUUGAUACCUUGACGUGGGACAGUAAAGACCCAACUCGAUCUUUCAUGAUUACUUAGCUUGGAUUUCAAGUUUUAGCACAAGAUUAUCAAGUUGUCUAAGUCAAGUGCAUGACUCAAGAAACAUGAGACAUAGCAGCCUAGCAUACAUAUGAAAGCAACAUGGAUCUCAACACAUCCUACACAUGCUAGUUGCCAUCUCAAAUGGUGAACAUUUUCAAGUCUCAACAGUGAUUAGUCAAGUUCACAUGUUAGAAAAUAGGCUCAUCUUAUAAUAUGUAUCAAUGCGAUCAAAAGGAUCCUAAGCAGGAAGUACUAUCAUGUACGCACAGAACAUACCAAAGAUAGCAUAGUUUUAUUCUAACAGUUAUAGUCAUGAAGCUCAAGGAUGUUCUAUCAUACAUGAUGAGAACUAAAUAUAGAAUUCAGCUCAAACUCUAGAAGCAGUUAGGAGGUUCAAAACAAAUUCUUAGAAACCACAAAAAAAAGAGUACCAUAUAGAGAAUGCAAAAUUGACUAUGUACGAGAAUAUAGACUCGCCCUCAAAACAAUCCAGAUAGAUGUAACACCCCGAGUUCUCCCCGUAGAAAAGCAAAACGAGAAGAAUCCAAAGGUUUUGUGAAAAUGUCUGCCAACUGAUGUUCAGUAUCUAUACGAUGAAGCUCAACGGUUCAUUUCUCAACAUGAUCUCGAAGAAAGUGAAAUCUUAUAUCGAUAUGCUUAGUUCUUGAAUGUUGCACUGGGUUCUUAGCAAUACAUAUAGCACUAGUAUUAUCACAGAAAAGGGGAACCUUAUUCAAAUUUAUCCCAUAAUCUUUAAGUGUAGCUACUAUCCAUAGAAUUUGUGAACAACAACAAGCAGUAGCUACAUAUUCAGACUCAGCAGUAGAUUGUGCAAUAGAGGAUUGUUUUCUAGAUAACCAUGUAAUAAGAGAAUUUCUCAAAAAAUGGCAUGAGCCAGAUGUACUUUUUCUACUAAUUCUACAACCUCCAAAAUCAGCAUCAGAAAAACAUCUUAAGCUAAUAUAUGAGGAAGCAGAAAGCCAUAUGCCAAAGUUUAGAGUACCACGUAGAUACCUAAGAAUGCGUUUGACAGCUUGUAGAUGUGAAGCACGUGGAGAAGCUUGAAAACGAGCACAUAAACACACAAAAAAUUGUAUGUCCGGCCUCGAAGCAGUAAGAUAUAAAAGCGAACCAAUCAUGCUCCUGUACUCCUUUUGGUCAACAGGCUCACCAUCUUCAUCAAGAUCAAGUGAAGUAGCAGCUCCCAUAGGCGUCAUAAUAGGCUUACAGUUUUCCAUCCCAAAACGGUGUAGAAGAUCCCUUGUAUACUUACUUUAAUGAACAAAAAUGCCUUCAUUUGUUUGUUUUACUUGUAAUCCCGAGAAGUAAGUCAACUCCCCCAUCAUACUCAUCUCAAAUUCUUUACUCAUCAUUUCUGAAAACUUAGUCACUAAAGCAUGAGAUGCACACCCAAAGAUGAUAUCAUCAACAUAAAUCUGAACGAAUAAUUGAUCAUUGCCUUGCUUAAGUACAAAGUGAGUUUUAUCAACCUUUCCCAUUGAAAAUCCCUUUUCUAUUAAAAAUUUCUUCAACCUAUCAUACCAUGCUCUUGGGGCUUGUUUCAAACCAUACAAAGCUUUUGAUAGUUUAAAAACAUGAUUAGGAAAUUUUGAAUUUUCAAAGCCAGGUGGUUGCUUAACAUAAACCUCCUCAUCUAUGUAGCCAUUAAGAAAAGCACUUUUUACAUCCAUUUGAUACAAUUUAAAACCUUUAGAUGCAGCAAAGGCUAACAAAGUUCUAAUGGCUUCCAAUCUAGCAACAGGAGCAACUGUUUCAUCAAAAUCUAACCCUUCUAUUUGUUUAAAUCCUUGAGCAACCAACCUAGCUUUGUUUCUAACAACAACACCAUCCUCACUUUGUUUAUUUUUAAAUACCCAUUUCGUUCCAAUUAUAGUGUGAUCAGGUGGAGGUGGAACAAGCUUCCAAACUUUAUUUCGUUCAAAAUUCUCUAAUUUUUCAUGCAUGGCAUUGAUCCAAGAUUCGUCAGUUAAUGCAUGAGAUACAUCUUUGGGCUCAAAAGAAGCAACAAAAGCAGAAUGAGCAUAUGAUUCAGUAUCAACAAACCUAGACCGUGUUACUCUUUCAUUUAAAUCUCCAAUCAUUUGCUCAGGUGGAUGUCUCCUUUGAAUGUGAUGAGGGGCUGAAAUUUUUGGAGCAUCUUCUUGUUCAUUUUCGACAUGUGUAGAUGAAGCAGUAGCUUGUGGAUGUCCAAUUGUUGCUGUAGUAGUAGAAGGUGUAGUAGGAACUUGAGGCGGAGAAAUAGUAUGAAUUGUGACCUCAUCAUCAUCAUCCUCAUCUUCUUCUUCGUCAAUAAAUAUGCUCUCCCCCUGAACAUAUGCACUUGUACCUGCAUCACUUAGACUAGUGCCAGGACUAGUCUCAUCAAAAGUAACUUCAGACGUUUCUAUCACUUUGUUAGUUGCCAAAACAAGCACACGAUAGCCACGUGAAUGAGUGGGGUAACCAAGAAAAAUGCCAUCUGUUUAUCUAGCUUCAAAUUUGUCUAAGUUUCCAGAUUUUAACACAAAGCAUUUGCACCCAAAAACUCUAAGGUGUGAUACACUUGGCCUAUGUCCAAAACGAAGCUCAUAUGCAGUUUUACCAAGUUUGGAUCUCAAAAACACACGGUUUGAAAUAUAGCAUGCAGUAGACAAAGCUUCAGCCUAGAAUUUUCUUGGAGUUUCAUAUUCAUCUAGCAUUGUUCUAGCCAUCUCAACCAAAGUUCUAUUUUUCCUUUCAACUACACCAUUUUGUUGUGGAACAUAUGGUGAUGAAAACUGAUGAUCAAUACCUUUUUUAGUGCAAAAAUGAUCAAAUGAAGAAUUUUUAAAUUCAGUUCCAUUAUCAGUUCUUAUAGCUCUAAGAGAUCCUGGGUGAUCAAUAGAUAAUCUAAGAACAAGACUUCUAAAAUGCCCAAAAGCCUCAUCUUUAGAUGCCAUAAAGUAAACCCAGGAGUAUCUAGAGAAAUCAUCAACAAUCACAAGUACAUACCACUUACCACCAAAAGACGAACUCUCGAUGGUCCAACUGUAUCAAGGUGUAGAAGCUGCCCAGGUGCAUUUGUCAUGACCAUAGUAAGUGGAGGAUGUGAACCUGUACACAUCUUACCAUGUCUACAAGAAGAGCACACUACAUCGCUUUCAUUUUUAAGUUUAGGUAAACCACGUAUAAGAUCCAUACCCCUAACACGCGUGAGAUGAUCAAAAACAACAUGCCCAAGUCUACGAUGCCAAAAGAAUAAGCCUUUUGAAACAUUGGCAACUAGACAUCUAAAUUUAGCACCAUGUACGACAUCAAAAUCUGCUUUGAAAACUCUUCCAAAUCUUGAAAUUUUAAAAACUAUAUCACCUGAAGAAUCUAACACUUUACAUUCACCCUUUUUAAAACAUACUUCAAGAUCUUCAUCAAUCAUUUGUGAGACAGAGAGCAAAUUGAAUUUCAAGUUCUCAACGAGAGCCACAUCUUUAAACAUAAACUUGUCAUUUACCUUCACAAUACCUUUUGCCAUGACAGGUGUAGAAGUAGCAUCUCCAAAUGUGACACUUUCUGCUUGAGAUGCAUGGGAGAGGGAGGAGAACCAACCUUUACAACCAGUCAUAUGACGUGAGCUUCCAGAGUCCACUAACCAUAUGUUCUCCUUCCUCGCUCGAGAAGCCUACAUAGAAACACAAGAUGUCGAGGCCUCAGUACUGGGUUAGAAAUUAAACAUUUAGGAAUCCAGUACUGAGACACACGACCGCUAGCAAAUGUAGGCACAGAAUGAGUGUUCUUACAUAAAAUUUUAGAUUGAGUACCACCCAUAUUUCUGGUCACAAAGGAAUAAGUCUUUCUCAAAUAAGAUGUAGCCUUAGCUUUUUCUUUCUUUUGUUGUUUGGCUAGUCUAAAACAAAAUUGCACAAUGUGACCCUCUCUACCACAAUGACUGCAAGUAUAUUUAACUUUAUAUUUUUUAUAAUAGAAGCAACAUUAACAUUUUCUUGAUUAGAAGAUGACAUAGUACCAGCAGAUUUAAAAACUGUCUUUUUAGUUUCAUUAGCUAUUUCAAACUUACCAUUACCAAGAGAUUUGGAAAUAAUUGGUGCAUGAGACUUGGAAUGAGCAUAAGCAUCAAAACCUAAGCCUGUUUUGUGUGUGCUAGUCUUUUGUUCCAAAAUUUGAUUCAACAUUUUUGUUCCCAUCUUUCCUUGCAAGUAACCAAUACGUUUCAAAAUGGCAGCACAAUUUUCACACGCAUCCUUUUUAGUUUUAUCAUUUUUACCACAAUUAGAGCAUGAAAGAACCUCAUGAAUAUCAAUGUUUUCUUUUAAUUGUGUUAUUUUAACAUCAGCAUCUUUCAGUUUUAGUUUAAGCAAUUCACAUUUAUCACAAGAAGUUGGUUCAACAGUAGCACAAACAUGUAUAUCAUUUUUAUCCUUUUCAACUUUAAGUUGUUCCAAAGUCAAAGCAUGCAUGUCCCUUAAUGAAGUAAGCUCAGUAUACACUAUAUCACAUGAUUUGCAAGAAUCAUCAUCAGGAAUUAAAGUUUUUAGUCGGUCAUUUUCAGCAUAUCAAGAUUCAAUCAAAACAUCAUGUUUCUUAAUCAUUUUAUUUCUUUUCUCUAGUAAGGUACCAAGUUUUUCAACAGCUUUAGCAAACUCAUCAUAAAGAAGGUUCUACCUCAUUGUAGCUGUCAUCAGAAGCAUCAUUGUCAUUGGACCUUUUACUACUUGCCAUGAGACAAAGCCCAAUUAAAUUUUUCUUUCCGUUGGAAGUGUCAUCCUCACUAUCAGUGUCGACAUCACUCAUAUUAACUUGCUCAAGAGCAGAAAGAACACGAUGCACCACCUUGCGAUUCAAAGCCCUUCUUCUUAUUGCUUCUUAUUGUGUGCUUCUUUGUUCUUUGGAUUUCAUCUUCUUCGUCAUCUUUAUCUUUUGCAACUCUUGCCAAAAACUUUGGGCACUUGGGACGGAUGUGAUUUGGAUCUCCACACUCAAAACACUUUUGGGGGCCACCGUAUCCUCUCUUCCUUGAUCUCACAUUUUGCAAAGCUCUUGUGAAGCGUGUAGAAAUAAGUGCCAAAUCUUGUUCUGGGAGUUGUUCUAGCUGUUCAUCAGUUAGUGAAGACAAAGAAGAUAGUGCAUAGCUGGUGGAAGUGUUAUCACCAUUAAAAUGGCUUGAUUGUGAAGCUAGAGCUAUUGAUUUAUUAGCAAUAUUUUUUCUAGCAAAAACAUCUAGUUCAUGAGUUUUCAGCUUAGAAUAAAGCACAUCUAAAGUAAGUGUACUCAUCACAGUAGAUUCUCUAAUAGAUGUCACUUUCAUCUCCCAGAUAGACAUAUCUAGAGCUCCAAGUAAUUGACGUGCAUUUUCAGCAUCAGUGUAUGUAACAUUAACUGCACGUAGAUUACUUAAAAUUUUAUUAAAAUGAGCAAAGAAAUAAUCUAAUGCUUCACCAGGUUUCAUCUCAAAACGCAUGUAAUCCUUUUUAUACAUAUCUUGGUGUACUUCUUUAAUUGUAGAUGAGCCUUCAUGGUAAUCACAGAGUGCUUUCCAUACCUGAUAUGCAGAUUUGAGAUGCACAACACGAUCGAAGUCACUCUUACCAAGCCCUUGAAUAAUAUAGUUCCUCGCCUUGCUGUUAGCUUCUACUUGUGCCAUGUUUGCCGAAGUUACACCAUCAAUCUCAGGCACUUCAUAAGGCUUGUAGACCUUCUCCCAAAUAGUGAAGCCUUGUGCCUGAAUAUAGGACUCCAUCUUUGCUUUCCAGAACUGAAAAUCAACACCAUCGAAAACACAACGUUUUGCCGAAUAUCUAUCUGUCGCCAUAUUUUCUAAUUACCGGUUAAGAUCAAUUAGAAAAAGAACCUAGCUUUGAUACCAAUUGUAGGAUCGAUAUACUCUAGGAUAGGCAAUCAGAGGGGGGUGAAUGAUUGCGUAAGCCAAAAUUAAAAUCUAAAGUUCACCCUAAACACAAAACCAAAGUAAGCCCUUUUUAAUUAAGACAGCACAUUGUGCUUUUAAUAGAAAUAAACUCGACCAAAAAUAUGCUUCAAUUGACCUCAAAAUUUAAUACAAUAAACUAUAUAAAAUAUGCAAAUGAACCCAACUGGAAUCAUGUUAAUCGAAGGUCUAGAACUCAAGGUAUAAAAUAAACAAUAUUAUUGUCACUGUGUGUGAUAAUGACGAGAACUGAUCCAGUUCAACUUUUGAUUAUGCGACAUCAAUUAAAGCUUAUGCCAUGAGACUUUUCUGAUUACUAGCACAAUACCCUAGCAACAAAAAAAUAUGUAAACUUGCAAACAAGAUAUGAAUCUGAAACAAAAGGCUUGACAUGUAAAUCAAGAAGCUGAUAUGUAGAACGCGAUUAACAUCACAUUGAUAUGAGAUAAUUGGACUUCAUUGCUCUCAUAAUAUGUUCACAAGAUGCAACUUACAAGCAUCCACAAGAGAAAUCUACAAAAGUUCCUGAAACACUUAAAACAACUACCGGCUGAUCCAGCAUGCGCUCUGCCUCACUUUUCUAUGGGUUGCACUCGUGUGCCUCUGCAAUUCUAUUUUCAUACAGACAACGAUGUAUUUGGAGAAGUUGCGGGGGUGUUUCUCGCUGAGAAAACACUCACCGGACGCUGGCUUCUGGAGCACCGGACGCUACGUCUGAGCGUCCGGUGUAGACAGUGCCUGGCCCAGCUAGGGUAAGGCACCGGACGAUAGGCACCGGACGCUGGCUUGAGCGUCCGGUGGUUAGCGUCCGGUGUGCGGGCGUUUUGCGACCCUCUUUGCGCAUGGGUUCUGUGAGCACCGGACGCUAAGGGUGCGUCCGGUGGCUUGCGUCCGGUGACCCUGCAAGUUUGCGAAGCUCUCUGCGCAUGAGUCCAGUGUGCACCGGACCGUCCGGUGCUCACUUGCUCAGCGUCCGGUGCACUGCAGGUGACCGUUAGAUUCUGACACGAGCGUGACACGCGGCUGACGUUGGAGCACCGGACGCUGGUGUUGAGCGUUCGGUGCCCCUUUAAGAGCGUCCGGUGACCCCGUAUUUCGCCCAGUGAAAGAGCCAACGGCUCUAUUUGUUUGAGGGGCUAUAUAUACGUGUUUGGCCGGCUUGGGGCUCACUCUCUUGGCAUUCUAGCAUACUUGACAUCCUUGUGAGCCUAAGCAAACACCUCCCACUCAUCUCCUUCAUAGAUUAAACAUCCUUGUGAGAUUGGGAGUGAUUCCAAGUGCAUUUGCUUGAGUGAUUGCAUCUAGUGGCACUUGGGGAUCGAUUUGGCUGCGGUUUUCUUGUUACUCUUGGUGGUUGCCGCCACCUAGACGGCUUGGAGCAGCGGAGGAGGAUUGGCACGAGUUGGUGAUUGUUCGUGGCCAUCUCCCGUGAUUGUGAGUGGUCUUGUACCUUCCCCGGCGGAGAGCCGAAAGGUAACUCUAGUGGAUUGCUCGUGUCAUUGAGUUACCUCACUUGUGGGUAGGUUCUUGUCGUGUCCUAGUGAGGACGAGGUUCGUGCUACACCUCUUAGCCACCGAACCACCAAGUGUUGGUCGACACAACGGGGAAAUAUUGAAGUAGAACAAAGUCAUAUUCAUAAUAUUGAAGAACAAAGAUAAUUAGAAAGCAAUUAGAAGCACAAUUAGAGAAUUACCAAGAAUCCUCUUGACAGAUCCGGAAACCAAUCAAAGAUUGACUCCUUCUAGUUCUAAUCCUAUGUAGCUAUGCUAAUCUAGAUAUCUAAUUGAUGUGGUGGCUCUAAUCUUGAUCAGAGGCUUCUUCUCCCUUGAUGGAACAAUGAAUUAGGGUUGAGAGGCUCUCUCCUCCAGGGGCCAGGGGGUCUGGUUUUAUAGUCCCUUCAAGUGAAUAUGGGCCCUUGGAUCAAACCGACAUAGAUUGUAUGGUUUAGAUUCAUCCUUUAGGUCGGUGGAGACUUCCCGCAAAGCAGAGUCCUGAUUGGACACAGGGGGUGGGCGGGCUCAAUGACCAACUGGGCGGCCGCCCAGGGUCUGGCCCCGUUUCGCCUCCGCUUCGGUCUCGUGGCUUCUGGAGUCUUCUAGAUGUAAGGUAAUUGCGAAGCACGUUAAUAUCUUUACGUAAUCCUGACAUGUGGGCCUUUCUUCCAUAUUUCCUGAUAACCCCCUGCAGAAAUAGACAAACACCAAAACUCGUGGAAUUCUGUCAGAUAAAACCCUAAGUCUAGAUCUUGAUUUUAUUUGGAUCCUUAUUUGAUAAUUAAAUUUGAUACUUAAGGACCGUCAACAAGCUCCCCCAAGCUUACCUCUUGCUUGUCCCUGAGCAAGGAUAGACUCAGCUAUGGACCAGAAGUAGUUGCAAUAUCUUUUAAAAAUUUGACGGUACACAUGCUUUUAAAUAAGAUCUCAUCUCUAAGUUAGAGUAAACUAUCAAGACUUAAAACUUACUUACUUUACCUCCACCAUGGGACUUGUAACCGUCACUUCUGUCUUGAGUGGUUAAAAGAUAGAAUAGUCUAGCCAAGUGCCAUGUCUCUUAUUCUUGAUCAGCUAUAGCUCUGGGGUUUUUGCAGAUUUUCAAAUAAAACUCAGACAUUCCUUGUAUGAUUCUCUCAGGUCUCUCUUUUAUGGUAUUUUUGGAUCCUUACCAAGGCAGUGAUGGUAUAUGCCUUCUCUCAAGAUAUGUGGUAUUUGUGGUAUGAGGCAUAGUGACAUUGCCUUUUCUCUCACCCUACUCUAAUAAGGCUUUAAUAUCUGGAGCUCAUAGGUGGGAGAUAAAGUAUACAUACUUACAAGACAUUUAUUGCAUAGUCAAACCAUGGAUCCAAAGUAACAAGUCAAUAAGUUUAAUCAAGAUGUGCAUGUGUGGCGAAUGAAUGGUGUAUGGUGAUGAUGGUGAUAACAAUGAUGAAAACAAUGGGGGUGGAAGUCUAAUUCUACUUUUGCUCUUUGAGGGGAUACAUACCUUCCUUGCUUUUGAAACUUUAUGAGGAGAAUGAGAUGCUCUUCUUUUUCUUUUCUCUCAGGUGGGUAUCUUGCACCCCUAAUUCUACUGUCGGACACUUGUCCAUUUUUACCUCUCGUCUCACUUUUUCUUUUCUUUCGAGGUUCCAAGCACUUGCUCCUUUUUAUUUCCUCGUAUUAUUUCUUUUUUUUAGAGCAUUCAUCUCUUGAGAUAAUAUAGCAAGUGGUAGUAACAAGAUAUCUUGAGCAUUUAUUUUACAAGGGGAAAACAAAAAUAUUUUUGGUUAUUCUCUCCCGGAUUAGGAGUAGAAUAUUUUUAGGUGGUUCUGGAGAUGGAAUGGGUAGAUAUAUGUGGAUGGUACUUCCGGAGUAGAAGUAGCAUAUAUGAGUGAACGUGCAAGUGAAAUCUUGAUUUAACCACAUGACAAGCUCCUAAGGGUCUACACAGCUUGACCACACUCAAUGCUCAUAAGCAGUAAAUAGUAAAUGUGUGGCUCAAAAUCUAGCAAGCAUGUAUAUAUGGCUGUGGUAGGAACUUAAGCUGUCAUCAUACAGGAACUCAUCAUGCAACAUUUUAAAGAUUUUCAAAGAUAAAAUUCUCCAGAAUUCUAGCAUCUCUAUGAACAGAUAAACAGCAGCUCAACCUUCCCAUAUCGUAUCCGUUAACAACUUAGACUUCAGAUCAAGUUUCAUCCGACAAGUUUAGGUCUAGGGCAAGCUUUAAAUUAUAGCAGUUAUAUCUAAACUUGAGAGAGAACUCAAAAUUUGCAAAUUAGGCAGAGCAACUAUUUAUCAUAUCCAUGCUUAAGUUUUAUUUAGAUACAGAUUAGCAUAGCCACUUUAUUUAUUUAUUAAACACACUAAGCAAAAGACAUAUAUAAGCAUAAAAUCAUUAUUUGGUUUUCCCAUAGUUUAUGUGUAUUUUAAUAUUCUAAAAUAAUAUAAGUAUAAAGAUAGAUAGAAAUACUUAUCGAGAUAAAUGGGGGUGCUCUCCCCCAAGCUGAAUUUUGACGUAAUUUCUCUUGAUGUAGCUAGCAGGCGGUAGAGGUGUAGUUGAAAGUCAGCAGCAUUCUGACAGCGAUUAGAAUGUCCUCCGUCUGCUAGUCUUCUUGAUUCUUAAAUUCUGUGGAGCUCAAAUAGACUACAAAGCUUGUGGAACUGAUUAAGUGUUAGCAUAAAUAUCUAGCCUUUAUUAUCUUGAGACUCCUUGAUAAAUAUUACUCCCUGUUUUUAUAUUUUUAUUUUAUAAAGCAGAAAAAUAUUUAUUUUUAUUUUUAUGCCUCCACAGUGAAUGUACUUAUGGGUUUUAUGCCACUCGUAUACUCACAUGGGGCUUACUGUUUUUCAUAUUUUUAUUUUCUUUUUAAGACAGCAUGAGCAUGAUUAACUAAAUAAACUAUUUGAAAUAACUGAAAGGGAAAGGGUAACUACCAAGUUUACCUCUUGGCAAGGUGUUCGGUGUUUUUAAGUCCUCCGAACGGGACUCUCCAUUUUCUCAAUCGUCCUGAGGUUCGUUGGGUGGCGUAGUCGGUACUUCCGGCAGUGCCUCCUCUUCUUGUAUAGUUAUCUUCAUUUUCCAUACCUGACUCGGUGCUUCAAUCUCCUCUGGUUAAUUCUGUUUAAACUCAACGUCUUCUGAUCUUACAACUUCUCCUUCAUAGUCUGCCCAUCCGUCCCUGAUGAUCUGCCUCCUCUGGUUGCGGUUGCGUCUCUUUCUGACCUGCUUAGAUUCUUCAACGAUAUAGUCAGGGUCAGUAAAAUAACGGCGUACCUUCUCUGAGGGGAAGUGCAUAUGGACUUCUCCGGUUCCAAUGUAGAUAAUCGCUUUAACGGUGCUGAGGAACGGUCUUCCAAGGACGAUGGGUGGAUCAUAUUCUUCUUCUCCCAUGUCAACAACUUGAAAGUCUGUGUAGACAAAGUGAUCGUCUAUUUUGACUGUGACAUCAGAUACUAUUCCUUUGACUUCUCGGAAUGUCUGAUCUGCCAUCUGGAGCUGAAUGUAUGUUGGUCUUAGUGGUAUGGUCCCGAACAAGAGCCGAUAGGUGACUGCGGCCAUUAUGUUGACGCCCGAUCCGGUGUCGCAAAUCGUCUUGUAGAAGUUGUAUCCAUUUAUGGAGCAGUAGAUGCUUGGCAUUCCUGGGUCGUCCUUCUUGGUCAAAAACGGUGACUUAAGUUGGUGAUCUUGACCUCCAUGAACUACAGUGACCAUCUUAGCUGACUCGGUCCACACUUGCUUGUUCCUGAUUCUCCUGUUGGUCCUCUUCCUUGAUUUACGUCUGGAUUGAUCUUGAAUUUGUGUAGUCUUGUUCUUGAAGAAAAACGUCUCCUUCUUCCCUUUGACGUAGAAACUGAUCUUGGCAGCACUAGCGUAGAUGAUAGCUCCCGUGGUGUUCAAAAAUGGCCUCCCUAGGAUGAUAGGUGCUCUCUCAUCAUUUCCGGUCUCUACCACUACGAAGUCUGCUGGGGCAUAUAUGGUACCAACUCGGACGCAAAGGUUCCAAACUAUUCCUUUUGGAAAAGUUAUCGUCUGAUCUGCAAACUGCAAACACAUGGUUGUCUCUAAUAAAGGAUAUGUAAAGAAUUUCUCAUAGAGUACCCUGGGUAUAAUGUUGACACUAGAGCCAAAGUCACAGAGUGCUUCUGGGAAGUCCACCAUGCCGAUGGAGAUCGGGAUGACGGGGCGUCCUGGAUCGCCUCUCUUGACCGGCAGACGGUCAGUAGAAAAUUCAGUGACGGGGUUACUCCAAUUACCUGCAUCAAACACGUCUACAAGAUUUGCAGAUUCUAAUCCUUCCGGUUGUGAUGGUAUACCAGGGUUAGUAGUAGGAACAGCAGCAGCUAUUUGAUUUAACUGAGAUUCAAUCAUUUUAUUAAAGCUAAUUUGAUUCUUGAUGGCAGUAGAAAAAUUAUCCAUCCUAUUAUUUAUAUUUUCUAACAUUUUAUCAUGAGAUGCCAAUUUCUUAGAUAGGUUAUCCAUUAGCUUUCCUUGAUUAGACACUAACUCUCUUAAAGGUGGAAAAUUAUUAUUAUUGUUGUAAGAAUUGUUACCUUGAUAAUUACCUGAGUAGUUAGGCCUCUGUUGAUUCCAACCUUGAUUUUGUUGAGGACGGUUGUAGUAGUAGUUGUUGUUGUUGUUGAUGUAGUUCACAUCCUCAAGUAUCUCAGGCCAGAGGUUGCAUGAGUGUCCAGUGUCUCCACACUCCUCACAAGUCAUGUGAGAGUCGUAGAUGUGCAUAACUUCUUUCUUGUCUCCAGCUCUAUCAUCGAGCUUCUUCAUGAGCAGGUCUAGCUUUGCAGACAGCAUAUCUACCUCUUUCAGCUGAUGCAUACCUCCACCUCUCUUGCGUGUCUGGGUCCUCUCUUCAUUCCAGCUUUGAUUGGACGCCAUCUUCUCCACAAGAGUUGUGGCUUGUGGUAUAGUAAGUGAUAAGAAUGCUCCUCCAGCAGCAGCAUCCAUGGUUUCUCGGGCAUUGUUGCUGAGUCCAUGAUAAAAUGUCUGCAUCAGUAGCCAACUCUCCAUUCCAUGAUGGGGACAUUCUAGGAUGUAGUCUUGAAAGCGCUCCCAUGCUUCUGGAACAGAUUCAUCAUUUUGUUGCUGAAAACUUGUAAUCUUCCCACGGAGAGAAUUGGUCUUGCCCAUGGGAAAGAACUUAGCCAGGAAGUUUGUUGAGCAGAGUGCCCACGUAGUAUUCUUCUCCUUUGUAGCGUAGAACCACUGCUUCGCUCUUCCUAACAGUGAGAAUGGGAAGAGGCGAAGUAGUAUAGCAUCUUUGGAAACUCCUGCUAUGGUGAAUGUGUUGCAAAUCUCCAGGAAGUGUUGUAAAUGAGCACUAGCAUCUUCGUGUGCCUUCCCACAGAACUGGUUGGAUUGCACCAUGUUGAUAAGUCCAGGCUUGAGCUCAAAGUUGCCAUCGAUCUCUGCAGCAGGUCCAGUGCGGAUGUUGUCCGUAGUGGGAGCUGAGAACUCGCGGAUUGAUUUGUUCGCCAUGGCUUCGAACUCUGAAGACAAGUUCCGGUGAUCUUCUUGAUUGGAUGAAGCUUCUUCGUGAAGUGUUGAUGAUUUCUUUAGCUUGGCUCUCGUCUUCUUGAAUAAUGCUUCAGGAUCGUCAACAAAAUUCCCUGGAAGAUGUCUUCUAUUCAUACAUUCCCCUGCAUAAGAUAAAAUAGAAAAAUAUCGGGGUAAAACUGUAUGAGAGAAUAGAUAAGCUCAAUCAUAUUAGUGAUGCGAAUGAUAACUCAAAAUCUUUUAUUCCAUUCCUGAUUGGUAAUCAACCUUCCCCGGCAACGGCGCCAAAAAUGCUUGUUGGGUAUUCUUAACAUCAUUACUAAAAGUAGACUAAGUUCUAAAUCUAGCAACGGUGCCAAAAAUGCCAACCUAUCCCUCACACCACUUAAGCCAAGUUGUCAUCCCCAGCAUGACAAUUGAGACGCGGUAUUGAAAUAUGCAAUUGCUAUUCUAAAUAAAUAAUGAAUGGGAUCUGCAAGCGCACAGAUUAAUACCGAUGUAGCAUUUUAAUCGGGAAGUAUUCCAGGUAUCGUUAUUUAUAUUUUUACCACUGGGAAGGGAUUAGAAAUCAUCACUAAUGAUUACAGAAUAGAAUAUGAGAUUGAGCAUCUAUCAUUGCAUGUAUAAUUGAGAACAUUAUAUCUAACUCAUCAUACAGGGAUAAGUGUCGCAUAAAAGAUAUAUGAAAUAAUAAUAGUGACAAGGAUAACUAAUCUGAUCUAGCCACAUAAUAAAUAUGAUAAGCACCUCAAUUAGAUACUCUAGAGAGUCAUUAGCAUGGUAUUAGAACGAACUACAAGAAUAUUCCCUAAGUUAUUCUCAACUAUAUAGUCUAGCAUUAUCAUAGUUAGUGCAAGCAUACUUAGCAAUCAUUGUGAGACAAGACUACGCCCAUGCAUAGUGAUAUUAGCAAGGAAUAUGAGAAACAUAGCAAUCACUCCCCUGUAAUAAUGUUGCUCUGCCAGCCCAAUACACGAGAGGGGGACUAUAUAAGAAUCAAUGAAGCUGUCACUAUCACGAACUACCCCACGAUCUGGCAUAUUGGGUACAAUCGCAGAUAAAUACGGUAUAAGCACCACGCCUACACAAUAUCUAUCAUUUACCCAUGGAUCCGAUGGAUAAACGCUAUACGAUCCUAAGCAUGUAUAUAGAUCAAAUCUAACUAAGCCAAGUACAUAACUAUGAUAAACUAAGAACAAUAUAAUCUUGAAUAUAAGCAAGUAGAGCAAAGUCAUAAGCAAUAUAUUGAGUAGAACAAAGUCAUAUUCAUAAUAUUGAAGAACAAAGAUAAUUAGAAAGCAAUUAGAAGCACAAUUAGAGAAUUACCAAGAAUCCUCUUGACAGAUCCAGAAACCAAUCGAAGAUUGACUCCUUCUAGUUCUAAUCCUAUGUAGCUAUGCUAAUCUAGAUAUCUAAUUGAUGUGGUGGCUCUGAUCUUGAUCAGAGGCUUCUUCUCCCUUGAUGGAACAAUGAAUUAGGGUUGAGAGGCUCUCUCCUCCAGGGGCCAGGGGGUCUGGUUUUAUAGUCCCUUCAAGUGAAUAUGGGCCCUUGGAUCAAACCGACAUAGAUUGUAUGGUUUAGAUUCAUCCUUUAGGUUGGUGGAGACUUCCCGCAAAGCAGAGUCCUGAUUGGACACAGGGGGUGGGCGGGCGCCCUGACCAACUGGGCGGCCGCCCAGGGUCUGGCCCCGUUUCGCCUCUGCUUCGGUCUCGUGGCUUCUGGAGUCUUCUAGAUGUAAGAUAAUUGCGCAGCACGUUAAUAUCUUUACGUAAUCCUGACAUGUGGGCCUGUCUUCCAUAUUUCCUGAUAACCCCCUGCAGAAAUAGACAAACACCAAAACUCGUGGAAUUCUAUCAGAUAAAACCCUAAGUCUAGAUCUUGAUUUUAUUUGGAUCCUUUUCUUUAUUUAUUUGAUAAUUAAAUUUGAUACUUAAGGACCGUCAACACAUGCAUGGAAAGUUGUAAUCCAACCAUUUUGAGAAAGGACUGCUUUUCAAAUCUUGUGAAUGACCCUGGAGUCACUAUAAUGAGCAACCCUUAGAAGCUUGUGACAUACUGCAAAGUUCAUAUGGCUUGCAAAAGUUUCACUAAAGAAGCUAAUGGUACAAGUAGCUCCUUAUGCUCUAAACCACUGUUUAUACACCAGGAACAAAGUACAUGGAACAGUUUGUCUUGGAUUCCUCCCAAAGUAACAAUGCUUCACUGAAGUCAAACAAAAGAGGAGAUUCUCUAGAUAAAGGUUUACUAUGGAGAGCAAGUAUCAUAAAAUGUUUGGACCAAGUUUGCUUCUCUGAUGUUCCAAGCAAAGUAGCCCACUGCUAUCGCUAAUGUUGGAAAAUGUGUGACAUUGUUCUCUUCCCUUGAAAGUCUUUUGCACCGAAUCUCGGGACGAGACUCUUUUAAGGGGGGGAAGGCUGUAACACCCUAGGUGUUUGUCACUUGCUAAGUACUAGGUUUGAGCUCAAACAUGAAAAGUUCAGUGGUACUAAAGAGGUCAAAGUCAAUCUAUGAAAGUAAGCCCUAACUUGGAUUUGGAUGAUGCACCUUUACUUAUAUAUAGGCCCUUUUUCAAAGGUAUGCUUGGAUGAUGCUAAUGGAACCUUUUUCAUGUGUCUUAUAUCCAUCUCAAUCUAUGUUGGUCUCUGGAAAAGUUUGGUGAAGUUUGGAAUCAAGAAGUCACAUGAAAUGAUAAGUUAUAUCCUUGCCGGAAUGGCUCUAUUAAGGAAAUAGAAUCAUGGGUCAUCAAACAACCCUUGAAAACAUGUUCAUAUGACUCUAGAUGAAUUAUACAAUAAAAGUCAUGAAGGGUUCUUGUUGAGCUUAGGCCAAGGAAAUGCUUCAAUUGGCCUAAAACCCUGUUUGGAGCUUUAUCGGGUUACUACUUUGACGAAAGUGAAAGAUUGACUUCUGUUGCAGUUAUGAGGUUUGACCCUAAAUAAACGUUGUAGUUUUCCUUCUGUAGAAGAAACUUUAUUCAAGGGUCAAAAACCAACUCAGCUUGCAAAUAGUUCAAACAGAGGCCCAAAGUUCGAAUCAGCUGCUGCUUUUAAGCCCUGAGAAAUAAUUCUAAGUCCCGGAAAGUGACAGCAGCAAGUUAGCUUCUUUGUGACAUUUUAGCAUCCAAAUUCAUAUAGUAACUCAGUUAGAUUACUUAAUAUGAGUUGGAGUACUCUUCUUGAUGAAAGCAAUUGAUCAAGUAUCAUCAAAUUUGGAGUUCAUUUGGAUAUCUAAAAGUAGCUCCCAAAACAGCAAAUGAUUAUUUUAUCGCCAAACAGACGUCGACCCGUUGGCAUGCCGUGUUCUCAUGUUUUUGUUAAGCAACUAAUGUUGGUCCAAGAAUAAAAGUGGUGGACAAUUACUUGGAGAAGGUCAUGUAAAAAGUUGCAUCAAGUUUGACAUGGUUUCAAUCAUCAAUUCUUGGUUUUGCUAAUCACCAUCAAUACGUUGACACUUGUGAAUUGGCAUCUAAUUAUCUCGUAAUAUGUUGGCGUAAUGACUGAGCACCCUUAAUUAAAGUUGGAGAGCAGGCCGAGGUGAGCAAACUUCGUUUUUGGCCCAUCUUCAAAUUCGGCCCGGAAGAAGCCCAAAAUCGCCUCCCAUCUGAGCCACACCGUCGCGUGCCACGUGCUCGACGAAUUGCCUACGCGGCGUCCAUGCGCGAGAGCACUCCCACCAUGGCUGACACGCGCUCCUGCUCGUCUAAAGUGGACAGCAAGCCACGCCAGACGCUCCUCACACACACCAGCACGCUCUGCACUGCCCUCCCAUCCUCCACUCGCCUUCUUCUCUCUCCAGCUCUCUCCCAUCUGUCGCCGUCGCCGGUGCUGCUCCUCUGGUGCGCUGCUGCUGCCUCAGCCGGCCAGGAGAUUGGCAUGACUAUGGUUGGCCGCGGCAAGGAGCGGGCAGGCCUCCCACGACCGUAGCUGGUGACCAUUCGGCCGUGAGCCUUCUCUGUCCGUAAAGAAGAAGAGAAGGGACCUCGUGUUAGAAUAUAAAACAACUCAGGGUUCCAGAUUCGAAGCCAGAACUCAUAUGAAUAGUGUUACUGGGCUGUGGCGUGAUUCUUGGAAAACUUAGGGUUCCUUGUGCAAAGUCGUUUUCUUUUAUCUUUUGUUUUUGCAGAUUUCGUGUAUCAACUUUGGAAAUGCAUAGUAAAUUGUAGACAAAUAGUAAAAUAGCAAAUGUGGACUUUUUGGAAUCCUUAUGAAAUUAUCUAUGCUGUAGAUCUAUAAUAUUGUAUGCUUUGGUUUGAAGUUUUAGUCGUAAAAAUAGAUUUAUGCAGUUAGGUUUUAAUUGCUUGUUAUAUUUGUCUUUUUCAUAACUGCUGUAUUAUUGCCCAAAUAAAUGUGAAAAUAUUGUAACAUACUUUUCAUAUGAGAGUUGAUGUCUGGUAAAAGUUGCAUGAAUUUAGGAGUGAUAUAUUAAGAGUUCUAAAAAUAACAAAUGCCCUGUGUUGCUUUGCUCUUGUUCUGAGUGGAUCUGCAUGUUUGCACUGUUUGGCACAGUUAAGUUGUGAAUCAUGCCAGGGUGAAAAUAUAUGAGUUGUAGUAAUUUUCAUGAGCUUUCCAGAAAGGUAAAUCGAACAAUUUUUGGUUAAGCACAUGUUUAGUUAUAGUGGUUUGAAUUACUGUUACAGUUUCUGUCUAAACCAAGACAGAAUUGCAUUGUUUGUAAUGUAAGACCUUGUUAGUUGUAGACUUAGCUCUAGAUGUUUAUAACAAAGUUGUUCACAAUUUCGUAAGCUUUCUAGAAAGUACACAACCAUAAAUUAUAGACAUGUGAAACUUAAGUUAUAACUGUGUAAUGUGGCAUGACAGAUUCUGUCCAUGUUUUGGCCAGAGAUGUCUUUAUGUGGUUAAUUGACCUUGUUAACUGUGGAUUCAUAUUUAUAUGAUAAUAAGAAAGUUGUAGAAAACUUUAUGAGCUUUCCAAAAAGAUAAGAAUCAUGUUUGCUGGAGUUCUACAACUCCAGUUAUGCUUCCUUGAAUUGCCUAUCAGUUUUCUGUUUGUAAUUGUACUUCUACUGUUUGGCCGCAUGAGCAGUUUUAUUUAUGCAAUUAAUUCCAUGAUAUAAAUGAUGUUUGCUGUGAAACAUAUAUAUAUAUAAAAGAUGUAGAUAACUUAUUAAUAUAUCUUGUGGUAAAGUUUCAUAUCAUUUGGCUAAGUGUUUUGUGAGUUACAGUAGUAUGAAUUUCAUUCUUUAAAAUGCUUGUUCUCUGGAAAUUCCUGAACCAGAUUAUAUGGUCAUGCAUGUUUGACUUGGUUAACUUGUUAAACAUGCUAAUAUGAUUAAAUAUGAAUUGUAGAUAAUUCUAUAAUCUUUUCAGAAUGUCCUAUUUCAUAGUUUUUGGAGAUGUGGAACUCCAGUUAUGAUUUAUUUACUGAGAUGUUGCAUGUAUGUCCAGAAUUGCUGAAAUACACGAAUGCUUAAUUGCUUUACUUGGUGUGUGCUAACUAUGAUACAUGUCUUUAGCUGUGAAUAAGUACUACACUUGUAACCUUGUUAAACUUGUGUCAUGAUUGAUAUGUUUGCUCUCUAUAGUUAGUUGUGUGAUGUUAGCUAAAUAAUUUAGAUGCCUGUGUCCAGCAUUAAGUAUAGGAGUUGGGUGAAACCCUUGCUGCAUAUAACACUCCUUGUCCACCAAAUAUACCUAUAACCCUAUGUAGAUUCGGGAUCGAAUCUAAAUGCUUAGUCAUGCUUAGACCGGUAGAAGCCAGGUGAUGUCCCAUCACCUGAGCGAGAUAGGUGGAUACCUGAAAAGGUUGGCUAUAUAUGCUAUCAUGGAAAUAACCAAGUGAUGAGGAUGAAUAAUUGGAGACCGGGCGGGACGACGAUAGAGAAGUAACAAGACAUGGAGGUCUUGGGUGCCUAUCUAUCCCCGCCGGUGUCGAUUAAGGACCGAUCGUUGACGGCCCUCUUGUCAUGUUGAACGCAUGCCCCACACUUAGCUAGAAGGAUAAGUCGUUCCGACCGCGAAGCCUGAACACUAUCCGGGCCGGGAGUCGAGCCGCCAUGAGCUGUAUUGGUGAUGGUUGAGGAGAACGACGAGGGCGCGGCGCGCAACCUUGGUAUACCUUGGAUACCUUGGUCGCCGGAACGGUCCUCGGGUACUGGCGGUGCCUGCCGAACCCGCGAAUUGGUCCUGGAUAGUGCAAUAUGGUGACCUGUAGCUCACUUUGGCCAGUGAGUGUGGUUUGUGUGGGGAAUAACUCGCCAGCUGGUUAGAAAUCGAUUCGAAUCGCCAUCGCUCCUGGAUAGUGAGCACUUGACUUGAGCUUCGUCAUCGUAGUAAUGUUUAUGGAACACUUGGAAGGUUAUGGUAUAAUGAUGAUGUUGGAAAUGCCACAUCAAAUAUGGGUACUAUGGUUGUAUCUUAAUCAAGUGAUUGCUUUAGUACAGGUGCUAAUCUAGAUGACAGGUUAAUGAUUAUUAACUUGAGCUAAAUACCUGAAAGGUUACUUAGUUGCAACUUAAGCUUUUUAUGCAAAGAGUAUUGUCAAGCUAGCUCCACCAAUAAAGUCUUGCAUACUCCUUGGUGUUAUCUUAUUUCUAGUUUAUGACGGGUAAGUCUAGCUAAGUACCUUCUUGUACUCAGGGUUUAUUCCCACUAGUUGCAGGUUGUGAUGUAUCAUGGCUACUGCAAGAGUUGGAUGACUCCUACCAUACUAGAGGAGUAAGAUUAUGGGCAUGAUCCUUCUUAGUUACCUCAUCUAUGUUGCUUUUGUUGGAGUUGACCUGGAUACUGGCAUGUAUUUGAAAUGAGGGCAAUAUUAGUUUUAAAUUACUUUGCUUCCGCAACUUUUCAACUCAAGUUGUAAUAACUAUAUUGAACUCUAGAGUUUGUCAAACAACUUGUGAAAUGGAUGUAACAUAUGACUUGUUAUGUUGAAUCACUACGAGCUUGGCUUGUAUGAUGGUUGGUUUGAAAUCCCUCGUGAUUUCACGGACUACCGGGUUUAUGAGAGUUCGAUCAUGUUAAAGCAACUGCUUUGGCGGGAGUUUUUCAUAGUUGAUCUCUUGUAAAUUGGGUGGUUCUGUUACAGCGCCACCGCCGGGGUCACUGUAGCCGGCCGGAGCUCUCUCUCUCUCUCCCUUCCCGAUCUAAUCUGCGCCAUCCGUUUCUAAUCCGAUGGCCCAUAGAGGCCGAUACCCCUUCGGCAUGGCUGUUUUGCUAAAGAAACCCCAACCUUUUUCAUUAUGUAACCCGCAGUCCUUUGCGUAAAGCCUAGAAUACGUCUUCUCGAUUCUGAAAAUGUAAAACGACCCGGUUGAGUUUAAAAUACGCUUUUCAGUAUUUACAGUUUUGCCACCAGAUUUAAAUUGCUUAUAACAUGCUCAUUUUAAUUCUGAUUUGGUCCAUUCAAAUUUCGUUAGGUUCGUAUUUAUGAGCUCUACAUGUUAAAAAUAUUACCUCACUGUUUUGAAACUUGUUAUUUUCGUGUUAUUAUUUAAUUAAUUAUUUUUCUAUAUGAAAUCUUAGAAAAUUCAUAACUUCUCCGUUUAAAUUCCGAUUUUCGUGAUCUUUACGUUUGUGUGAUCGUAGCGCUGCGUAGAAUAUUUUCCUAAACUUUUAUAUUUGUUUUACCACUGUUUCGUGUAUUGUUCUAAUUACAGCUUGUUUGCUUCGUGUAUGAUUGUAUAUAUUGGAUUGUGUGUUGUUGAUUGAUGAUCGGAUAUAGACUGUGAGCGAUACGUUGGUGAUCAUGGUCAAGAUUUUGAAGAUCAGCAGCAGGCUCAGGAGAUCUUUGAUCAAGGCAAGUAUAACCUAGGAUUAUCCUUGUUACCUAUACACAAUUAAUAUAACCUUUAUCAUAUGCAUGUGUCCACUUUGAUGACCCUAGUAAAAUCAUAGAUGAUUGUUAUCCUGAAUUCCUUGUUACCUAUUUGGAUAUGCAUUUGGGUAGUUCUUGCUAGUGCUUGAUUAUUAAUCCGUGAUCUUGUAACAUGAAUAAUUGAAUAUACAAUAAACAAUAAAAUAAGCUUUCUAGCAACUUGUAUAUAAAGGGUGGAAAGAACUCUGGCUUUUGCUAGAUUGAUCUUGACCCUCCAUAAGGACUUAUCCCUUGGCAAAAGCUGGGACAACUCGUACAACCAUGAGGGCUAUAUGGCUCUGGCUUUAGUCAAGUAUGAGUAAGCUUUUCUAGCUUGUUAGAGGUUACCCGAAAGGGCGGAGGGGCUGAACCGUUUUGGGUAUAGUGCGAGCCCCUGUCCUUAUGUGUAUAGGCUACGCGUCAUUGUGCCAUUUGGAAGGGGGUAUCUAUAUCUGCGCGCAAAGGAAACCUUGCGGCUCUAACUUGUAAGACGAACCUUUGAAAGACUUCAUAGUGAACCCUGCCAGCUUUCCUUGGAAGUGAGCUAAGAGGUCGACGGGCCUCGGGCGAAAGGGUAAAUAAUGACUCAUGGGUAAAGAUGUACAACCUCUGCAGAGUGUUAAAUCUGGUAUACUAGCCGUGCCCACGGAUAUGGGCGGCCAGGAAAACUAAUGGAAUAGAUGGACACUGUUGAACAUGAUUAAUGAUGAUAAAUGAUGGUUUAUUAUGUUGUUUCUAUGUGUUAUUCUUAAUUCUUGUAUAUAUUGAUCAUGCGGUUAUGGGAUUUAAUUAUGCUACCUUGACAAUUGCUAUCUAAAUAUAAAUAUGCUAUCUACAUAUAAAAGCUAAAUGCAGUCAAACCAGUGUCAGCUAUUUGAGCCUCAUGAACCCCUGGUUAUACUUGUUGAGUACGAUAUGUGCUCACUCUUGCAAUUUCCCCCACACCUCAGGAGAAGUUUUGGGCUUGUGAUCAACCAGUCAGUUGGAUCCUGUGGAGAGAAGUCAAUACCCGAAGUUUUGAGUUGUCUAUCCGCUGUUUGAUGCUAAAGGUUAUUUAUUUUAUAUUAUGUACGUUAUAUAUUUAUGUAUUGUCUUUUGAUAUUACGCCGUAUUUGUAGCUAUAUGUGAGAUUUGACUUCUGAAACUCACAUAUGGUGCAUAUCUGGUUUUGUCCUUAAAAUCGGGUAUUACAAUAUUGCUGUUAGUUUGCCUUGAUUAUGUGCUUAGUGUUGUUAGAUUAGAAUUAUGUUUAUGAAUAGGAUCGUAUAGUGCUUACUCAUUAGAUCGAUGGUAAGUGGUAAAUAUUGUGUGGGUGUGGUGCCUAGACUGUAGUUAUCUGUGAUUAACCCUUAUAGUCCAGAGCUUGAGGUAGAUCGUGGGAGUGAUAGUCCUAUUGAGUCCUUUGUAUUUCUUCUCCCAAUUAUAACGAUUGUAGAGCACCAUUAUUAUAGGGAACUGAUUGCUAUGUUCAUGACCUUUCUUUCUAAUAUCAAUAUGCAUAGAUAUAACCUUUUCUAGUGAUGAUGCUCGGUGUACUUGGAGUAGUCAAAGUAUGCUUUGACACUAUAGUUAGAUCACAUAGGAUUUAUUCAUGUAGAUUGUCUUAAUACCAUACUUGUGCUAUAGACUUAGGGUAAUCUAAUUGAGAUGAUGAUCAUGUUUAUCUUAUGGAUAAGAAUUCUUAUUUAUCUGUCCCUUAUUAUUCAUAUUUGUAACAGAACCUUCCAAAUUAUAAGAGAUUAAGCGUGACAGCGACCACCUGCGUAGUCAAACUAUCAGGCUUAGGCCCAUAUAAUCCCAGUAGUCCAUGAAAUCUCGAGGGAUUUCAAACCACACUUCGCACAUACAACCAAGAUUGUAACAAGUUCAGCAAUCGCCAUUCACAAGUACCUCCAGAUCACAACAUUCAGAAAUUACAUCAGAGUUCAAAUAUAGUUAUUACAAACCAAGUUCAACAGUAGUAGCGGAAGCAUUUCAGUUUCGAAAGUACACACACAUUUAGUCUGUUGCAGUGCUAGAGUCUCAUCAUUCCUAUAAAAGCAAAAGAGGAGGUAGAGUGACCAUUGCCCUUGGUCUAGUCAUCACCCAUUGUUGUGUACAAGUAGUUGAUGCAAUAAUCACAAUACAUCAGACCAUCUGCAAAACAACAUGGGAAUGGAACCCUGAGUACGAGAAUGUACUCAGCUAGACUUACCCAUCAUAAACCAAAAAAAAGACUCUUCAAGGAUCAUGAAGGCUAUAUAGGGGGAUAGCUGGACCCUUUUCACGUAAAUGCUUUAGCCAUCUAGGAAUAUAUCCUAAAACCCCUUUGCUUUUAUUUAGCUCAAGUUAGGUAUUAUUACCUAGCAUCUAGGUUAGCACCUGUACUAUUGCAAACAGUUGUUUCACUAUGAUAGUACCAUAUCAUAGCAUUCACCAAUCAUCAUUUACCAUAACCAAAGUGUUUCGUAGUCCUUACUACAAGGACGAAGCUCCAGUCAAGAGCUCACUAUCCAGGAGCGAUGGCGAUUCGAAUCAAUUUCUGACUAGUUGGCAAGUUGUUCCCCACGCAAACCAUGGUCACUGAUCAAGUGAGCUACAGGUCACCGUAUUACACUAUCCAGGACCAAUUCAUGGGUUUGACAGGCACCGCCCGUACCCGAGGGCCAUUCCGGCGACCGAGGUAUUCAAGGUAUACCAAGGUUGUGCACCGCGGCCUCGUCAUUCUCCUCAACCAGCACCAAUACAGCGCGUACAUCGGCCGGAUUCCUGGCCUGGAUAGUAUUCAGGCUUCGCGGUCGGAAUGACUUAUCCUUCUAGAUAAGUGUGGGGCAUGCGUUCAACAUGACAAUAGGGCCGUCAACGAUCGGUCCUUAAUUCGACACAGGCAGGGGCACUAUGGUCAACACCACCAUAAGACCCUACCUGAUCUCAAUUUUAUUUCCACACUUGGUUAAUUCUCACCAUAGCAUUAAAUAGCUAGACUUUUAGGUAUCCACCUAUAUCUCAUAGGUGACAGGAUAUCACCCGACUUCUACCACUCUUAGCUAGCUAAGCAUAGACUCCGGGCCUACACUACUUAGGACAAGGCAGGUAGACAGAUGGUAAACCAACGAUGAACUAUGCAUCAACGGUAUCAAACAACUCCUAUAAUGUAAUGCGACAAAACAAACCAUCAUGAUAUAACAAAGUAAGUUAGCGGGAAAUAGGAAGACUUAUUAGAAUGCUCCGGGGCUGCCUCUAUCGAAGGUGCUAGGCCUGUGGUCGGGGCACUCCUGCAGCUCUCCUUCUGGCUCUGGUUCUUCCAGAAGUCCCUGCAUCGGGGUCUCCUCCUGCUCCUCGGGUUCUACCUCAUUGUCCUACGAGCCUGUAUGAUGCAUAUGUACAUAUAAGUGGAAGUGCAGUAUGCCCAAGGUGUAGUGCUAUGCAAGUUAAGGCAGGAUGAUCAUGACAUGGAGAAGAGAUCCGACAGAUGAAAUGAGAAACUAUUACUACUAGAUAGUUAACAUCAUCCAAGAACAUGUAGCCAAAAUAAAACAUCUAUUGCAUUCUCCUCUACAAGCUACUACUACACCAGCAAGCUAGUAUAGUGCUUCAAAGAUACACCAAACAUAUUUCAUUUCAUGUAUAAUAAGGGUUUAUUUAUUUAUUUAUUAUUAAGCUUACAACAGUACCAUAUACUUUGGUGCUUCAAUAAAUUCUACAAAAAUUACAGACGGCUACAAGUCAUCUAUACAGUCUACUACCAAAUUUUCACAUCAUUUGGGCACAUGGCAUGGCCCACACAAAAAUCACAAGUUUAUUAAUAUAAUUAAGGGAAAAUACCCUUCUAGUGUCAUAGUAUCAAAUAAUAGAUUUCAUAUUUUUAUAAAUUACUUAUUAACAUAAGAAAUGCUCACGAAAAUUUCUAGAUUAAUUGCAUGAUCCAACUAUUUAUCAAAAAUCAUAAACCAUUGCCAUGCAAGCAUUUAAAUGAUCAUAAAUUAAAAUUGUGCUACACAUUUUUCUCAGCAACUAUACCUCCAUGCAAACCUAGUAGAACAAGAAUCACAUUUUACUGAGUUAUAUUUUAUUUACUGUGCAUUUUCUAAGAAUAGCAAUAACAUAAAUUAAAUAUAUUUGCACAGGAAAUGUAAUCAAACUUGACAUGCAAGGGUACUAAGCUGUAGAUCUCAAUUUAUAGGACAUGCCAAAAUUUAUUUCAUCAUUUUUGGAGCUACAUAACUCAAGUUAUGAAUUAAACAAGUUUUAAUCAAUUUUCUUGAAAACAUUUUUCUGAAAAUCGAAUUCAAACCCGCUGAGUCUGGCUAGGUGCACCCGGUGCAGUGCACCCGCCCUCAUCGCGAGCAACAGACAGGUGGGCCACGGAUCCCACCCGUCAGCCACCGCAGUAGGGCGGAGAACUCCGAUGAGCCAGAGCUCACCGUCGUCAACCCCUUUCGUCGAACCGUGCACUCCUAGACGUUCUACUACCCAAGGCGAACACGAUGAGCCUCUUUGCGUGACUGGGGAUGGACCAGAGCGAGGUCGCCACCAGCCAUGGCAGAGCGGUGGCGCUGCUCACUGUGGAACUCGCCCUUCCGGUCCGGUAGAGUGCGAUUGGAGGUGAGCACGAGCUGCGCGAGGCCAAGGCCAACACAAAGCGUCAGAAAGGAAAGUGGGAGGGGCACGGGAGUGUGCUGGCCACGUAUGCCAUGGCGGCGCUCAAGCCAGAGAGGGAGGAGAGGGUGGAGAGCUCCUCACCGUGCACUACGAAGGCCAAGAAGGCGUGUUUGGAGACAGGGCUGAUGAGGUGGAGCAAUGGCCGAAAGGAUUCGGAGCUAGGAGCGACGGAGAAGGGAGAACGCUGCGGGUGGUGCUCGGUGGCACCAAUGGCAACGGCGGCAAUGGCAAGUAACGAGCGGAGGCAAGAGAGGGGAGAUGAGGCAAGAGCGGGCGCUAAUGAGAGAGGGGAGCGGGACGAACGUUGACAUCCCCUUUUUGGCCUCGGUCGGCCGACGGAGUGGCCGCCGUGGCAGCCGCAUGUUGGCCACCACGGCUAGCGCCGGCACGCAGGCGCAGGAGGAGGGGGAAGGCGCGCGGCCGGGGCUGGGUUGGCUUCGCUGGCGGGGCCGGUUGGUUGGCAGCGACCCGCUAGUGAACAGCACCACUUCCCCUUUUUUUAAAUCUUUUUUAAAUAUGUCUCCUCCACACUAGUUUUUUGUUAUCCUUCAUUCAUAACAUGGUGGAGACAAAACUGAGAGACAAGAUAUAUAUAUAUAUAGUAAUAUUUAUUCAUCUUCACGCAGGGCUUAUUAUUACAAAAGCAAACUUUGGAAAAUAAACACACUGAGUAAUCAAACUAAACACUCGCCCUAUUGGAUGCUAAUGUAAAUAGGCCCUACUUCUUAGGGUUCUCUAAUGCCUCCACACUCUCCUUAAGAUCGGUGGAAUCAUGCUCUACCCUCACCAUUCUAGUGUCACCAUAAGUGAUGGCUCUACUUUGAACAUGUUGACAGGCUUCAAGAGAGGUUAUAAUGGUGCGUUGCUCAACUAGUUCCUCCUCUAAGUAGACUUUGGAGCUUCAUUUGGGGGGAUGAACUUGACCUUUGAUGUAUGAGCGUGAACCCAUCAAAGUAGGUAUGUUCACCAGUGGUGUAUUUGGCGCAGACGACCUCCCCCUUCUUGUUGAUCUUAACUCCCAACAGCAUCUCAUUGCACCUUGGUGGUAGGAGGUUGGGCCCUGCCAGCAGAGCGACGAUAGGGCCCUUCAAAGAAGCUCCUUCUAAGAGGAGAAGCUUGGUGUUAAUGGGCUGAGCAAAAUAUGAUUGUCCAUAGUAGCGUGGUUGCGGUGGUAUGAUAGCUAGCGAGACAGGCUCCUCUAUGGGAAUGAUGGCCUUGCUCUCAGGCUCCUCCCUCGGGAUAGUGUUGAGAACAAUCCCAAAGGGGAUCAUUGUCCUCUGUAAAUUGUUCUUAGCCAUUGCUGAGUAAAAUGCUUCGCUUGCUCUUAUUGAAUGAGAAGAGCUAUUAUUGAAUGAGAUGAGACUAGGAGCAUGGUUGCUUAUAUAGGCGUCUAGAAAAGUAUUUUUGGAAGUAAAAUGAUGAAGGAUGGGAAGAAAAUCAAAAGAUUAACUUUUUAUAAAAAAAGGAAGGUCUCAAAAUGUAAAUGGAGAAAGGCGGCGACGAAUGGCCACGUGGCAGGGGCGGGCGCAUCUAGGGUUUCGGGCGGCCGCCCACCCUUCGAGCCCGCUCUAGCUCAACUUUUUCAUGUACUUUAAUAAUUAUAUUCUUGUUUGGAAAAAGUUGAUUUUAUCCAAUAAUUAAAAAAAUAAUAAGGUCAGGCCUAAAUAUUUUAAUUAACAAAGAAAGUAAUUAUGUCUACUUCCUCUAAUUCAAUGUUUGGCUCUAAAAAUAAUUUAAGGCAUUGACCAUUUACCUUGAAUAACGUACCUUCAUUGAUGCGAAGUGUGACAGCUCCAUGUAAUGACGAGCUCACCACCUCGAACGGUCCUUCAUAUUUGCUUCAAAGUUUUAAAUGUCCACAGAGCUUCACCCUGGAAUUAAAAAGUAAUACAUUAUCGCUAGGGGUGAAAUCCUUCUUUUUUAUCCUUUUGUCAUGCCAUGUUUUUACUCUAUCUUUAUAAAUCUUGGCAUUGUGAUAUGCUUUUUCUCUCCACUCUUCUAGCUCAGAGAUUUGCAUCUUCCUCUUGUCUCCAGCUGCUUCCAAGUCCAUGUUCCAUCUUUUGAUAGUCCAGUAAGCUUGGAAUACUAAAUCUACUCGUAAGUGAAAAGUUUUUCUAUGGACAAGUUGAUAGGGUGACAUCCCGAUGGGAGUCUUGUAUGCUGUUAGGUAUGCCCAGAGUGUAUCAUGGAGCUUGACCUUCCAAGCUGUCCCCAUCUCAUUUACUAUUUUCUGUAAAAUAUUCUUGAUUUGCUUGUUUCAUGUCUUGGCCUGACCACUUGUCUGAGGUUGGUAAGGAGUUAGCGAUGUUGUGAUGUAUUCCAUUCUUCGACAAGUACUGCUCAAAGAGCUUGUCGAUGAAGUUAGAACCUCCAUCACUUAUCACUAUCCUUGGAACUCCAGAUCAUGGAAAUCUUAUUUCUUCAAACAUCUUCUUUGAAUGCAUAUUGUCGGCAUUCCUGCAUGGCAUGGCUUCAACCCAUUUGGAGACAUAAUCCACUACAACAAAGAUGUACUCAUACUUCUUUAAAAAUGGAAAUGACCCCAUGUAAUCAAUUCCCUAUACAUCAAAGAGCUCUAUAUGGAGAUUGCUCAAAAGUGUCAUGACAUCCCUUGAAUUGGUAUUACCCUGCCUUUGACACAGGCCACAUCUCCAACUGAAUUCUUUUGUGUCUUCAUACAUUGUUGGCUAGAAAAAUCCACACUACCAUAUCUUGGCGUGUGUUCGAAAUGCCCCAUAAUGACCUCCAUAUGGUGAUGAAUGACAUCUUUCAAUGAUUUGUAUUCCUUUUUCAGCUGGCACACAUCUUCUGAGUAAGCCAUCAGAGCAUACUCGGAAGAAGUAUGGUUCAUCCCAUAUGUGAGAAUGGCUCUCUUGGAUUACCUUCCUUUUGUUGCCUCCUAGUGGUACAUAACCUGUAACCAUAAAAUUAACAAUACCUGCAUACCAGGGGUUAGAUCUGUUGAUUCCAUAGAGCAUGUCGUCCUAGAGUGAGUCGUUGAUGGGUAGUUCCUAUGGAUUCUUAAUGUGCAUUCUAGACAAAUGAUCGGCAAUAGAAUUUUCUACUCCAUUUUUAUAUUUUAUUUCUAUAUCAGAUUCUUGGAGUAAUAAAAUCCAUCUUGUCAAAUGGGGUUUAACAUCUUUCUUAGUGAGCAAGUAUUUUAAAGCAGCAUGAUUAGAAUAAAUAAUUACUUUAGCUCUCACUAAGUAAGAUCUAAACUUAUCAAUAGCAAAAACAAUAGCUAGGAGCUCUUUUUCAGUAGUAGCAUAAUUGAGGUCCUUUCAAAGUUUUGCUCGCAUAAGCUAUUGCAUGAUGCUUUUUAUAUUUAGUUUGUCCUAAUACUACCCCCACAGCAUAAUCACUAGCAUCACAUAUAAUUACAAAAGGUGAAGACCAAACAAGGGGUUGAAUGAUUGGUGCUGAGAUGAGUGCUUUCUUAUGAAUUUCAAAAGCUUAUAAACUUGCAUCAUCAAAUUCAAAAGGAACAUCCCUUGUCUAGCUUUUCCCUUUAGUGAAAAAGGAAAUAGCUUCCAAUAGAGAGUUUCAUCGGAUAUGCCUUCAAUGCGAAGAUAGUCACAUGUUUGCUCAAAGUCUCUAAUGUGUAGGUAUGGAUUUUCAUCUCCUUCUCCUGAAAAGGAUAGGCUUUGGACCAGUGCAAUCAACCGUGGACUCAGCCUAUAGCUACAUGUUUGGAUAUGGUUUGAUGACUCAUGUGGCACUACGCUGGUCUUUGUGGGUGCAGAGAACUGAAGGAUAGGAAUGGAAUUUAAGGUAUCCAUAAAAGAAAAGGUAGGAUGUAAGAAAAGGUGAGAUAACAGGAAAAGAUAAAAGUGUGAUACAAGGUAGAGUAAGAUAUGGUUAUCUAAGCAGACCGGCUUUCUCCCCGGCAUCGGCGCUAGAAAUGCUUGUUGACAUUAGUUAUGCACAUGAAAGAAUUAAAGUGAAAUAAUCUGCAAGUGCACGGAUAUCGGUGAGAACUUCACCUAGAAGAUAAGUCCCGAGUAUCGUAUUUAUUUUUUUACCACUAGGAGAAAGUGUGCAAAAGACUAACCUUUUAUCUUAACUACUACACAUGGGUUGCAAGACAAGAUAGUGAGAAUUAAGCGAUAUAGAGAGAACUCUUUCUUUAGUCUUCUUCUAACCAUUGGUAAAUUGUGUAGAUAUUGCUCUAAGGGGAGUAACUAGAGAGAAGAGACACCCUAGAUAGUGCUUAAUCCUAGUACCAUAUACUCUAACUUACCUCCUUACAGGACGUGCAUUAAUCCAGAGGAUUGUCACUUCCUGAGACCCAAGAGGAUUGUCACUUCCCCUAAAAGGCUACCACAAAUCCAGCCAAGCAAGGAGUAUCUACGAGUAUUCCUAGCCAUACACCAUGCUUAUGCUACAAAUAAUUACUCUAUUCCCUAUGCAAAGCGAAUAAAAUAAACUCAUAAACCAAAGAACAAUAAGAACAAUAACUUACUAGUAUCAGAAGUUGAAUUGUCGAAUGAUUCUAGAAUCAAGCCUCGGGUUAGGAGACUUAAUCUCGAAGAUACAAAGAAGAAGGUAGCGACAGGCCGGGCUUCCUCAACUCCUAUCUUCACCCUAUACUCUCAAAAUCUCUCUUGUUGCUAUCACCCUAAAGAGACAGAACCAUUUGAGGGACCCCUCUCUAACUCUCUCUAGAAAAUAUGAACUAGGGUUUUAGAGUUACAUCUCAGGGGGAUGCCCCUUUAUUUAUAGCCUCCUAGGAUUCACCAUAGCCAUUAGAUGAAACCGACUUAAACAUGUGCUUAAGAUUAAUCCUCAAAGUCGGUGGAGGCAGGAUCCGUGAGAACGAACGUGAUUGGUCAAUGCCCCUAGGCGGCCGCCCCUAUCAAGGUGGGGCGCCCGCCCCUACCCUCUGACAGAUGGGUCCCAGCUUUCAGGCGGUGGCUCCUGUAGUCUUCUAGAGUCUUCCUGAGUUGACGUUUCGGUCUUCUCUAUGUAAAUCUAAUAUGUGGUCCUUCUUUUUAUUAUUUCGGUAACCCUCUGCAGAAAUAGACAAUCACCAAAACUCAUAGAAUUCUGUUAGUGAUAACCCUAUUUCUACUGAGUGCUUGUGAAUAGGUUCUUUUCAUGUUAAGUUGACGGUUAAAAUAAGUAGUUAUCUAACAUCAACAAGUACUAUGUUUGGAGUCAACCAAUCAACAGUGUCCCUGUGUGGUGCUUCCAUCAACCAGAUUCUUUAGUAGAAUUAUCAUUAUUAUGUAACACUAUGUGAUGAUUAUUAUUCUCUUAUGUAAAAGAAACUACAAAGAUACUAUUUGAUAUUUGUGUACUUAUGUGUGUGACUAUUUCUAGGGCGCAUAUGAGUCUUAUAUGCAUCCUAUUCCAUCCUUGAAAUUUGGUCCGAUAGCUAGAUAGAUAGAUAGAUAGAUAGACAGACAGAUAGAUAGAUAGAUAGAUAGACAAAUAGAUAGAUAGACAGAUAGAUAGACAGAUACACAGAUAGAUAGACACACAGAUGGAUAGACAGAUAGAUAGGCAGAUAGACAGACAGAUAGAUAGACAGAUAGAUAGACAGAUAGACAGACAGAUAGAUAGACAGAUAGAGAGACAGAUAGAGUGAUAGAUAGAUAGAUAGAUAGAUAGAUAGAUAGAUAGAUAGAUAGAUAGAUAGAUAGAUAGAUAGAUAGAUAGAUAGACAGAGAGAUAGUGUCACACCCCAAAAUUUUUAAUUUUGGGUUGUGCAUAGAAAACACUAAACAAAUAUAAAAUGAAUUUAAUAAUUGUAUAAGAUUUGUCAAGUUUAGUUGAGUUAGUGCGAAUUAGUUCUAAAAAAAUAUUAAUUUCCAAAUUGUUUCGAAUGAUGUGAUAUUUGUUUGCUACUUGACUUUGUAUUUGAGUGUAUAGAGUUUUCAAAAUACGUUUAGAAAACAUCACCCUUGCUAAUAGAUUUGUUCGAUCUUACGCUUUCAAUUUGCUGCUACAGAAAAUUUUACAGGCGGUGCAUAUUUUAAUCAUUAACGUGAUGAUAUAAUAUAGUAUAAAAUAAUGAUCCUUUAAAGGAAGUAAUCGACUACUCCUAAUUUUCACUGUUACAAAAGGCGGUGCUAAAAGCAUCUUCACAGGUGGCCAAGCCCACCGCCUGUACCAUGGGUCAGUACAAAAUGGACCACAGUACAGGCGGGGCUGUGUGAGCCGCAUGUGAAAAUUAGGUUUUCACAGGCGGCUCACCUAGCCAGCCGCCUGUGUAAAUGAAUUUUUACACAAGCAGCUGACAAGGUGAGCUGUCUGUAUAAAUGUAUUUUUACACAGCCGGUUCACACUAUACCGCCUGUGUAAAUAAUUUUUUAUAUAUAUUUCAAAUUUUAAUUUUUCCCACCAAACACAGUGCUAAACAUCAUAUAUAUAUAUAUACACACACACACAUCAUACAUACACCACAUAUAUAUAUAUUAUAGAAUUGUAAACAUGAAAUCAAACAUCAACCAUAAAAUUACAUAUAUACACGUCAAUGCAUGUUAUCCGCACAACCAUACAGUGUUUACAUGUCGUUUCGCUUCAGAUUUAGACCUGCUAUGUCUAUCCGCACUUUAAAUUUAUCACUUGCUAAAUCGCCCUCAUGAUCAAAAUAUGCACCGUCACUUGGAAUUAUUUCUCUCAUAAUAAAACCACACAAGUCUGCUACUAUAUCUUCCAGAGUCUAUGGUGUAAAGGGCACGUCCUUUCCUUGCUUUUUUGGCUAGAAACAAAGUUUAAAAGUAUGAUUGACACAUGUUCAAUAUAUAAUUUUGCAACUUUAAUGAGAAAACUUCAUACAUAGAUAUUAUUUACGAUAUUUUUGUCCCUGACGUAACGUCCCCGCUGCCUUAUAAACUCACAGACAUAGUACCCACAAUAGACCGAUCCAGGUGGUUGCUUGUGGCACUAUAUGAUGAGCAACGGAUUAUUCUAAAUUUGCCAUGCUUUAUGUAUUAUUUAUAUGAUGAAAUGUGUUCGGACAACUUACCGGAUAGUGGUGUUGUAUCAUCAAUGGCACCCUAGGAUCUGAGCGUGCGGCGUCGACCGGUCCCUUUUGUUUCUUAUAAAACCGCCAUGCACAGAUAUCGAAUAUAAAUCACUAAAGUUAUUUUGAAACUGGUCCCUUGUGGAAAUCUAUUCCUUCCUCUGUCUCCUCUUGCCCGAUCACUCUUUUUUGUUUUACUUCUUGGCUCAGAGGAUGUCCCAGUCGUUUGAGGUGCUGUGUCCUUCUGAACAUCUUGUUCUUCUGCCUCCAUUUCGGCAACAAUUUGAGAUAACACCUCCUCUCCAUUCAAUUGUUAGGUACAUACAUAUAUACACAUGCAUUCUAUUGUAUAGACACUACUACAAUAUAUACCUCAUCAUCAUCUGGAUCAGCUUGAGGCUCGUAUGUCGGGUCAUGUUCCAACUCUAGACGAGCCUUCUUAGCUCUGGGGGAUUCACGUAGUGAUACGCUCGGGCUUCUAUAAGUGUCGGAUCCAGAGGUGUCGGAUCGCGGUGUUUCUAUCUGGGCUUCAGCAUUCGAUGGAGUACUCAUCUAAUUAAACAAAUAAUUUAUAAACAAUUAACUUACAAACUCUAAUUAACAAACCCUAAUUAACACUAGCGGACAUCCUGGAAACCCUACUCAACAAAUAACUAACAACUAAUUAAUAAAUAAAUAACUAACAAAUAAAUAACCCUAAUUAAAAAUCCUACUUAACAAUUAAUUAAUUAAUCAAUAAUUAGUAAAUAAAUAAAUAAUUAACAAUUAAUUAACUAGCUAACCCUAAUUAAGAAACCCUACUUAUCUAAUUAAUAACUAACAAAUAAUUAACCCUAAUUAAAAACUAAUUAAUAACUUAACAAAUAAAUAACUAAUUAAUAACUAACAAAUAAAUAACUAAUUAAUAACUAACAAAUAAAUAACUUAACAAAAAAUUAAUUAAUCAAUAAUUAAUAAGUAAAUAAAUAAUUAACAAAUAAAUAAUUUAUAAAUAAUUAUUAAUUAAUUAACAAAAAAAAUAAAAAAAAAGACAGCCAGGGCGUCCUGCCAGCCCAACAGGGCCCGGCAAGCCAGCUGCGUGGCUGCUGCCGGCGCUGGGAGUGGUGGCGGCGCGCACUACUGCUCACGGCUACUUCUUGCUCGCAGCAUUGUGGCUAGCGGCGCUGCUCACCUCGCCGACGGCGCGGAGCUCGGCGUCCUCGCUCCGGUGGCGGCGGCGCAGCGGUGGCGGACGACCUUCGACGGUGAUCGUGGCAGGGCGCGGCGGAGUGGGCGCGGAGGCGGCGGUGGCAUGCGGCGGCGCGGCUCGCGGCGGAGGCGGCGUGGGCGCGUAGGACGGCAGAAUUCGGCAGCCGGACGGCGUCGUUUUCGUCAAAUCGCGCCAGACUUAGAAAUUUUCACGUCCCGCGCUUAGUGUUUUUAUAAGUACAGGCGGCCCUCAAUGACAGCCGCCUGUACUAAAGGUUUACACAGGCGGCCCUCAAUGACCGCUGCCUAUACAAACGUAUUAGUACAGGCGGCUCUCCUUCAGGUCCGCCUGUACUAAUAUAUUUGUAGAGGUGGCCUUCGUUGAGGGCCGCCGGUACUAAUGUAACCUGUCUUUUGUUUUUUUAAUUAAUUAAUAAUUAUUUGUAAAUUAUUUAUUUAUUUAUUAAUUGUUGAUUAGUUAAUUAUUUGUUAAGUUAUUUAUUUGUUAGUUUGUUAAUUAACUAACUAACUAAACCUAAUUAAGAAACCCUACUAAACAAAUAAUUAAUAAAUAAUCUGUAAAUAAGGUAUAAAUCAAAUGGAAAAUGUAAACAUGUUGCUUAAUAAGAAAUAGUAGCAUAAGGUACAAAUGAUAAGUGAUACAUGAGUUACAUGAGUAAUGAUAACUUAUAGAAUCUAGUGUGCACCCAUGGCAAUGAGGAUUGUGGAUACUUUUCUCAACAUUUUUUAUUUUUUCUUGAAAGUGUGUAAAAAGAGACAUCUCGCUGAAUUGGUUAACAUCCUCCAAAUCCAUUACACCAUCAACUUCUAUAAUUUGUUGCUUUCCAGGAAUAGCUAUAUGCUUUGGCUUUUGGCUAUUUUCUUUUCAUCCUUAGAAAGGAUUUGUUCCACAUAGAAGACUUGUGCGGCACGGUUAGCAAGGAUCCACGUUUCAUUUUUAUAACCUACUUUACUUAUGUUAAGAACUCUCUGGCCAUAGUUAUCCACAGUGACAUGUUUAUCUUGAACCCAUCGGCAUCGGAACAUUGGAAUCUGCAGGAGUGGACCAUAUUCUACCUCCCAUAUGUCUUCAUUGAACCCAAAGUAUGUAGUUGUUUCACCAGUUGCAUCAUCUAUAGCCUCGCAUCGAACGCCACUUGCCAUGCUCUUGGUGUCCCUAUAGCUGGUGGAAAAUGAAAAGCCACUAAUGUCAUAGCUCUACCACGAUGUGACCUGGCUUGAUGGUCCAGAUGCUAACAUCUUAAUGGUUUCUGAUUCCUCUGUCAUGUCCAAAUCCUUUAACCAUGUGCUGAACUGACGCUUGUGUUCCUUGUGUACCCAAUAAUUUAUGCAUCCUGGAUUCUUCUCAUGAAGCUCUUUCAUGUGCUGCUCAAUGAAUGGGUCCAUUAUUAUGAGUUGUUGUAGUAUGCUAUUAUGUGCCUCUAGGACUAUGUUGUAAUCUGGCGGGAUGAAUGAUUUCCGUCCCAUUCUCCUGCGUCCAUCAAGCCUUCCCUCAUGUCGCAAUGGAGGCCAACCAUUUGAUACCUGGUCUUUUACGAGAUUAUUUCAUAAUGGUCCUCCAUACUCAAUGGCCUCGUCUGUAGUGUACGCCUCUAUCAUGGAACCCUCCGGAUGAGCACGAUUUGACAUAUAGCCAUUCAAUAUUGACAUGAAACGCUCAUACAUCCACAUUUCAUGGAAAUACAUGGGACCUAAUGCCUCUAUGUGAGGUACCAAAUGAACAACAAGGUGUACCAUGAUAUCAAAGAACGAUGGGGGAAAGCACAUCUCCUACUGGCUCAAUGUCUCUGCAGCAAAUUUUUGUAGGGACUCUAAGUCAUCACGGACAAUUACCCUCUCAGAUAUCUUAUUAAAGAAGUAUCACAACCGUGUGAUUGCCACCUUUAAGAACUGUUGACACCGUUUUUGGGCACGUGUCCAGGAUGGCAGGAUAGGGUGGCAGUACAAUGCGGGUUGCUGAUGAGGAUGGUUGCCGAUGAGGGAGAGGUUGAAUGUGACUAAGUCCACAGGCAGUAAUAUGGUGCCGAUGGCUGGGUUAAAAGGUCUGCCGAUGACUAUGGCAAGGGGAUUGCCGAUGACGCGAAGGAGGAGUCCGGAAGCUGCCAGUUGUCAUCUGGAGGAGUUUCGGUUUGUCACGAAGGAUAGUUUUAUUAUUCCCUUAGUUAUUUGUAUCGUUUUGUAUACGGAUUCCGUGUAAUUUGGAAUUCGAAUUCUAAUCGUGUCUGGUCGUAGCUCUUUGAGCAGGGUAUAAAUAUAAACCCUAGGACCUUGUAAUCAAAAUAUCAAGAAAUCAAUCAAACACACGUUUUUACUCAUAUUCCAGCAUCUACUUUUCGACGACUUCGUCAUACUUUUUUCCUUUUAUUACGAGUUCUUAGGAAUUCGUCGACUUAAGCUCGGCGUAUUCUCAAGUUCCGCGUGAGUACCUCUUAGCCGUGACAUCCGGGCGCAUCGCUGUUGUCAGGACUAAAGUAUUCGAGUUAUCACCUUUGCCGAUAGCAAGGUCAAAUCGGCUGGCACGCCUUAACGUUUGAAUCGGGUAUUAGCCCUUUGUGUUUGCAGAUCAGUUUUGCAUCAACACAUCUUUUGGCACGCCCGGUGGGACCAGAUUCAAGAUCAAGAUCAACAUGUCGAUCUCUGACCUCGAUCAAGAGAACGUCAUCCCCGUAACGGAGGCCAACCUCAAGGAUGAGCAAAAGCAAGCUAUUGCCCAAGCCAUGGAAGAGUUCAAGCAGCAAUGCCUGAAGUCUUUCAGCAUAAACAGGAGCGGCGAAGUGGUCCAGAAAGAUGCACUGCCAGCACCACGGCAGGUCACCUUCGACGCCAAUCCUGGCAAGCUUCAAGAUAUGGUUGACAAUGCCAUCAAUCGAGCGUUGAUUAACCAAGCUGGUGUACUGUCUAAUACGGUUUUCAACGCCGUGGCAAGAACUUUCAAGGAAGGACAAAUCCCGCCAGAUUAUGUGGGGCCCUCCCAUCAUCAGCCAACGGCACCAGAGGUCACGGCUCCAUCGGCUGCCUUGACGAAUGCAAGUGCACAGUCUGCCGUCCCUCCAAGUACAUUGGGGACUACUGGCGCACUAUCUAUGCCGAUGGCAACCAACCCACAAAUUUCAGUUGGGCAGCAUAAACUGACAACAGAUAUGUUGGCAUCGGCAAUGUCAGGGUUAAAUCUUCCUCCCAACUGGUGGGGUUAUGGUAUGCCUCCAGAGUUGACGCCGGGAACAUCACAAAUAACUGACCUGAGGGGCAAAACUCCUAUGACAUCGGCACCUCCCAAUGCGCCGGUGAACCAGAGUCCUCGAUAUACCACAACUACUACCGCACGGCCUUACACUGGGAAUCCUCAAGAUUCAAUGUUCCCGAUGCCCAACGCAUCGGCAGAGUCAAUGCUGAUGCAACAGAGGUCUAUGGCCCAGUCGGGGUAUGUCAAUUCAACGACGGUACCCAAUUACCAAUCAUCGGCAGCACCUAUGCCGAUGAACGCUAAUAAUGGAUGGCUUGGACAGCAGGCCUUUCCACAAUCGCCCCAGCAGGGUUAUCAGACUACAGGGUUCCAGCAAGGACAGGUCUAUCCCGGGUUCCAAGGUCAGGGGAUUCCCAACCAGCCAAUAAAUUUUGGGCAGCAACUCGGAGGACAGCCAAUCGGUGGACAGCAGUUUGGUAGUCCGCAGAUUGGAGGACAGGUGACCAAUACAAUGUUCCAUGCAGGUCACGUCCCAAACAGACACGUGGAGGUUCGCCACCAAGUGCCAGAUCCGCAGCCGCCCCAUCGGCAAGAUGCCGAUGCGUAUUGGGCCGAUAAGAUUGCUGAAGUAAUGAGGGAACAAUUCGGGAUAAAACCCAAAGUCAACACUUAUUCUUAUCGGACACCGUAUCCUCCAGCGUAUGAUUUGAUCCCGCUUCCACAUCGGUACAAGGUACCAGAUUUUACAAAGUUUUUCGGACAGGACGAUACGUCAACCAUGGAGCAUGUCAACAGGUUCAUUAUUCAAUGUGGAGAGGCUGGUAACAGGGCCGAAUUGAGGGUUCGUCUAUUUUCAUCAUCAUUGUCUGGAUCGGCCUUUACUUGGUUCAUAUCAUUACCUCCCAACUCAGUAAUUACUUGGGCCGAUCUAGAGAAGCAAUUCCACAGAUACUUCUUCUCGGGGGUUCAUGAGAAGAAGAUCACCGACUUGGUCAAGUUGAGGCAACGUAAUGAUGAGUCGGUUGAAGGAUUUGUGCAGAGGAUACGAGAGGUCAAGAAUAAAUGCUAUAGCCUGGUUCUGGAUGAUCGGCAGCUAGCCGAUUUGGCUUUCCAGGGUUUGUUGCCACAUAUCAGGGAUAAGUAUGCCUCUCAGGAAUUCGAAAGUUUAAGUCACUUGGUGCAGAGGAUAUCUGAUCAAGACAUCAAGCCUUUCGAGCCUAAGAGGGCAUGGAAUAAGAAAGUCUCAUUUGUUGAUGAAGCAACAAGCUCAGAUUCCGAUGAAGAACCAGUAAUCGGUUUGGCAGAGUGGGUAAAAAACAAGAAGCCGAUGUCUUGUCCUUUUGGGCAGAAGGAACUAGAGAAGUUCGCCUUUGAUACCGCCAAGGCCGAUAGGAUAUUUGACUUUCUACUUCAGGAAGGUCAGAUCAAACUGUCACCUAACCAUGUGAUUCCAUCGGCAGAAGAGUUGAAGAGGAUGAGAUAUUGCAAGUGGCAUAAUGCGACUUCACAUGACACCAACGAGUGCAAAGUAUUCAGACAGCAGCUGCAAUCGGCUAUAGAGUCAGGGAGAAUCAAGUUUGACAGUUCUAAAGCCCAGAAGCCGAUGAAGAUAGACCAACAUCCUUUCCCGACAAACAUGUUGGACGCUAAGGGGAAGGCUAAGGUCUUUACGUCGGAAACAGCUGAGAAGAGUGCAUCGGUAGAUCCUCAGCAUCAAGUUACUACUGCCGAUGCAAGAAAUAAGGGCUUGGUCCAGGAAGGGACUAGCUCGGGAAGGCCUCCUCGGUCUGGUAUCGUCAUAACUCAUAGAAGGCCACGAGGAAAUUGGCAACAACGGGAAGAUCGGUAUCGGCGCCAGCAGGAAGAUUAUCGACGGGAAGAAGAAAGACGCCGACAGGAGUGGAAUCGGCAUAGGGAUCAUUGGAAUUGUCCAUUCUUCAUCCAUUGUUGGGAGGAAAAUAUCAAGCUUCCUACUGUCAGAGACUGGCCUGAGUGCAACGGUUAUGAUCGGUACGGUAGAACCGAUCGGCGUUAUCAUGAUGAUGAACGGCGAUUUAAUGGGCCAAUCAGAGGAAGGGCGUCAGUUCAUGAUCGGCUGGGGGGCAGGCUUAGCGUUCACGAUCGGCUCAGUGACCGUGUCCGGUAUUUCCCCCGGAACCAAGAGGAGCUCGAAGGGAUGGCUGAUGCGUGGGUUCCCGAUGAAUUCAUAUUUUGCAGGGAUGCUAACACGCAUCGCAUGGAGUCAAGAGAGAACCAACGCCCGACGGUGAGGCAAAGGCCACUUCCUCCAUGGUGCCCUCAAGGAUUAACCAAGACACAGAAAAGGAGGUUGCAACGUGAAAGGCAGGAAGAGCUAAAUAAAGGAGAGAUCUCUGGAAGUCGGCAGCCGUCAGACACUAAGAGGGAAGGUCCAUCGGCUGGCGUCAACAUGGUCUUCAUGUUGCCGAUGGAGUUUCUUGCACCAGCUAGUGACAAUGAGUUGGAAUUUUCUGAUCAGAUAGCUCAGUUGGCUCUGGAUCCGAUGACGGCUAUCUUUGAGAAACCUGCCGAUGACGAGAAGCAGCAUCUUAAGGCUUUGUUCCUCAAAGGAAGGGUUGAUGGGCAGCCAAUGACUAAGAUCCUAGUUGAUGGUGGAGCUGCUAUUAAUAUUAUGCCGUAUGCAGUAUAUCGGAAGCUUGGGAAAGGGGAUCAAGAUUUGACCAAGACCGAUAUGAUGCUCAAAGACUUUGAGGGAAACGUGUCUCCAGUCAAGGGGGCGAUAUGUGCAGAGUUGACCAUCGGCAGCAAAACCUUGCCGACAACUUUUUUCGUGAUCAGCGGAAAAGGUGCCUACAAUUUAUUAUUGGGGAGAGAUUGGAUUCAUGCCAAUUGUUGUGUCCCAUCUACAAUGCAUCAGUGCUUGGUUCAGUGGGUAGGUGACAAGAUUGAGAUCGUCCCAGGGGAUUCUUCUUAUGUUAUCGCAUCGGCAGAAGCGGAUACUUAUGAAAGGACUAGGUGCAUUUCAGGAGAAGUUUGGGAGAAAGAUUUUCUCAAAGUUGCCAAUUAUGAGAUUCCACCGAUCCAAGCAGUCGGUUCUGACCAUGGUUUUUAAUGGAUAGAUUCGCCGAUGAUGGAAAAUUAGGCCAGGGGUUCACAUCGGCCGAUGAUUUGGUAGAAGUAGAUAUAGGUAGUGGUGAUAAGCCUAGACCUACUUUUAUUAGCGCUAAAUUAGAUCCUGAGUGUAGGCGACAACUGAUUAGUUUGUUAAAGGAAUAUAAAGACUGCUUUGCUUGGGAUUAUACAGAGAUGCCUGAUUUAGACCGAUCAAUUGUCGAACAUCGGUUACCCAUCAAGUCCGGAUUUUGGCCACAUCAGCAACCAGCCCGCAGAUGUAAUCCUAACAUUCUACCUGAUAUUAAGGCCGAAAUCACUAAACUUAUUGAAGCUAAGUUUAUUCGGCAGUGUCGGUAUGCCGAAUGGAUUUCCAAUGUUGUUCCGGUUUACAAGAAGAACGGGAAGCUUCGGGUGUGCAUUGAUUUCAGGAAUCUCAAUAAAGCUACGCCGAUGGAUGGAUACCCAAUGCCUGUCGCCGAUCUACUGGUUGAUGCUGCGGCUGGCCAUCGGGUUAUCAGCUUCAUGGAUGGUAAUGCGGGUUAUAAUCAAAUAUUCAUGGCAGAGGAGGAUAUUCCAAAAACCGCAUUCAGGUGUCCUGGUCAUGUUGGACUAUUUGAAUGGAUAGUCAUGACUUUUGGGUUAAAGAAUGCUGGUGCUACUUAUCAAAGGGCCAUGAAUUUUAUAUUUCAUGAGUUCAUCGGCAAGUUCGUAGAAAUUUAUAUCGAUGAUGUGGUGGUUAAGUCUGGAGAUUUCUCAAAGCAUCUUGUCGAUUUACGAAAAGUGUUGAAGUGCACAAGGAAGCAUGGAUUGAAGAUGAAUCCCAACAAGUGUGCAUUUGGCGUAUCGGCAGGGCAGUUUCUUGGUUUCAUGGUACAUCAGAGGGGUAUUGAAAUUAGUCGAAGAUCUAUUGAUGCCAUCAAUAAAAUAGUGGCCCCUACCAAUAAAACUGAGCUCCAAUCCUUGAUCGGCAAGGUGAAUUUUAUCAGAAGAUUUAUAUCGAAUUUAUCUGGGAGAAUUCGUGCUUUCAGUCCUCUUCUUAAAUUGAAAGCCGAUCAGGAGUUUGUUUGGGGAGAAGAACAGCAGUUGGCUCUGGAUGAAAUUAAAAAAGUAUCUAGUAAAUCCUCCAGUUUUAGUUCCACCUCAACAAGGGAAACCCUUCAAAUUAUAUUUAUCUACCGAUGGAUCGGUUAUCGGUUCAGCUUUAGUUCAAGAAUUUGAAGGGAAAGAGAGAGUAAUUUAUUAUUUGAGUAGGAGGUUGAUUGAUGCUGAAACCAGGUAUUCGGCCAUUGAGAAACUGUGCUUAUGCUUAUAUUUUUCAUGUAUCAAGCUGAGACAUUACCUGUUGUCGGCUGAAUGUGCUGUUGUUUGCAAAGAUGAUGUGGUCCGAUACAUGCUAUCUAUGCCGAUUAUGAGUGGUAGGAUCGGUAAAUGGAUUUUAGCGCUGUCGGAGUUCGAUUUGCAUUACGAAUCGGCUAAGGCAGUCAAAGGGCAGAUCAUGGCCGAUUUUGUGACUCAGCCUUGCCGAUUGUUGCCACAUCAACAAAUAAUCAGGCUGAGUAUCAAGCUCUGAUCAAGGGAUUGGAGUUGUUAAGAGAAGUUCGUGCUGACGCUGUUGAAAUAUUUGGGGAUUCCAUGUUGGUUAUAAAUCAAUUGGCCGGAAGCUAUGAAUGCCGAAGUGAGGUUCUCAUAACCUAUUUCGAGAGAAGUGUGCAACUGUUAAAGGAAUUCAAGAACUUCCGAUUGGAGCAUGUUCCCCGAUUGCAUAAUGAAGACGCUAAUCGGUUAGCCCAUCAUGCCUCAGGAUAUCAGCCAAUGAUUAAUGCGACAUCGGCAGUCAGUGCCGGUGAUUGGAGGAAAGGAAUUAUCGACUAUCUAAAAGAUCCAUCCAAAAAAGUUGAAAGACGGGUUCGAUUUCAAGCGACCAAGUAUGUGCUCCUUGAAAAUGAAUUGUAUUAUCGAACUAUCGACGGAAUUCUUCUCCGAUGCUUAGGUGAUGAUGAAGCCAGAAGUCUGAUGGGGGAAAUCCAUGAAGGAGUGUGUGGAGCGCAUCAGUCAGCUUUUAAGAUGAAGUGGAUGAUUCGAAGGAAUGGAUAUUUUUGGCCAACCAUACUUGAAGAUUGUUUUAAAUAUUUCAAGGGAUGUCAAAGUUGUCAAAAGUUCGGUAAUAUCCAGAGAGCACCCGCAUCGGCUAUGAAUCCUAUAAUAAAACCUUGGCCGUUCCGGGGGUGGGCCAUCGAUCUGAUCGGCCAGAUUUAUCCACCAUCUAGCAAAGGGCAUAAGUUCAUUCUAGUUGCCACUGACUAUUUCACUAAGUGGGUCGAAGCUAUUCCUUUGAAGAAAGUCACAUCGGCCAAUAUGAUUGAUUUUGUGAAGGAGCAUAUUAUUUACCGAUUUGGGAUUCCCCAAACGAUUACUACCGAUCAGGGCACCAUGUUCACGUCGGGGGAGUUCGAUGAAUUCGCAAUCGGUAUGGGAAUUAAAGUGUUGAAUUCUUCUCCUUACUAUGCUCAAGCCAACGGGCAGGCCGAAGCGUCUAACAAAGGAAUUAUCAAGCUUAUUAAACGAAAGAUUGAAGAAAAUCCUAGGCGGUGGCAUACAUUGUUAAAUGAAGCACUGUGGUCUUAUCGGAUGGCUUGUCAUGGAUCAACCAAGGUGUCACCCUAUCAAUUGGUGUAUGGACAUGAUGCAGUGUCGCCUUGGGAGAUUAAGGCUGGAUCUAGGCGAUUAUCUUUUCAAGAUCAAUUGGCUGCCGAUGAUUAUGCCACUUUGAUGACCGAUGAGUUAGAUGAUUUAGCAGGGCAUCGGUUAAAGGCUUUAAUGAGUAUAGAAGAAAAUAAGAAGAGAGUUGCUAGAUGGUAUGAUAAAAAAGUAAAGGCUAAGGAGUUUGCCGAUGGGGAUUUGGUAUGGAAGUUGAUUUUGCCAGUCGGGACUAAAAGUUCGAAGUUUGGGAAGUGGUCUCCUAAUUGGGAAGGUCCUUAUCGGAUAAGACACUCAGCUCCUGGUAAUGCCUAUAUUCUAGAAACUCUCGAAGGAGUUGAAUUUCCCAGAGCAUUAAAUGGCAAAUAUUUAAAGAAGUACUACCCCAGCAUAUGGGUCGACGCAUAAAAGUUUAAGUGCCGAUAACACUCCUAUCGGCUGGAUUUAAAUGUUCAGGGGCAGACUUAAUGUUUCAAAAGCUAAAAGCUAAAAGCGGAAAAACAAAGGUGUGUUGCCGAUGAAAGCUUCAGAUGUUCAGCAGCGCUUGGAUUGCUGAUAUGGCGCGCAGCCGAAUCUGAUUGGCCGUCUCUAUCUCUUUGAUAUCAUCAUCGGCAGAACCUUCUAUCGGCUUCAGCUUCCUCUUCAGCUGCAGCGCUUUGCGACCAUGGACGUUUCGUUCUUGUUCAAGGUGCUUGAUGGUCUCCGGCAGCUGACUCUCUUCUUGCUGGGCUUGGGACAGAGCGUCCUCUACUUGCUUGAGUUCGGCUAGUAGAGCUUCUCUUUUUGCCGAUAGAUCAGACACUUUCUGCUUCAGUGCAUCACCUGAGGACUUUAAGGUGCCGAUGUUCUUAUGUUUCUCAUCGGCUAAGAGUUUUUCUUUCAUCAUCUCCUCAGAAAGCUGGAUUUGAGCGGCUCUAUCGGCAAGGCGUCGAGUGGCUCUCUGGUACUGUAGCUGGCGGCUUUCUAGGUGUGCAGCAUGGAAGAGUGUUUCUUCAGCAUCGGCAGGAAUUUGGCCUCUAAGGGUCUUGAACAGGGCUUUGGCUGGGUCAGAAUCAUUGACCAGCUGAGUUGUGUCUUGAGGAAGUAUGGCCGAUAGCUCUUCCAGCUUAGCUCUGGUUUCUGCCGAUACAGUUCCAACUGCCCGAGAGGAGCUUGCUUCCUCGCCUUCUUCUUCGAAGAUAUCAAUGGCGAAGGAGAAUAAGCUGUUGGGAGAAUCUUGUUCCUGAAAAUGAAGAUGAAAUAAGUCAGUUUUAUGGUCAAAACUUCGGCAGACGAUACUGGUGGAAAAUUGGAUGACUUACUUGCUUCAAGGCGAUUUCUUGCCUUUGACUCAAAGAUGCCGAUGGAGCUACAGGUUGAUCGGCAAAUGUUGCCGAUGGAACGAUAUCGCCUGAAAGAAGACAGGAAGGAUUAUGAGACUAAAUGAAAAUAAGUUUAUCGGCGGAAGUAUUGUGGAGAUAUGUUACCCGGAGGAGAAACAACAGUCGCCUGAAUCGGGGAAACCGCCGAUGAUAUAACUGGACCUGUCGGGCCAGUUGUUUGUUCACCUGCGUCAGCUGAUGUACCUUCUGUUUGAGGUUCUUCCUACUGGGGUUCUUCCAUCUGUGGUGCUUCCUGUAUUGGUUGGGGAGAUGGUACUUGCUGUGUCUGGACUUCUGGAGAAGAAGGGGAAGAUUCCACCGGGAUUGGAGACACCGGAGGAGGAGGAGGAGUUGCCACUUUCUGGCGCUUUGUUCCAGCCUUAGCACCUUGGAUGCCCUUCCUCUUUGGCUGGCUAGACUGGGGGGCAUCGGCACCUUGGCGUUUGGCUUUUGCCGAUGCACCAGUUUGCUGCAACAACAAAAAGGAGUUUAUGAGCACAGAUAGCCGAUACAAAGAUAGUCAGCAUAAAUGAAAAAGGUUUUAACAGAUUGCCUUGAAAGCUUGCGCCAGAGUGGAAGCAGUUACCGUUGGUGAUGUCUGAGUUUUCCUGGUGGUAACUUUCUUGAGGCGCGCACCCCGGUGCACGAUGGAAGCCAGAGUGGGAGCAUUAUGGCCGAUUGAGGAGAUCGGGCCUGAUGGGAAUAAGUCGAUCGGCUUGCCACUCCUGCUAACCGAUGGGGGGGUGUUGUCAAUCUGCAAAAGGAAUACAGGGGUAAGUUACCGAUGGGAAUAGUAUUGGAAAAUGAGACAUCGGUUUAAAAUACUUACAGUGUCAUCAGGGACUUCGUAUUCGGGGUCGAUCAUGCCGCGGUAUGAGAGGGCCGAUCUGCAGAAUAGAUUCUCUUUCCAUUCUGCCCACCAUAGCUUGUAUGCCUGAGUGAUAAAGGCAGCUGGAACCCAUUCUGACAGAUCUACAUCUGUAUCGGCAUUUGGUGGUAGCUGGGCUACUCGAGUCCACUCGAGGAGGUUGGCGAUGGGUUCUCUGGGCUUUAUUACAUCGGCAUAAGGAAGUGCAAUCGGCAAUUGGCCGAAAGCUAGCUGGCGAGCUAAUGCCGAUGGAUUAUAAAAUUCAUAGGUUUGGGGGGAGGUUUUCAUGCUACCGAAGAAAUUCACUGGUAUGGCUCUGGGAGUCACGAUUGCCAUCAUCACCUCAUUGUCCCUGUCGAGAGCUUCAUCAAAUGGAUUGAAGGUCAGUGGGAGCAUGCUGUCUGGGUCGUCAUAAGCCAGCCAUGGUCGUUCAUCUCUGGCCAGACCCUCAUACAGAGUCUCGAAGAAUCGGCCGAUCUGAUCCGGAUUGUUCCCUGAACCGGGUAAGACUAUAACGGCUUCACCAAAGUUCAAGGGGGCACGCGUUGCCGAUUCCUCUUCACCUAACACAUGAUUCUCGGCUAUAUCUCUUGGGAAGUGCUGUGAGAACAAGUUGAAAUCAAGGCGCUUAUGCAGAUGCAGAUUGAGCCACAUAUUAAUAAACCACCAGGGGCCUCCCAAGUUGCCGAUGGAUUGGCCAAGCAGGAGUUUCUGGGCUACCUGAUGAAGAAGGUGGUAAACAGCGCCGAGCAAAUAUCGGCCGAGAGGAAAUUGGCCGCCGCUAGCCAGUCUUUCUGCUGCCGAUAGAUAGACAGAAGUCGGUCCUGCCGAUCGACCACAGAAUACAAACUUGUCCAGCCAUAUGUUCAGAAAGGUGGUUUGCUCCUUUGUGGUGACAGGCCCUCUCCCGCGGUACUUCUGGAUGUACCCUGACCAACCGCCGAUAGCGCGAGUCUCCACUUUGGCACUGGGGGCGGUAUCAAAAAAGUGGGUGCUAUCGGCAGAAGAUAUAUCUAGCCCAGUAAGCAUGGCUACAUCAGCAAGGGUAGGAGAAGCAGGGCCGUGGCCAAAAACAAAAGCAUUGAGAGUGUCUGACCAAAAGUAGGAUGCAGCUAUCAGCAAUGACUCGUUCCUGUGCAUAUCGGCAAUGGAUAGCCUAAUGCAUUGAGCUAGCUUCCUCUCACCCCAUUGAACUUCAUAAGAAUUGCUGACCCUCAAGAACCAAUCUUUCCACCCUACAGUAGGGCUGGGCCAAGAACGAAAGGUGUCUUUCCACAGAUCUAAAGAAAAGUUUUCAGCUCUAAAGGGAAUCCUGUUGGUUUCUGCAUUGAUAAGGUCGGUUGGAUCUGGAUCCCCUAGAGGGCCGAGGCACUGAAGGUGUGGUUGAUCAGUAGGGAUGACAAUUUUGUUGGACAACUCCUAGUGUUUUGGGGAGUAAAAAUACAAAGAAAAAGGAAAAGGAAAAUAUUCGGUAAGAUGAAUCGCAGAUGAACAAGAAUGCGAGAAAAAGGUACAGCAGAUGAGAUGGAAGUCUGACCUCAGGGACGACGAAACCAAUGGCCAUCUUGUCAUGAAGAGGAUGUUGGAGGGCACCGGAGUUGAUGAAGAAGAGUGCUUGUCGGAGGUCUUGAGGGUUGUGGAUGGCGCCGCCGCUGGAAAAGCAAAGUUGGAUAGUAGAAUGGUGUAAUGGGGGAGGAGUACCCAAGAAGGAACUAUUUAUAGGACAAGAUGGGCAAGGGCAAAUCCGUCUUAUCUCUUUGCCGCAUCCGAGAAGCCCGAGGGUACUCAGGUGGAUAUGGUAACUGUUCGCACGGUAAUCCAGGGAUUGUGCAGGUGAUUUGACAGGAAGCGGUCAUUAUCUAAAGAUAUUUUACUGUGCGCGAUAUCCUGGUCGGUCCAUCCGUGAUAUUCUAUAACGGUCAUCUUGCCGAUGGGCGGAUAGACGGGGGGUAACCGUUUUUUGCGAAUAUCCUGGUCAGAGCAUCGGCAGAUCUUUAUAACGGAAUUGUUGCCGAUGUACGACCAAGAAAGAUGCCCGUUUAGGAAGUUGGGGAUUUCGAGGAAUAUGCGGAGGAUUAGGAUCAGAGUUGUCCAGAUUGAGGUUGUCGGUUACUAGAUUAGGAGCAUUAAUUGCGGAGAAGGCAUCAUUACUGCAGAGAAUUUCGGAGCAUUAAUAGUUUUAUACUCCGAAACUGGGGGGCAUGUGUUGACACCGUUUUUGGGCACGUGUCCAGGAUGGCAGGAUAGGGUGGCAGUACAAUGCGGGUUGCUGAUGAGGAUGGUUGCCGAUGAGGGAGAGGUUGAAUGUGACUAAGUCCACAGGCAGUAAUAUGGUGCCGAUGGCUGGGUUAAAAGGUCUGCCGAUGACUAUGGCAAGGGGAUUGCCGAUGACGCGAAGGAGGAGUCCGGAAGCUGCCAGUUGUCAUCUGGAGGAGUUUCGGUUUGUCACGAAGGAUAGUUUUAUUAUUCCCUUAGUUAUUUGUAUCGUUUUGUAUACGGAUUCCGUGUAAUUUGGAAUUCGAAUUCUAAUCGUGUCUGGUCGUAGCUCUUUGAGCAGGGUAUAAAUAUAAACCCUAGGACCUUGUAAUCAAAAUAUCAAGAAAUCAAUCAAACACAUGUUUUUACUCAUAUUCCAGCAUCUACUUUUCGACGACUUCGUCAUACUUUUUUCCUUUUAUUACGAGUUCUUAGGAAUUCGUCGACUUAAGCUCGGCGUAUUCUCAAGUUCCGCGUGAGUACCUCUUAGCCGUGACAUCCGGGCGCAUCGCUGUUGUCAGGACAAAAGUAUUCGAGUUAUCACCUUUGCCGAUAGCAAGGUCAAAUCGGCUGGCACGCCUUAACGUUUGAAUCGGGUAUUAGCCCUUUGUGUUUGCAGAUCAGUUUUGCAUCAACAAGAACACUGGAUUUAUAGCCCUGAUGGCGAUAGGCAGAAAAGUGGUCAGCAUGACAUGACAAUCAUGUGAGUUGUAGUUGGUGAAUUGUUGACGGUCCUUAAUGCUCACAUUUAACCAUCAACUAAUCAUGGAAAAGGAUCCAAAUGCAACCAACACCUAGACUUAGGGUUUUAUAUGACAGAAUUCCACGAGUUUUGGUGUUUGUCUAUUUCUGCAGGGGGUUAUCAGGAAAUACGGAAGAAAGGCCCACACGUCGGGUUUACAUAGAGAUAUUAACGUGCCGCACAAUUAUCUACCAUCUACAAGAGUCCAGAAGCCACGGGAGCGAACGGGAGACGUAACGGAGCCGGGCACUGGGCGCCCGCCCUCCCUUACUGGGCGCCCGCCCUCCCCCCUGGACCAAUCAGGGCGAAGUUCGGGGAUCAUGCUCCAUCGACCUAAUACUUCAAGGAAAACCACACGAUCAAUGUCGGUUUGAUCCAAUGGCCCAGAUUCACUUGAAGGGACUAUAAAACCAGACCCCCCUGGCCCAUGGAGAUCAUACCCCUUCUACAGAAUCAAAGUUAGGGUUUCAAUUCUUCAUCCAAGUAGAGAGGAUCCCUCUAGUUCUUCUAGUUCUACCUCUAGUUCAUCUAGAUCUAGUUCUAGUUCAUCUAGUUCUAGUUCUAGUUCCUCUAGUUCUAGUUCUAGUUAGUUCUAGUUGUAAUCUAGAAAAUAGGGAGAGAGAAGAGGAGAGCGGAGAAGGAGCCGGAUCUGUCGGAUCUUCCUCAACAUUGUACUUUUGCAGCAACUGGUUCGUUCUUCAUCGUUCUCCAGGUUCUUCAAUUCAUAAUCCUGAGUUCUUUAAUUACUUUUAUUUACAUUCAAGUUAUUUAUUGGAUUCCCGCUUGCAUCAAGUGCUCUAAUCUUUGCAACAUUAGAGUAGUAAUUAAAAGAUUAGACGUGGUGUUUAGUCUUGCAAUUACCUGGAAUUCCACCCAAUCCUGCGGAUUGUUGUGGUAGCCUUAGGGUAGUGACAGCCCUAACGGUCGAUGUAUUCCACCUCGUUCGGCUUGGUGUUUGUAGGACUGUAGUCAGACCUUCCUAGCCCCCUUCUCAUCUCUUUCUGUGGUUAGUGCUCUGAUGUCCCGAAAUAAAUAAUCUUGAAGUAAUUCUUGAUUCUUAGAUCAACUAGAGAACUCUCAGGAAACUUCCUCUCUUCCCACCAAAAAUAAUCAUAUAGUUAUCCUUGGGCGAUCUUGGAUCUUAAUUAGUACACUCACGUUCCCUGUGGAAAAUCGAUACUCUGGAAUACUCCCGGGUGAAGGCUACAUCGGUAUCCGUGCGCUUGCGGAUUUUUCUGUUUGCGUUUAAAAUACCCAACAAGCUUUCUGGCACCGUUGCCGGGGAACGGUAGCUGUGCUAGUUUCGAACCAAUUCGUCCGUGUAUCCUUUUUCAUUUCUUUUUUACCACACUCACCUUACCAUUUUCACCACACCACAUGGAUUUCACUCCUAUCUAUAAAUUCUUUGCUCCAAAGGGCGAGUUAUUAGAGCCACCACCAUCAUCACAUCCAUUCUUACAGAUGGCUAUGACCUCGGCCCUGAUCUAAUAGCCAUGAUUCAGGAGCAACCCUUCUCUGGGCAAUUAGAUGAAGAUCCAUACACCCACCUUAGAGAAUUCGAGCAGUUGUGCUCUUGCCGAUCUAUUUCUAGCAUGACACAAGAAACCCUUAAAUGGAAAUUAUUUCCGUUCUCCCUUUUGGGAAGGGCAAAAAAGUGGUAUGCUCAUUCUGUAGGAGGCGUUAAUGGAAUUUGGGAUGAACUUCGGGACAACUUUUGUCUCGCUUUCUUCCCACUUUUUCGAAUCGCUGACCUUAGAAUCGAAAUUCUUACAUUCAAACAAAGAGAGAAGGAAACUUUAGGAGCAGCUUGGGCUAGGUUCACAAGCCUUACCAAUUCCGGUCCAAACCUUUCCCUGCCUGACCAUGUACUGUACUACCACUUUUAUCGUGGUCUAAGCAAGGAAGCUGCUCUUCACCUCGACAUUGCUUCAGGAGGCUCAUUCACACACAAACUCACAGAUGAGGGGAGAGGGAUCCUAGAGAGAAUCCUUGAAAAUACCCCUUACACAGGCAUUUAUGAUGAGUUUCCUGAAGAAGAGAAAGAAGUCAAGCCUGACCCUAAACCAAAAGAUGAGGAACUUGCAACCGAGUUAGAAAUUCCACCUGACCCAUCCAUUAAUUUGGUUGUAGAGAAACCUCCUGAUAAGGGAAUGCAAAACCAACUAAAGGAUGAUGAACCACCACCUUUAGAGCAUCCCUUUGAAUUCGAGGAAGAUCUUUUUGAAGAUUAUGGAAACACCUCGAAUUUUCCUAUCCAAACACGACCUCUAGCAAGGACCACUCAAUCUGUUCUAAGAGUAGAAUCUGUUGACAUAGAACACAUCAAAAGCCUUUCGGCUAUUCUGAGUUAUGAAUGGCUAACAGAAGCAGAGCUGUCUCCUGAGGUAGCUCGGAUCAUCACUCCUUCAACCAUUCUUCUGUGCCAAAUUAGACGGUCCGUUAGGAAGGUCCACUACAAUCCAUAUGUUGGGAUAAAUGUUAUUUCCAAGGAGUUAGCUGACACUCUUUAUCCCAACGAGUCCAUAACCCCAUCUCAAAAACUUUUACAAAGUCCAUCUUGAUUAAUUCUAGAGAGCCAUGGGGUAUUAAGGGCAGUUCCUAUUAGAAUCAAGGACUUUGGAAUAGGUCUAGAUUUUCACAUUUUUGACAUACCGGAGAUUCCUCUCUUGAUUGGUAGACCAAUCAUGAAACUUCUAGAAGAACAACCACAACGAGGUCAUUUAGGCUUCAAAGUUGGGAAUUCCACUAUUGUUGUUCCUCUAGCUAGAUCAAUUAACACGAUAGUGGAACCCAAACUUGACCCAGAUCCUAUUGAGGAGGUCUUAAUGGUGACUCAAAAGGAGAUGACCCAACCAUUCUUUAAUCAUGAACACUUUGUUCAAGAAGAAGAAGAGUUGGUAGAACCCGUCGAGCUAGACAAAAAUGAACUACCUUCACCUCCUUCGAUAGAAUUAAAACCUCUUCCUUCUGGCCUUAGAUAUGUCUUUUUGCACAACAACUCAAAAACUCCAGUAAUUAUCAGUGACAAGCUUUUCGAUUAUGAAACACAACAACUUGUCACUGUUCUUGAAAGACAUAGAUCAGCAUUUGGCUACUCUCUCGAGGAUCUCACGGGCAUUAGUCCCAUUCUCUGCACUCAUCGUAUCCCUAUUGAUCCCAAUUCUACACCUUCAAGGGAACCACAACGGAGACUUAACAAUGCUAUGCGAGAGGUUGUUAAGAAAGAGGUCCUCAAACUCUAUCAUGCUGGGAUUAUUUAUCCUGUACCACAUAGUGAGUGGGUUAGCCCUGUCCAAGUAGUGCCAAAGAAAGGAGGAAUGACGGUCGUUAGGAAUGAGAAGAAUGAACUCAUCCCUCAACGAAUUGUUACUAGGUGGCGUAUGUGUAUUGACUAUCAAAAACUCAACAAGGCUACAAAGAAAGAUCACUUUCCGUUACCCUUCAUUGAUGAAAUGUUGGAACGGCUUGCAAACCACUCUUUCUUUUGUUUCCUUGAUGGUUAUUCUGGAUAUCACCAAAUCCCAAUCCACCCAGAUGACCAAGAAAAGACUACCUUUACAUGCCCAUAUGGAACUUAUGCAUACCGACGAAUGUCGUUCGGAUUGUGCAAUGCUCCAACUUCUUUCCAAUGGUGCAUGAUGUCUAUUUUCUCGGACAUGAUUGAGAAGAUCAUGGAGGUUUUCAUGGAUGAUUUUACCGUCUAUGGCAAAACCUUCGAUCAUUGUUUGGAGAAUUUAGAUAGAGUCUUGCAGCGAUGUGAAGAAAAACACUUAAUCCUGAACUGGGAGAAAUGCCAUUUUAUGGUUCAGGAAGGAAUAGUGCUAGGACAUAAAGUGUCCGAACGUGGUAUAGAGGUGGACAAAGCAAAGAUUGAAGUUAUUGAAAAACUUCCACCUCCCACGAAUGUGAAAGGAAUCCGUAGCUUUUUGGGACAUGCAGGGUUCUAUAGACGCUUUAUCAAAAAUUUCUCUCAAAUUGCUAGACCCCUAACUAAUCUCCUAGCCAAGGAUGCACCUUUCAUCUUUAGUGAUGAGUGUCACGAAUCUUUUCAAACUCUUAAGAAAGCACUCAUCUCAGCCCCGAUUAUCCAACCACCUGAUUGGAAUCUUCCUUUUGAGAUCAUGUGUGAUGCUAGCGAUUUUGCGGUUGGGGCUGUUUUAGGACAAACCAAGGAUAAAAAGCAUUAUGCCAUAUCCUACGCUAGCAAAACCUUGUCUGGACCACAGCUCAAUUACACUACAACUGAAAAAGAGCUUUUGGCUAUUGUCUUUGCUAUAGACAAGUUUAGAUCUUACUUAGUGGGGGCAAAGAUAAUCAUCUAUUCAGACCAUGCUGCUCUCAAGUACCUCCUCACUUAGAAAGAUGCUAAGCCUCGUCUAAUUCGGUGGAUUCUUCUACUCCAAGACUUUGACAUAGAAAUCCGAGAUAGGAACGGAGUUGAGAAUUCUGUAGCUGACCACUUGUCUAGGCUUCAGUAUAAGGAAACACAUGAUGAACUUCCCAUAAAUGACUACCUAAGGGAUGACACCAUACUUAAGAUAACACAUGCAGAUCCAUGGUACGCAGACAUCGUAAACUUUAUAGUAAAAGGCUAUGUCCCACCUGGUGCAAACAAAAGGAAGUUGCUUCACGAUAGUCGUUUCCACCUUUGGGAUGAGCCAUAUCUUUUCCGAGUCUACGCUGAUGGACUCUUGAGAAGGUGUGUUCCUAUGGCUGAGGCUACUCAAAUUAUGGAAAGAUGCCAUGCCUCGCCAUAUGGAGGAAACUAUGGAGCAUUUCGGACACAUGCUAAAAUUUGGCAAAGUGGUUUUUUCUGGCCAACGAUGUAUGAAGAUACAAAGGACUUUGUCAGGAGAUGCCACCGGUGUCAAAAACAUGGGAAUAUUAACUCACGAAAUGAAAUGCCUCUCACAAAUAAUCUUCAAGUAGAACUUUUCAAUGUAUGGGGCAUUGAUUUCAUGGGGCCAUUCCCUAUGUCCGGGAAUUGCGAGUAUAUCUUAGUAGCUAUGGAUUACGUGUCCAAAUGGGUAGAAGCCUUACCUUGUCGAUCAGCUGAUUCAAAACAUGCCAAGAGAAUGUUCCAUGAAGUAAUCUUUCCUCGCUUUGGUAUACCCCGGAUAGUCAUAAGCGAUGGAGGUUCCCACUUCAUCGACAAAAUCUUUCGGAAGUACCUCGCCGAUCAUGGAGUUCGACACAACAUCGCAACACCAUACCAUCCUCAGACUAGCGGUCAAGCCGAAACAUCUAACAAACAAAUCAAAAAUAUUUUACAAAAGACCGUAGAUGAGAUGGGUAAGGGGUGGAAGGACAAACUUCCUGAUGCACUUUGGGCAUAUAGAACUGCAUUCAAAACACCCAUAGGCAUGUCACCUUAUCAACUUAACAUGCUCCACAAGUUUUGUUGUCUAUUUGGGUUGUGCAGGAUUUUGAGGCUUAAGAAGAGUGAGACCAAACAUGCAGGCUAGAAGAGUGAACGACUAUGUCAACAUCCAGCUUUGGGGAGGCACCCCGACAUGUAUCUAGAUAAGUAUUACUUUUCUUUCUUGGUUUUAUUUACUAGUAUUUGGAAAUAAAAAAAAUGCAUAUCCAUGAAACCAAACAAAGUUUUUCUUUUGAGUAAUAUACAAUUGUUUUGUGUAAUCCUAAGUUUUAAAUAAAAUAAAAAGAAAGUUUGAUUCAAGUCUAGGUAAUUGACAAACAUGAUAUGAGAAGGUCUGAGCUACUAUUUAACUUGUUCCAAGUUUUGCUAGAGUUCUGGAGAUUUUAUCUUUUGAAAAUCUAAAAAUUCAUAAAAAAAUAUGAGAUCAUAAUACCUAGAGUCUUAUAAGAUAUAAAUAUUAAAACUGUGGGCACUUGCUUUGUUCAAGCCAUUGUUAAUUCUUGUAGUUUUGGUUGAGAGAAUUAUCAUGCUCCCAAGAUCAAGAUCUUUUUGUUUUAAAAAUAUAAAAGAUUCACUCUUCCGAAGUAUUAUUGCGUUAGAGGCAUGGGACUAUGCAAAUAUUUGAUUUGAAAAAAAAAGAGCGAGACGAGAGGUAAAAAUGGACAAGUGUCCGAAGUAGAAUUAGGGGUACAAAGAUACCCACCUGAGUGGAAAAAAUGGACAUGUGUCCGACAGUAGAAUUAGGGGUACUUGCUGCCCACUUGAAAAAAAAGAGAGACUGAAAAAAAGAGAAAAAAAAGAAAAAAGAAAAAAAAAUGAUAGCCCAUGGUCCCUCUAAUAAGCAAUAUGCCAGUAAGAGAUGACAAACUUCUCAAAAAGGUCAAAGGUCUUGAUCUAGGAGUAUGACAUUCCUCUCCCUUGCUCUGAGUUUUGACAUAGCAAAAUGCAAAGUAAGUAUGCUAAAACUUUUAAAGCUCUACUUAUAUAUCUUUCGAGAGGAAGGCAAAUGCCUCAGUUUUAUUUUGCAGACUUAUAAAAAACUCCAGAACAAAGGUAAGACAGAAGAACUUGAGACAUAGUGCUUGACUUGAUCGUUCUGUUUUUCAAUCACUUAAGACCUUAGUGAUAACUUAAAAAACCCUGUAGUAAGAGGCAUAAAAGUAACCCCUGUUUUCUUGUUGAUUUUAGCUUUGCUCAGGGACGAGCAAAGGUUAAGCUUGGGGGAGCUUGUUGACGGUCCUUAAUGCUCACAUUUAACCAUCAACUAAUCAUGGAAAAGGAUCCAAAUGCAACCAACACCUAGACUUAGGGUUUUAUCUGACAGAAUUCCAUGAGUUUUGGUGUUUGUCUAUUUCUACAAGGGGUUAUCAGGAAAUAUGGCAGAAAGGCCCACACGUCGGGUUUACAUAGAGAUAUUAACGUGCCGCACAAUUAUCUACCAUCUAGAAGAGUCCAGAAGCCACGGGAGCGAACGGGAGACGUAACGGAGCCGGGCACUGGGCGCCCGCCCUCCCUUACUGGGCGCCCGCCCUCCCCCCUGGACCAAUCAGGGCGAAGUUCGGGGAUCAUGCUCCACCGACCUAAUACUUCAAGGAAAACCACACGAUCAAUGUCGGUUUGAUCCAACGGCCCAGAUUCACUUGAAGGGACUAUAAAACCAGAACCCCUGGCCCCUGGAGAUCAUACCUCUUCUACAGAAUCAAAGUUAGGGUUUCAAUUCUUCAUCCAAGUAGAGAGGAUCCCUCUAGUUCUUCUAGUUCUAACUCUAGUUCAUCUAAAUCUAGUUCUAGUUCAUCUAGUUCUAGUUCUAGUUCCUCUAGUUCUAGUUCUAGUUAGUUCUAGUUGUAAUCUAGAAAAUAGGGAGAGAGAAGAGGAGAGCGGAGGAGGAGCCGGAUCUGUCAGAUCUUCCUCAACAUUGUACUUUUGCAGCAACUGGUUCGUUCUUCAUCGUUCUCUAGGUUCUUCAAUUCAUAAUCCUGAGUUCUUUAAUUAGUUUUAUUUACAUUCAAGUUAUUUAUUGGAUUCCCGCUUGCAUCAAGUGCUCUAAUCUUUGCAACAUUAGAGUAGUAAUUAAUAGAUUAGACGUGGUGUUUAGUCUUGCAAUUACCCGGAAUUGCACCCAAUCCUGCGGAUUGUUGUGGUAGCCUUAGGGUAGUGAUAGCCCUAACGGUCGACGUAUUCCACCUCGUUCGGAUUGGUGUUUGUAGGACCGUAGUCAGACCUUCCUAGCCCCCUUCUCAUCUCUUUCUGUGGUUAGUGCUGUGAUGUCCCGAAAUAAAUAAUCUUGAAGUAAUUCUUGAUUCUUAGAUCAACUAGAGAACUCUCAGGAAACUUCCUCUCUUCCCACCAAAAAUAAUCAUAUAGUUAUCCUUGGGCGAUCUUGGAUCUUAAUUAGUACACUCACAUUCCCUGUGGAAAAUCGAUACUCUGGAAUACUCCCGGGUGAAGGCUACAUCGGUAUCCGUGCGCUUGCGGAUUUUUCUGUUUGCGUUUAAAAUACCCAACAUGAAUGUAAGGUCUUUCAUCGACACAAGACUCCUUAUGUUGGAGCAGAAACCAGAUGGAACUUUUAAAUUCUUCAACCACACACACAUUGCAUGUUUCUCCUCUCUGUUCAGGUUGUAGCUUGCUGCCGGUAGGUGGUACUUCCCAUUCUCUAGGAGUAUAGGGUGAAGUUCUUUUCUGAUCUUUAAAUGUUGCAUGACCAAACGUGAAUUGAGACCUUCCUUUGUCUUGCUCUUUAUGUCUAACAAGGUUCCAAUUAUGCUUUUAAACACAUUCUUCUGAACAUGCAUACCAUCGAUCGCAUGUCGUAUGUCCAAGUCUUUCCAGUAUGAUAAGUACUUGAAGAAAAUGGACUUCUUCUUGAAUGUGUCCCCUUCAUUUGCCUUGACAACCUUUCUUGGUUUCCUAUCUUUGGUCUUCUUUCCAAAAACAAACUUCACAUUCUCAACUAUCUUGUACACUCUAUGCCCUUUACUACAACCUAAUGGAGCAGUAGAUUUUGAUUCAUCAAUAUUGUCGAAGUACUUAUUCAUCUUUUGUAAGCGGUACUUAUGACCUGCUGGUAGCCAUCUUCUGUGCCUCAUGUACACUGUCUUGUUAGAUGCAGGAAGAGACACGUGCCAUGUUCCAUCUAUGCACUCUACACAACCACCCUUUCCCUUGAACUGGCCUGAUAAUGAGAAGAGAGCAGGGUAAUCAUUAAUUGUGACAAUAAUAAUUGCUCUCAGUGUGAAUGUCUCUUUGCAGAACGCAUCGAUCAUGUCCACACCUACUUCCCAUAGUGUUUGCAUGUCUUGCAUUAAGGGCUCUAGAAAUACAUCCAUAUCAACUCCAGGUUGUGUAGCUCCAGAAAUAAGAAUGGUUAGCAAAAGAUAUUUUCUCUUUUGACACAACCAUGAAGGAAGGUUGUACAUUGUCAGGAUCACCAGCCACGUGCUGUGCGUGUUGCUCCUUUCGCCAAAUGGAUUCAUUCCGUCAAUACUCAGUGCAAACCUUAUAUUCUGUGGAUCGUCGGCAAAGUCUGGAUAUUUCUUAUCGAAAUCUUUCCAUUGCAUUGCAUCGGCUGGAUGUUGUAACUUUCCAUCAUCUUUCCUUUCAUCCGAAGCAUGCUAGGUCAUAAGUUUAGCAUCUUCAGGGUUUGCAAACAAAAACCUCAAACGAUCAACCAUGCGGAGAUACCAUAUCACCAAAGCAGGAAUUCUUCUCAAUGCAUAAUAGUCCACUUCUUCAUUGCUACUAGGCUUUGUGUUGAUAUUUGGUAACGCAAUAAGGAAAUGAUCCGCAAGCGCACGGAUAUCGGUGAGCAUUUCACCCGGGAGAUUAUCCAGAGUUAUCGUAUUUAUAUUUUUACCACUGGGAGAAAGGGUGCAUCUGACUAACCAAAUCUAUUGCUACUAUCCCUUUAGGCUACAAAGAAUGUCUCUCGAUGUGAGUGAUGUAUAGAGAAGACUGCAACCUUAGUCUCGUUCUAACCUUGGUAAGGAUGAUCUACUGUUCUAUUGGGGAGGCUCACGGAAUCUAGACAACACAAAGGAUGUUCGACCCGCACCUAUAAACCUACCAGUCCUGCUAACGAGAUGUGAUCUGCAAAGGUAACUCGGAAUUGUCACAUUCCUCGCUACUACUACGGUCCAGCUAGUCAGGGGAUAUCUAUGAGUACCCUAGCCUAAACACCACGUUUACGCUAACAAGUGAUUACUCUAAUACUCAACCGGAAGAGGAUUAAAGUAAACUCAUAAACCAAAGAACAAUAAAACAAGAACUUACUAGUAUUAGAAGUCGAAUUACUGAAGAAUCUUAGAAGCAAGCCUCGGGUUAGGAGACUUGAUCCCGUAGGUACAACUCGGAGUAGACACCGACAGGCCGGCCUUCCUCCGAUCCACACCUCCACUCUAUCUCUCUCAAUCUAGUAGAAACUAGAAGAUCUAUUUCUACUUUACAUUGGUUGCUAAGCCUAAAAAGAAAUAUUAUUUAGAGAAGAGGUUUUCCUUCGAGGGCACCCCUCAAUCUCUAUGAUAAUUUCUUGUCUCCUCCAGGGGCCAGAGGGGGUCUCCUUAUAUAGUCCUCCCCUUCUAUGCGUUUUUGGGUCGAUAGGCGAGCUGGUACUAUGUUAUUCUGGAUCCAAUAGGUCGGUGGAACGUCGUGUGCGAAGAGAGUUCGGAACGGAGUCCAGAGGGGGGCAGGCGCCCAGGUCCUCAGGGCGGGCGCCCUGGGCCUGGCCCCUUUCGGGCUCCGCUUCCUUCCCGUGGCUUCUGGAGUCUUCUAGAUGGUAGAAAAUUGCGCGGUGGGUUAAUAUCUCUAUGUAAUCCCGACAUGUGGGCCUUUCUUCCUUAUUUCCUGAUAACCCCCUGCAGAAAUAGACAAACACCAAAACUCGUGGAAUUCUGUCAGAUAAAACCCUAAGUCUAGAUGUUGAUUUCAUUUGGAUCCUUUUCUUUGUUUAUUUGAUAAUUAAAUUUGAUACUUAAGGACCGUCAACACUUUUAGCGUUUGUCUUGUUGAGUCUUUGUUUGGGUCUUCUUUUGCUUCCUCCCAGUAGAAACAGAGGCUAGAUUCUCUUCCUCCUGAUAAUCUUUGUUUGUCUUGUAUCUACUGACACAACAGUUUGGACAACUAUCUAAGUCUAUUCCCCAAACAUCAAAGAGCUCAAUCUGAAGGUUGUUGGUGAGUGGCAUUGCAUCCCUUGUAUUUAUGUUUCCGUGUCUUUGACAUGGCCCACAUCUUCUGAUAUAUUGCUUCAUGUCUUCAUACAUUGUAGGCCAGUAGAAUCCACACUGCCAGAUCUUUGAUUGUGUACGGAAUGCUCCAUAGUGACCUCCAUAUGGUGAUGAAUGACAUAUGUCGAUGAUCUUCCAUCCUUCUUCAGUGGUCACACAUCUCCUAAGUAAGCCAUCAGAGCAUACUCGGAAGAGGUAUGGCUCAUCCCAUUUAUGUGAACGACUUUCUUGAAUAAGCUUCUUCUUGUUUUCUCCUGGUGGUACAUACCCUGAAACCAUAAAAUUAACAAUAUCUGCAUACCAGGGGUCAGACUUGUUAAUCCCGUAGAGCAUGUCGUCCCGGAGUGAAUCAUUGAUGGGGGCUUCCUGUGGACUCCUAAAAUACAUUCUAGACAAGUGAUCAGCAACAGAAUUUUCUACUCCUGUCGAGGGUAUCGGUAAGGGGUACCCUCAGCGAUGCGCAUUAUGAGAUUGCCCGUACGAAGGUCGAGACCCUUAAUUCGACGCUCUAAUCUUACGUAUGCGCCGCCAUCGACGGUCGCAGCCUCGAAGACGGAAAUAGCGUCGAGCGAAUCGGUCAGGGCUCGAGCGACGACUGUCGUCGAAAACGGAAGCGGGCUCGAGCGAACCGAGAGGCGUCGGGCGCAAGGACACUGUCCGCCACCCGACGCGCGCACGCGGGCCGGAGCAUUAAAUGCUCCUGACGCUUCCCCACCUAACACACAGGUCACGGAAGGCGUGAUAGGGAGCAAGCUUCUGUCCCAUCGUUCUUUUUGCAGCCUUCCCACCGAACGACCCAGGGCGUGUCAGGACGCAGGAAACAAGGAUGGAACGUCUAAUCGGGACCCCCUCGAGACACCCAAGGUCAGCGCUCCAGAUACCAGCAUAUUACACGGCGUCCGACCCUCGACCGAACAGGGUCCCUUCCUAGGGACAAGUUGGGCGUCGACUGACUACACCACAGCUACCCCGCCGGAUCCGCCACCAUACCGUACAAGCAUGCGACCUCAGAACCAGCACAAGGCGGCUGGCAGGGCAGAACACAGGAGCACGCGUAAUCAUCACCGGGCUAUCAAGAUGGGACGGCUCGAGGCCAUGCCGUACGGAAGCCUCGAGUAGGUCAGCGCUCCAUGCGGCUAUCGAUCCCUACUCUAACAUCUACGCAUGUACCCUGUGUCUCUCCUUGGAGCUAUAAAAGGAGAGACUCAGGAAUAGAAGAACGGGACAUCACAACACAAGACACACACACUCACAUAGUAGAGCUACACACUUCAUACCACGCUUGUAUUCGCCCCUGUACAAGCACUUAGGUGCAAGAUAAUACAAACUCUCUCCCCCCCGCUGGACGUAGGGCCUUCUCUUGCCCGAACCAGGAUAAAUCUCUGUGUCUUCUUGCAUCACCAUCCGGAAAAGGAAGCACGCAUACAAAUUUACUCGUUGGUGUGACCCCCCGGGGGAAAAACACCGACAACUCCCUUUUUAUCUUUUAUUUCUAAGUCAAAUUCUUGGAGUAAUAAGAUCCAUCUAAUGAGGCGAUGUUUAGCAUCUUUUUUAGUGAGCAAAUAUUUUAGUGCACCAUGAUCAGUGUAAACAAUUAUUUUAGCUCCAACUAAAUAAGAUCUAAAUUUAUCAAUGGCAAAGACAAUAGCCAGAAGCUCUUUUUCAGUGGUUGCAUAAUUAAGUUGAGCUCCUGUCAAAGUUUUACUGGCAUAAGCAAUUGCAUGAUGCUUCUUAUUUUUAGUUUGUCCCAAUACUGCCCCCACAGCAUAAUCACUAGCAUCACACAUAAUUUCAAAAGGCAACGACCAAUCAGGGGGUUGAAUGAUUGGUGCAGAGAUGAGUGCUUUCUUUAAUAAAUUGAAAGAUGUUAGACAUGCAUCAUCAAAUUCGAAAGGAGCAUCCUUGGCUAGCAAAAGAGUAAGUGGUCUAGCAAUAAAUGAAAAAUCUUUUAUGAAUCUACGAUAAAAACCAGCACGACCAAGAAAGCUUCGAAUUCCUUUUAUGUUCACAGGUGGAGGUAGUUGUUCAAUUACUUCAAUUUUAGCUUUGUCUACCUCAAUACCUCUUUCAGACACUAGGUGUCCCAGCACUAUUCCUUCCCUAACCAUGAAAUGACAUUUUUCCCAAUUAAGGACUAAGUGCUUUUCUUCACAUCUUUGCAAAACCUUGUCAAAGUUCUCAAGACAACUAUCAAAAGUUUUUCCAUAAACAGAGAAAUCAUCCAUGAAAACUUCCAUAAUCUCUUCAAUCAUAUCAGAAAAUAUAGACAUCAUGCAUAUUUGAAAAGAAGCUGGUGCAUUACAUAACCCAAAAGACAUUCUACGGUAAGCAUAAGUUCCAUAUGGGCAUGCAAAAGUGGUUUUGCUUUGAUCAUCGGGAUGGAUCGGGAUCUGAUGAUACCCUGAAUAUCCAUCUAAGAAAUAGAAGAACGAAUGGUUCGCUAAUCGCUCUAGCAUUUCAUCUAUAAAAGGUAAAGGAAAGUGAUCCUUUCUCGUGGCUUUGUUUAGUUUUCUAUAGUCUAUGCACAUCCGCCAUCCUAUGACGGUGCGUUGCGGAAUUAGCUCGUUCUUUUCAUUCAUAAUAACAGUCAUGCCUCCCUUUUUAGGCACAACUUGCACUGGGCUUACCCACUCACUGUGCGGCACAGGAUAUAUAGUGCCUGCAUGCAGCAACUUUAUAACUUCCUUUUUAACUACCUCUCUCAUAGUGCUGUUAAGUCUACGUCGGGGUUCUCGAGAGGGUGAAACAGAAGGAUCUGUUGGAAUACGAUGGGUACAAAUCAUAGGACUGAUUCCUGUAAGAUCUUGGAGUGAGUAGCCGAAAACUGAGUGAUGUUUCUCAAGAAUGGUCAUUAAUCGCAGAGUUUGAUCCUGAGUGAGUUUAUCGCUAAUGAUUACAGGGAACUCUGGAUUAUUGUUUAGGAAAGCAUACUUAAGACCGGGUGGUAAAGUUUUAAGCUCUAUGGGGAUUCUAGGUGUUUCUGCAAACUCAUCUAAGGGUUCAGGCUCAGAAGGUUUGGUUUCUUCUUCAGUGAAGAAAGGAAUUUCGUCUUCUAAGUCUGAUUCUUCUAAAAGCUCUAGAGAUGCAACCUUUACCUCCUCCAUAGGGUCAGGCAAAAGAUAUGACUCGGCCUUAUUGUUUAAGGAGUGUGAAAUUGUUAUUGGGAAUUUAAAAGUUUUUCCAAAAGAAAUGUGUAGCUUUCCAGUAUGACCUUCAUAAAGGAGUCUUCUAAAAGGUUGUCCUAUCAACAGGUCAAAGUCCCAUGUAUCAAAGAUAUAAAAGUUCAAAUGAACCAUGGAGCCUUCUACCGUAAGAGGUAGGACAUUAAUAAUUCCAAGACUGGGGACUAAUCGUCCUGAAGAUUCCUUUAUGACCUUUGUUGUGGGGGUUAAGACAAGAUUUUUAAAUAGUUUAAGUGCAAAAGAUUCAGACAUGAUGUUGAUCCCCACAACAGGAUUAUAAAGAGCAUUAAAUCGAUCAGAAUUAUAAGCACAGCGUAUAGUUAUAGAGGGUGUGUCCAAACGGAUCACAUCAGAGGAAAGCUCUGAUUCCUCCAACCAUUCGCUACUCAUUACUGAGAUAAGCUCUCUCAAUUGAUAUUCACUUGGCAAAAAAAUGCUAAACUGGCCGUUUUAGGGUUUGUCAAUAGAAUGGUAGUUUGAAAUAUUUCCAAAAUCGGCAAAAAGAUCAGAUUCUAUAUCCAGCAUGAAGUCUGGUGGUGGAAUUUCUUCCUCUUGUGGUUCAGAACUUGGGAUAGCUAAAGUAGAUGAAGAAUUUGGCAGAGUGUUUACUUCGGCUUCAUAGGUUUCAUCAUGAAGGGUAUUAUCCAUCUCAGCUUCUAGGAUUCUAUCUAGGAUCACUCUAGCUUCAUCAGCAGGGAUGCGAAAGAAAGAAUCUCUAGACAUUGUGUGUAGCAUUUGUUUGUGAUUUUUAUGAAGACCUCGAAAAAAAUGAAAUAAAAGAACAGGGUCUUCAAGAUUAAGGUUUGGACCAGAUUCUAAAAGAUCAGAAAAACGUUUCCAGGAUUUUCCCAAAGUUUCAUUAUCUUUUGGUUUAAAAGAUAGGACUUCGAGUCUAAGGUCGGCUAUACGGUCAAGGGAAUAGAAAUCUAGACAAAAGUUGGCUUGUAAAACUCCCCAUUCACCUUGUUGUUGACUUACCUUCUGAUUGUACCAUUGUCUAGCUUCUCCCCUUAAAGAAAAAGGAAAAAGAUUCCAACGUAAAGUUUUAUCAGAAAUGCCUUCAAUGCGAAGACAAUCACAUGUUUGCUCAAAAUCUCUAAUAUGAAGGUAAGGGUUUUCGUCUUCCUUUCCCGAAAAAGAUAGGUUUUGAAUCAUGGCAAUCAACCUAGAACUUAACUUAUACUGGGAUGUUUGGAUAGGCUGUGAUGAUUCCCAUGGUAAAAGGUCAGUUACUGAAGGGAUUGCAGACUCAUGGAUCGAUUUAGAAUUUUGGUUUUCCAUAAGGUAAGGGUAAAGAAAAUAAAUAAAGAAUAUAAAAGAUAAGAAAAGAUAAAAGUAUAGAUACAAGCUAGUAGUAAGACUCAGGUUAUCUCAGCAACCGUCUUUCUCCCCAGCAACGGCGCCAGAAAUAAUUGUUGAUAUUUGGGAACGCAAUAAGGAAUUGAUCCGCAAGCGCACAGAUAUCGGUGAGCACUUCACCAAGGAGGUUAUCCAGAGUAUCGUAUUUAUUUUUUUACCACUAGGAGAAAGAGUGCAUCUGACUAACCAGUCUAUUACUACUAACCCUUUAGGCACAAAGAAUGUCUUUCGAUGUGAGUGAUAAAUAGAGAAGACUGCAACCGUAGUCUCCUUCUAACCUUGGUAAGAAUGAUCUACUGUUCUAAUGGGGAUGCUAACGGAAUCUAGACACCACAAAGGAUGUUCAACCUGCACCUAUAAACCCUAUCCUUCCUGCUAACGAGAUAUGGUCUGCAAAGGUAACUCGGAAUUGUCACGUUCCUCACUACUACCACGGUCCAGCUAGUCAGGGAAUAUCUAUGAGUACCCCAGCCUAAACACUACGUUUACGCCAGCAAUGAUUACUCUAAACUCUACGCGAAGAGAUUAAAGUAAACUCAUAAACCAUAAGAACAAUAAAACAAGAACUUACUAGAAUUUAGAAGUCGAAAUACUGAAGAAUCCUAGGAGCAAGCUUCGGGUUAGGAGAGCUUGAUCCCACAGGUACAAGCUUGGAGUAGACACCAACAGGCCGGGCUUCCUCCAAUCUACACCUCCACUCGAUCUCUCUCAAUCUAGUAGAAACUAGAAGAUCUAUUUCUACUUUACAUUGGUUGCUAAGCCUAAAAAGAAAUAUUAAUUAGAGAAGAGGUUUUCCUUCGAGGGCACCCCUCAAUCUCUAUGAUAAUUUCUUCAUGUCUUCUCCAGGGGCCAGGGGGGUCUCCUUAUAUAGUCCUCCUCCUCUAUGCGUUUUUGGGUCGGUAGGCGAGGUGGUACUAUUUUUUUUUCUUGAUCCAAUAGGUCGGUGGAAUAUCCCGUGCGAAGAGAGUCCUGAAUGCAAUCCAGCAGGGGGCGGGCGCCCAGGUCACCAGGGCGGGCGCCCUGGGCCUGGCCCCUUUCGGCCUCUGCCUUCUUCCCGUGGCUUCUGGAGUCUUCUAGAUGGUAGAAAAUCGCGCGGUGCGUUGAUAUCUCUAUGUAAUCCCGACAUGUGGGCCUUUCUUCCUUAUUUCCUGAUAACCCCCUGCAGAAACAGAUAAACAACAAAACUCGUGGAAUUCUGUCAGAUCAAACCCUAAUUCUAGGUGUUGGUUGCAUAUUGGUCCUUUCUCUUGUUUAUUUGAUAAUUAAAAUUAAUACUUAAGAACCGUCAACAGCCCUCAGCUUUACAAAUUGCUUGAGGUUGAAAUUUGGAGUCUCGUUUUACUUGACAAAUUUAUUGUACAAAGUCUUCUUCCAAUUCUGGAACAGUACUACCAUCUUCUUCAUAGUCCAGUCAUAAAUUCGCACCUUCAACUCAUCAUCGUUGGUGUCGAAGGUGAAAACAUCUGUGACGGCUUUCCAAACUAACUCCUUGUCACGAUCGGAGACAAAACUGAUCUCAGGAGCACCUCGCUUCUCUCUCCAUUCACGAGCACUAAUCGGUAUUUGAUCUCUCACAAGAUAUCCACAGUGACUAACAUAUUUAUUUGCAUGUUCACCAAGUGGUCUCCCUGUAGCUAUCUCAAACUCAGAGAUUACAUAGCGGCCCUCCAACGGCUUCUUUGGCCCUCGUGGAGGUACGCUUCUCUCCGUAGAGGUCGAUCCAGAAGGCUACACGUAGAUAUAGAAACAAAAAUACUAAAUUAAUAACCAAAUAAGUCUAAAACAUAAUGUAAGAGAUGCAUUAAUUAUAUAUGUUUACAUUUACAUACCUCGCCAGUAUUUUCUUCUUGUUGCACGACAAGUUGUUGCUCAGGCGCAUUGCCCUGUUGCUCAGGGGCAUUGCCCUCUUGUUGCUCAGUCGGAUUGCCUUGCAUGAUCUCGUUGUAAUCAGUAAAGUACUGACUACCGUCGUCGAUCAUAUUUUGAAUGGCAUCUUCCAUAUAUUCAGCAUCAUCGUGAGGACGGUCUGCCAUUUCUAUGUCUGCAACCAUAUAUAUAUAUAUACAUAAUAAAGAAAUACACUAGAAUAAUAUAAGUGCUAGAGUGCUCCAAACUAAAAAAUAAUACUAAAAAAUAAUACAAACAAUAACACUAGAAUAAUAUAAGUGCUAGAGUGCUCCAAACUAAAAAAUAAUACUAAAAAAACAAUACUGACAAUAACACUAGAAUAAUAUACUAGCACAAUAUAUUUCAUAACAAUUCAAAACACUACAAUUCAUAAUAUACAAGAAUAAUAUACUAAAAAGUCUUUUAAGCCAAGUAAUAUACUAGAAUAAUAUACUAAAAAUAUUACUAAAAAAUAAUACUAGAAUAAUAGUAUAAACAAGAAUAGUAUAUGUUUUAAGCCAAGUAAUACACUUGCACCUAGAAUAAUAUACUAAAAAAAAUUAAUACUACAAAAUGAUACAAGAAUAAUAUGAGUGUUAGAGUGCUUCAAACUAAAAAAUAAUACUUAAAAAAAUAAUACGGACAAUAACACUAGAAUAAUAUACUAGCACAAUAUAUUUCAUAACAAUUCAAAACACUACAAUUCAUAAUAUACUAGAAUAACAUACUAAAAAGUCUUUUAAGCCAUGUACUAGAAUAAUAUACUAAAAAAAUUAAUACUACUACAAAAUGAUACAAGAAUAAUAUAAGUGCAUAUAUAUACAUAAUGAUACAAAAUAAUAGUAUAUAAACUGUUGGUAUAUAUAAAAUAUAAGUGCAUAUAUAAUGAUACAAAAUAAUUGUACAUAAGUGCAUAUAAAAUAAUAGUAUAUAUACAUAAUGAUACAAAAUAAUAGUAUAAAAUAAUGAUACAAGAACAAAAUGAUACAAAAUGAUACAAGAAUAAUAGUAUAUAUAUACAUUCAUAUAUAUAUAUAUAUAUAAUUUUAGUCUAUAUAUAUAAACUGUUGGCAUUCAUGCAUAUAUAUAGAUCGAUGAAUAUACGUAGGAUCGUGGCGGGGAGCGUUCGUCGAAGGAGAUGGCGCACUGCGGCCGGCUCUGGUGGAGAUAGCCGCUGCGGCGGUGCUGGAGACGAACGGGCGGCGCUGGAGACGAACAUCGGCGCUGGGGAGACGAACGGGCGGCGCUGGACGGCGGCGGCGGUGCUCUCUGCUCGACGAAGACGAAGGCAACUUCCCAGAUCCAGGGCGCCUGGGGCUUAUAUAGGGCGGUCCCUUUAGCACCGGUCCGUGGCUGGAACCGAUGCUAAAGGGCCUUUAACACCGGCUAGUAACACGCGCCGGUGUUAAAGGGUGACCCUUUAACACCGGCGCGUGUUACCAGCCGGUGACCCUUUAACACCGGCGCGUGUUAGCAGCCGGUGCUAAAGGGGCCCUUUAGCACCGGUUCCAGCUACGAAUCGAUGCUAAAGGGACCGGCGUAUGCUAGGGCGGGCUCCUGAAAUUUUCAGAACCCUUUAGCACCGGUUCGCACUACGGGCCGGUUCUGGCCCUGUUUUUUAGUUUAGGGUUUUUCAAUUGUUUAUAUAUACAGUUUAUAUUAUAAAUUGUAUAGUAAAUUAAAUAUUUUGUAUAAUAUUUUUUAAACAGUGACAUAUAUUGUAAUUUUUUUUAACGUACAUAUGAAAAAUUUUAGCCUUAAAUAUCUUGCUGUAUUUUUAUAAUUUGCAAUAAUUUUGUAAGAAAUGUUUAGUAUUUUGUUAAUGCAAAAAUAUAUUAUUCCAAUAAAUUUACAAAAACUAUAUCCAAUCAACUGGAAAUCUAUUUUCACAUCAUAUUGACGUUAAACUUUUUAUUUUUGUUAUUUAUUACUCGGAAUGCUAGUAGGGUAUAGUUUUCAUCAAAUAAAAAAAUCUAUUUAUCAUAUAAAAAUAUAUAUCUUGAUGAACACACCCCCGAACCCUAGAUGGUCCCAAAUGGAAAAGUCAUGAAUACAAUGUUUAUUGCACUCAUCAAGUUCUACAUUUUGUCUAAUGGUCAACUUUUCAUUUGGAAAAAGUUGGAACCACUGAAUUUUGAAUUUUCAGAGAAUUCAUAGCCACGCAGCGGUUUCGGAACCCUAGAUGGUCUCGAAUGGAAAAGUCAUGAAUACCAAUAUUGUUCCACUCAUCAAAAUCUACAUUUCUUAUAUAUAUACCAUUUUAGCAUUUGAGAAAGUUUUGGGAAGGUGUAGUUGAAAAUCCACAAUUGACACAUAUAGUUUCAUAUAGUUUGUGUGAGAUUCAAGAUUUGGUGGGUAUUGUUAACUUAAACUUUCUCAAAUGGAAAAGUUGUGUAUAUAAAAAGUUUAGAUCUUGAUGAUAUCUAACAACUUGGUAUUCAAAAGUUUUUCAUUUUAAGUAAUUUAGUUUAUCAUUUGACCAAGUUUCACCAAAACUCGUCUUGGAUUUUAAAGAAAUGUGCUUAGGAUCGGCUCAAAAAUAUCCAAAUGGAAAAUGGACAAUAUAUAAAAUGUAGAUCUUGAUGAUAUCUAACAACUUUAUAUUCAAAUUUUUUCAUUUGAAGUCAUCAAAUGGGCCAUUUCGUCAAGUUUGACCAAAGUCAAAGCAUUGGUUUUUACAAAAACACCCUUUGACCGAACCAUAGAUGGUCCAAAAUGGAAAAGUCAUGAAUACAAAGUUUGUUACACUCAUCAAGUUCUACAUUUUGUCUAAUGGUCAACUUUCCAUUUGGAAAAGUUUGAACCACUGAAUUUUGAAUUUUCAGAUAAUUCAUAGCCACGCAGUUCUACAAAGUCAUGAAUACCAAUAUUAAACAUGACUUUAUAGUUUGUUACACUCAUCAAAAUUCACAAUUCUCAAAUAUAGUUUCAUACAAAGUUUGUUACAAGACAUACUAUUAAACAUGACUUUAUGUUAAGCCGACACAACAGUGAACUUCUUCUUGACGUAUGACCCUUGGUUAUGAUCCUGCCGUAACCAUGGAGUAUCCUCAUUAUUUAAUAAAAUGCUUGGGUCUUUAUUGACUAUGAAGGGCGGAGUUCGAUCAUCCCUUUCGUAAUCGCCUGAGAUGUCUGACUUGUCCUCAAUUUCGACAAUGUUUCUUUUCCCAGAAAGGACAAUGUGGCGCUUUGGCUCAUUGAUGAUUGAGUGGUCAUCAUUUUUUCCUCUCUUUGGUUUCGUAGACAUAUCUUUGACAUUGAACACCUGACUCACGUCUGCAGCAAGGACGAAUGGUUCAUCUUUGAACGCACUAUUUUUAAGGUCCACGGUUGUCAUCCCAUACUCUUUGUCGACUGUUACACCACCUCCGGUCAUCUUCACCCAUUGGCACCGGAACAAAAAACUUUAAAAUUAGUUGCAUAGACUAGUUCCCAUAUGUCUUCUAUGCGUCCAUAAUUUGUUUGUCUGUUCCCAUUUGGAUCCGUGGCAUCCACGCGUACACCACUAUUUUGGUUGGUGCUCCUUUUGUCUUAGCCAACUGUGUAAAAUGUGUUACCAUUUAUCUCGUACCCUUUGUACGUGAGGACAUGCCAUGAUGGUUGCCUGGCCAACAAAUAAAGCUGCUCAUCAAUGUUUUCAUCACCUUGACAUUUUUUGCGCAACCAAUCGCCAAAAGUUUCCAUAUGCUGAUGCAUUAUCCAAGCUUCAUUAUUCCUAGGCCACUAGGACCAUAGGAAAUCUUUGUGUACCUCAACAUAUGGUUCCUCCAAUGAGGAGUUCUGGAGAACUGUGUAGUGUGCUUUAUUGAAGUAAUCGUCUCCCGUACCAAUAUAUGUUUUCUUCCCAAGUGUUCCCUUUCCUCUGAGUCUGCCCUCGUGUCGAGAUUCAGGAAUGCCAAUUAGGUCAAGGUCUGGAAUAAAGUCAACACAGAACUCUAUGACCUCCUCUGUUCCGUAGCCCUUGGCAAUGCUUCCUUCUGGCCGGGAACGACUAUGGACAUAUUUCUUUAGGACACCCAUGAAUCUCUCGAAGGGGAACAUGUUGUGUAGGAACACAGGACCGAGAAUACGAAUCUCUUUGAUCAGAUGAACUAGGAGGUGUGUCAUGAUAUCGAAGAAGGAUGGAGGGAACACCAACUCAAAGCUGACGAGACAUUGAAUGACAUCAUUCUGCAGAGUAGCUAGUUGCUCUGGAUUGAUUGCCUUCUGAGAAAUUGCAUUGAGGAAUGCACAUAGUUUUACGGUGGCUAGACGUACGUGUGGAGGUAAAAUUCCUCUUAAGACCACCGGCAACAAUUGCGUCAUUAGAACGUGACAGUCAUGGGACUUCAAGUUUAGGAAUUUCUUCUCUGGCACAUUGAUUAUUCCCUUGAUAUUGGAAGAGAAUCCAGAUGGGACCUUGAUGCUGCUAAGACAUUCAAACAUGCUUUCCUUCUCUUCUUUGCUCAGAGUGUAGCUAGCAGGGCUUAAGUAAUGACGUCCAUCAUCUGUCUUUUCUAGAUGCAGGUUGUCUCGUUCUUUCAUGCGCUGCAAGUCUUGUCGUGCUUCAAGUGAAUCCUUAGACUUCCCAUAGACACCCAUGAAUCCAAGCAAGUUCACACAAAGAUUCUUUGUCAGAUGCAUCACGUCGAUCGCGUUGCGGACCUCUAGGACAUUCCAGUAAGGUAGCUCCCAAAAUAUGGAUUUCUUCUUCCACAUGGGUACGUGUCCCUUAGCAUCCUUGGGAAUAGGUUCGCUGCCUCAUCCCUUUCCAAAUACCACUUUUAUAUCCUUGACCAUUUCGAGUACAUCAUCCCCGAUUCGAUUGAGAGGCUUGGUCCGGUGGUCUGCCUUGCCUUUAAAAUACUUGCCUUUCUUUCGUACUGGGUGGUUCACAAGAAGAAACUGACGGUGGCCAAGGUACAUGACCUUUUGACAUUUUUUAAAAAAUACACAGUCAAGAUCUUCAUAACAAUGUGUGCAUGCAUUAUAUCCCUUGUUUGACUGGCCUGAACGAUUACUCAGAGCUGGCCAAUCAUUGAUUGUUACAAACAGCAAUGCUCGCAGGUCAAAGUGCUCUUGUUUGUACUCAUCCCACACGUGAACUCCUGGUUUGCUCCAUAAAAGUUGAAGUUCCUCAACUAAUGGCCUCAGGUGGACAUCUAUGUCAUUGCCAGGUUGCUUCGGUCCUUGUAUAAGCACCAGCAUCAUAAUAAACUUCCGCUUCAUGCAUAGCCAUGGAGGAAGGUUGUAGAUACAUAGAGUAACUGGCCAAGUGCUGUGACUACUGCUCUGCUCACCGAAAGGAUUCAAACCAUCUAUACUUAAGGCGAACCACAAGAUUCUAGCAUAAUCUGCAAAAUCUGGGAAUUCUCUGUCUAACGCUCUCCACUGGGAUCCAUCGGCAGGGUGUCUCAGCAUAUUGUCUAUCUUACGGUCUUCUUUAUGCCACCGCAACAACUUUGCAUUGUCCUUAUUUCUGAACAGAUGUUUUAAUCGUGGUAUUAUCGGAGCAUACCACAUAACCUUGGCAGGAAUUUUCUUCCUAUGACGUUCUUCACCCUCAGCAUCGCCAGGAUCAUCUCGCCUAAUCUUAUACCGUGAUGCCUUACAUACUGGACAUGCAUCCAAAUUCUCGUAUUCCUCCCCACGGUAGAGGAUGCAGUCAUUAGGACAUGCGUGUAUCUUCUGGAUUUCUAAUCCCAAAGGGCAGACAACCUGUUUUGCUUCAUACGUAGUGGUGGGCAAUUCGUUGCCUUUCGGAAGCAUCUUUUUUAUGAUCUACAAUAACUUCCCAAAUGCCUUGUCAAAUGUACCAUUCUUUGCCUUCCAUUGCAGCAAUUCCUGUGUGGUACCCAACUUUUUUUGCCCCUCUUCAGCGGUGGGAUAUAGCGAUUUCCUAUGGUCCUCUAGCAUGUGCUCGAACAUGACUUUCUCUUUAUCACUUUCACAUUCUCUUUGUGCAUCACGGAUGGCAUCACCAAAAGAAUCAUCGCCCAGAUCAUCUUCUGCCGCUACCUCUUCUUCAUUAUCUCUCCCCAUUGCAACAUCAUUGAAGCUACCGUACUGAGCAAUAAUAUUGGCAUGGUCCAAUUCUUCUUCUUCUUCUUUACCUUCAUCCAUUAUAAUCCUGCUUUCUCCAUGUUUGCUCCAACAAAUAUAGUUUGGUACGAAACCAGACUUUAAUAAGUGCGAAUGAAUAGUUCUCGAGUUAGAAUAUUCCGUCAAAUUCUUGCACACGGCACAUGGACAACACAUGAAACCGUCCCUCUUAUUUGUCUCGGCCACACUUAAGAAAUAGUGCACGCCAUUAAUAAACUCUUCGGAGCGCCGAUCGGCAUUAUACAUCCAAUUACGUGUUACCAUCUACAUAAACAUAACAUAUAUAUUAUAAAAACCAUGCACACAUAUUGUUUCUCAUCUUAUUGCACAACAUGCCUAAGAUACAUAGUUGAUUAAUUCAGGAAAGCUUGGCUACAACAAAUACAAUCGCAACUAGCACUAAAAAACCAAAACUAAAAUGCAGAUAAGCAACAUAAUUAGUUCGCGUCCGAUCCCAACUAUAAUAGAUAGAACAUUCGCUUGAUCAAUAUCAUUGAACUCCUUUCGUCGACUCACUAUCUCACCACCUUCAGCCUCAACCACCUGUGCAAAAAAUUUCUUAACGUGUUCAAUGUAUUCUUCCUCCCGGUACCAACAUGUACAUCCGCCGGUACCGUCCCACUGAAACUAAAAGAGAGAAUCAAAAGUUUAAUUAAUAUCAUUUUAAAAAAUAUGCACAUAUGUCUGGAAAUAACUCACAUUGCGAUCCGGACACUUGUAGAAUAUACGACCCUUGUUUACUCCCUCUUUCGACAAUUUGUACUCCAUCACAAUCUUCUGCCCACACUUGCCACAAGUAAUGAGAGGGAGUUCCGGCCGGUAUCGCUUUUGAACCUGUUGAGAGACCGAAGACCCGGUCACGGUUGCCAUCUACUAUCCAUACUCAAUUUUUAAACAACUAUAAAUUCCACAUUUACUAGUAAACAUGUAUGAUUAAAGAAGAACCUAAUAAUAUCCUUUAUUUGUCUAGUUACUUCAACAAAUCUUCUAAAUUAUACAAUGGACAUUAUGUAGUAAUAAAAAUAAAUCAAGUGAUAUUAACAAACCAAUUAAUUUAAACUAUCCUACUUUCUAAGAUCAUAAAAAGAUACUAUAAUUCAUUCUUGCAAACUACAUUAAUACUAGGUCAACCAUGAAAUAUGAUAUAUAUAUAUGGAUACUAAUUCAUGUGAAUGAUUCAAAAUAACAAAGUGGAUUUGAGCUAAAAAUGAUGAGAACAUCACAAGUCAAAAACAACAUGAAAAAGACAAGAAAUGCUGAAGUUAGUCACCUCCAAGCACGAAGAGACGAUGACGGAAUCGAAGAAGAUCAACUAUGGGCGUUGGAAAUGAAGAACAAAUGAAGAAGAAGCAAGAAGAAGCUCCAAGAACAGCAAUGGUGCUCUCGGUUUCAAAUGGGCAGAGGGGAGGAGGGGGCGGGCCUAUAAACCGGAGCUUUAGCACCGGUUCACGACAAAAACCGGUGCUAAAGGGUCACCCUUUAGAACUGGUUUGUGUGCCAAACCGGUGCUAAAGGGUUUGCCUCGGCCCAUGGCACUGGCCGGUGCCAAAGGGGACCCUUUAGCACCGGUUGGUAACACGAACCGGUGCUAAAGGGUCCCUGCCCCGACAGCACCUGUCAGUAGCCGUUGGGCAGGACCCUUUAGCACCGGUUCGUGUUACGAACCGGUGUUAAAGAGGCCUUUAACACGGGCCGCAAAAAGGCCGAGGUUUUUGGCCAUUUUAGAUAUCGAUCAAUGCCUGUGAGGUCCAUCAGUUUGUGUAGUCAUGGCUCCGGCCAAAGUGUUGGCACUGACCAACGUCUGCACCAGGAUCAACCCAAGUCUCUACCGGCCGGGACGAGCGCGCCAUCCCCUACAUCCCAUCUCCCUGCAUGCAUGCACGCACACAAACGUGUGGCACCGUGCGAGCAAGCAGAGCAGUCGGGAGGGCAUGCCAUCUUGCUAGCUUGAUGAUGAUGUGAUGACUACACGAUGACAUCACUUGAGUUUUGUUGACGUUUUUCUUUAAAAAACAAUUCUAGAAAUACAAAGUGAGUACACAAGCUUGAAUUGACCAUAUAAUCUCCGUUUUAAUUCCGUUUUGAUCCGUUCAAGUUGUGUUAGACUCAUAGCAAUGUAAUCUACGUGUUAGUGCUAGUGUUUCCAUGUCACAUGUUUUCCAUAUAUUGCUAAAUAUUUAAUUUCUUAAUAUGAUUUUAGUUAGUUUUAUAAUUAAAAAAUAAUAUAGGUUUCUUUGUAAUUAUAUGAGCAUGAAUUUAGCUAAUAUAGCAACUUGAAUAUGUUUUAAUUAUAUGUUGCUUAGACAAUCACGAUAUAUACCAUAAAACUUAUUUCAAUUUAAGUUUAACCGGCAUAAACAAUAUAUGUAUGGAUAAAAUAUGAUCAUCUCCAACAGGUAUCAUGUAUAAUUUGAAUAGAUAUUCUCAAACGUUCUUUGAAAUGUUAAAGUUUACUAUGAUUAAAAUGAUGCGUGCAUGCUUAUAUUUAAAAUAUGAUUAUUGAUUAUAUAAUAGACAUGUUCAUAAGUAAAAUAUAACUUGACUAAUCUGAAUUAGUAGGUUACACAUGAUUUCUCUUAAUUUAAACAUAUUAAAAUCAUAGUUGUUUCUUUUUAAUGACAUUUUUGAUUGACGCGUUGUUCUUAGUUGUUUCUAAUUGUUGCUUGUAUGUUUGUUGGUGUGCUUGGUUGCUGCGAUGUGCGAGUAGACAAGAACCACGCUUGUGAGUGUUUAAGAUGAGAAGAUGAUGACCAAAAGCUGAUGGUGUGAGAAUUGAGCAAGUGCUUAAGGCAAGUAUAACUUGGGACUAUCCUCGUUACCUACACACUUUUAAUACAUAUAUUAUAUGCAUGUGUCCACCUUGAUGACCUUAGCAAAAUCAUAGAUGAUUGUUAUCCUGAAUUCCUUGUUACCUAUUUGGAUAUGCAUUUGGGUAGUUCUUGCUAGUGCUUGACUAUAAUCCAUGAUCUUGUAACAUGAAUAUUUGGAUAUACAAUAAACAAUAAAAUAAGCUUUCUAGCAACUUGAAUAUAAAGGGUGGAAAGAACUCUAGCUUCUGCUAGAUUGAUCUUGACCCUCCAUAAGGACAUAUCCCUUGGCAAAAGCUGGGACAACUCGUACAACCAUGAGGGCUAUAUGGCUCUUGCUUUAGCUCAGUAUGAAGACCUUUUCUAGCUUGUUAGAGGUUACUCGAAAGGGCGGAGGGGCUGAACCGACACGAGUAUAGUGCGAGCCCCUGUCCCUAUGUGUAUAGGCUGCGCGUCAUUGUGCCAUUCGGAAGGGGGGUAUCUGUAUCUGCUCGCGAAGGAAACCUUGCGGCCCUAACAUGUUAGACGAUCUUUUGAAAGGCUUCAUAGUGAUCCCUGCCGACCUCCCUAGGAAGGGGGUUAAGAGACUAGCUACCUCGGGCGAAAGGGUAAAUCAUGAGUCAUGGAUAAAGAUGUACAACCUCUGCAGAGUGUGAAAUCUGGUAUACUAGCCGUGCCCACGGAUACAGGCGGCCCAGAAAACUGACGGAAUAGAUGGACACUGAUGAACAUAAUUAAUGAUGAUAAAUAAUGGUUUAUUAUGUUGUCCAUAUGUGAUAUUCUUAAUUCUUGUAUACAUUGAUCAUGUGGUUAUGGGAUUUAAUUAUGCUACCUUGACAUUUCUUAUCUAAAUAUAAACUUGCUAUCUACAUAUAAAAGCUAAAUGCAAUAAAACCAGUGUCAGCUUAUUGAGCCUCAUGAACCCCUGGUUAUACUUGUUGGGUACGACAUGUGCUCACUCUUGCUAUUUCCCACCACUCCAGUUUACUAGUAAGAGUGGAUCAGAAGAGCAAUGGAGUCACGAAGGACAUUCUUCGGAUACAAGAAGUGCUAGGCAUAUGUUACCCCCAGUCAACCGUCCCUGUGAAGAUUGAGCCUGAAGUUUAUUUACCGUUCCGCGAUACUCUGAUGUAAGUGUUAAUUAUAAGUAUGUUUCCGCUAUAUAACAUUGUUUCUGAUACUGUUUCUUUCUGUUGUUAUAUGUGUGGACUUCGUGGGCACAUAUAUAGCUAGCCUGGUUUUGUUCUUUAAAACCGGGUGUGACAGAGUGGUAUCAGAGCAGUGUUGACUGUAGGACGUAUGCCUAGGUAGCACUGGUCGAUUUGAAAAGUCUAAUUUGCUACAAAACUAUUUUCUUAUCCCUUGACUCUUUGACUUUGAUUAUUUCUCAAUCCUUGUCUCGUUGUAUCCCCUCCUUGGUAGCUUCCUUUGAGCUAUUACUGCUUACUCCCUUGAUUUUUGUUUUAUAUAGUUUUACAAAAAGUUUUCUGAUCCUACCUCAUUCAAAAGUUGGAUGGCCUUUCAUCAUCUCUAAUCUUCCCUUUAGGAUGACCACCAUUGUUGAAGAAACACGUGUAGUAUCGAUGUGUGUUGUGUGCUUGUCUUGUUUGGUGUGUUGCUUACAUGUCGUCUCUGUUCUUGUGUUUUGAAGGAGGCCCACAAGGUAUUGUCUUGAGAAAUAGCUCAAUCUUGUUAAGUGGGGUAGCGUCCGCUACCGUCAUUUAAGUAUCUCAAGUUUCAAGAUAUGACCUAAUGAUCAAUCUUAUUCUUCUUGCAUAUCUCUUUCUUGUAUACAAAAUUUUAUCUUUUCCAUUAUCAAUCUUCAACUUCUUAUGCUUCUUUGUAAGUCUUUACCUCUUGAUCAAUUACCCUACAAUAUAACAACCUAAAGAUCAACUUCACCUUUCCUCUGCACUUUUCUUGUCAUCGAUCUGUGUGUUUCUUAAGAACCAAUCUUUGACAUCCCUGUCAACUUUUUCUAAUCCUUAAUUCCUAAAUCAUGUCCUGUCAAAAGUCUCGAAACAACCUUGAUGAUCUACUUUAUCAUGAUCUAUAGUCUCUCUAGAUCUCGGGACGAGAUUCAUGUGAAGUGGGGUAGAUUGUCACACCCCAAAAUUUUUAAUUUUGGGUUGUGCAUAGAAAACACUAAACAAAUAUAAAAUGAAUUUAAUAUUUGUAUAACAUUUGCCAAGUUUAGUUGAGUUAGUGCGAAUUAGUUCUAGAAAAAAUAUUAAUUUCCAAAUUGUUUUGAAUGAUGUGAUAUUUGCUUGCUACUUGACUUUGUGUUUGAGUGUAUAGAGUUUUCAAAAUACGUUUAGAAAACAUCACCCUUGCUAAUCCUUCGCCAGUAGAUUUGUUCGAUCUUAGGCUUUCAAUUUGCUGCUUGCACUUCUUUCAUUAACGUGAUGAUAUAAUAUAGUAUAAAAUAAUGAUCCAUUAAAGGAAGUAAUCUACUGCUCCUAAUUUUCUUCCUUAUUUAAUUAGACGUUGGUUUUCUUCUAGCUGAGUAGUUUCCUUUCCUUGGAUCGUGGAUGAUCUCUCCCUAUCCAAGAUGUAGGACGUGCACUACAAGGACUCCAUCUCAAUCUCUAUAUGACUACGACGUUUGCCCUAUGACCAUAUCUAGUUAUAUUAAUUGAAAGCCUAGGCCGUCGUUUCUUUUCUAUACCCUAAAACCAAGCCAAUCAAUCAUGAUCCAGCCGCCGCCGCCGCCGUUGUGCUCGCCGUCUGUGGCUCCGCUGCUGCCCAGCACGAUAUACAACUUUUCAUAACAAAGUAGCCGCUGCCGAACGCCGACGCUGAAUGUAUCCCCGUCGUCAAGCUCCACUUUCUGCUCUCCGUAUUAAGGCUUCGAAGCUGAAGCUCCGCCGUCGCAACGAACUGCACGACCUUGUUGUCCGUUCUCUACCGACGAGAACCAUAGGUGAGGUCUGCUUCAUCGGCUCUGUCACCCACCAGGGCCAUCAGUUUUGAAAGAGCAUCUAGGCCCCUAGUGGUUUCGGUGAUUAAUGACAUUGUUGGUUACUAUGACUAAUGUGUGUUUUGCAGAGGCAAAGUCAUAGGUAAGGUCAUGAAAAAUAGGUACUCGAUGGACAGGGACGUACAUGCCAACUUAAUAGUGGAAAUCGUUUCGGUUUUCAAAGGAUGGAAGGACAUCGUCGAGACUAGACUAGGUCUAAGUGCCAUAUGGUGAAGAAGGGCACUUAGAGUAGUUUAGGACAUUGUUUUCCUUUGACCGUACUAUUAAGAGGGGCUUUGAUCUAGUAGCUUGACUUAGGCAAGGCUUUAGGUUUAGGUGUGGUGCACACUUGGUAAACCUAGCACUAGGCAGCUCAGAGAUAGUCCUAAGAUCGAGAGGAACCAACUUCGUUUUGGAGCGAUCGCGUUUCGACGAAGUUUGGGUGCCCAAAGGGGCACCGGACGCUCUAUGAGUGCGUCCGGUGAGGUCCUUAGCCAUUAGAACAGUGCCGUGCUUAGGGUUAGGCACCGGACGCUAGCACCGGACGCACCGGGUAGCGUCCGGUCCCUUACCCAGGGAGCUUGCAAAGUUCCCCUGAGCACCGUACGCUAGCACCGGACGCACCGGGUAGCGUCCGGUCCCAUGCGCAGGGAGCUUGUAAUGUUUUCUCGAGCACCGGACAGUGCACUGGACGCUGAGAGUUUAGCGUCCGGUGACCUGUCAGAGUAAAGCGCAGGUAGCCGUUAUGUCACACCGGACGCUCGGUGCAGUGCGUCCGGUGCAACAUAAUGUGCGUCCGGUGACCCCGUUUUCUGUGAAAAACGGUUGGCCGAGCUUUGGACUUGGUGGAUAGUAUUUAUACUCCUCCACCUCGUCCAUGAGACCUCUCUUGCCCAUUUGAACAUCAGAGAACCUUGUUGUGGAGCAAGAGAGUUGCAAGAGCUUAGAGAGGAUUGAGAUUUGAGUAAAUUCUUAAGAGAAUCCUCAUCUAGUGAGUUCCAAGAGUCAAGUGUGCUUCCACCCCUCUCUAGUGCCUUGUUUGGGUCAAGUGAGAGUUCUUUGCUUGUUACUCUUGGUGAUCGCCAUCACCUAGACGGUUCAGUGGUGAUUGGAGGCACGAAGAUCACCCGGAGUUCUUGUGGGUGGCUCGUGUCAAGCUUGUGAGCGGUUUUGGGCGAUUCACCGUGACGGAGUGUCGAAGAAUCAGCCCGUAGAGAGCACUUGGUCCUUGCGCGGACCAAGGGGGAGCAAGACCCUUGCGCGGGUGCUCCAACGAGGACUAGUGGAGAGUGGCGACUCUCCGAUACCUCGGCAAAACAUCGCCGAGCACCUUCUUCCACUACUCCUUUACUUUCUAGCAUUUACUUUGUGCUUUUACAUUCUUAGAAAUGUCAUGCUAGAAUAGGAUUGGAACGAGGUUGCAAAACUUUUAUCCGGUAGCUCUCUAAGUCACACAAGGCACAAGGGGUUGAAUUGGAGCUUAUAGGUUGCUUAAAUUUUUAGAGAAGCCCAAUUCACCCCCCCUCUUGGGCAUCUUGAUCCUUUCAAUUGGUAUCGGAGCCUAGUGCUCAUUAUUUAGGCUUCACCGCCUAGAGAAAGAUGUCUAACGGGGAUGGACCGCCACCCAUGUUCGAUGGGGAUGACUUCCCGUAUUGGAAAAUACGGAUGGAGUCAUACCUUGAGGCAUGCGAUGUAAAGUGCCUAAAACCCGCGGCCGAAGGGUUUGCCCCUCCGGAAAGAGCCACCGCUCUUACUCCACAAGAGCAAGAGAACAAGAAGUGGAAUGCAAAGGCCAAAAACCACAUCUUUAGAGGUCUUUGCAAAGAGGUGUUCAACCGUGUUCGGAGCCACAAAACCGCCAAUGAACUUUGGAAGGAACUUUGUGCGCUCCAUGAGGGAACUAAGAGUGAACGCGAGGAACGCUAUCACCUAGUGAUGAACAAGCUUAAUACUUUUGAAAUGCUUCCUAAAGAAAAUGCUAAUGAAAUGUAUUCUCGCUUGAAUGUCAUUGUAGAGGAGCUAAAUGGACUUGGGCUUAGACAAAUGAGUACGGCGGAUGUAGCAAGGAAGAUACUAUGUGUGCUUCCCAUUGAGAAAUAUGGGCACAUAGUAACCGUGCUUCAUCAAGGCGAUCUUUCCACCGCUACACCAACCACCAUAUUGGGGAAGAUCAAUGCUCAUGAGAUGUACAUGCACAUGAACCCUCAAGAUGGCUCCUCGUCGGCCAAGAAAGAAAAGAAGGACUUGGCUCUCAAAGCUUCUCAAAAGGGCAAAGCCAAGAAGAUUGAAGUUGAGUCAUCAACUUCAAGUGAUGAUGAUGCAUCUAUUGCCCUCUUGGUGAGAAGAACCACAAAGAUGUUGAAGAAGCUCAACAAAAAUGGAGUCAACUUUGACUCCAAGAAGAAGAAGUUCUUCACAAGUAGCAAGAGGAAGCCCAUCUCCGAGAUGGAUUGCUACAAUUGUGGUGAGCUUGGUCAUCUUGCCCAUCAAUGUCCAAAGCCCAAGAAGGACAAGUACAAGAAGAAGAACAAAGAGCAAGAUGAUUCAAGUGAUGAUGAGAAGAAUGACAAGAAGAAAGGUGGCAAGAAGAAGGAGCACUACAAGAAGAAGAAUGGCAAGGCUUAUAUUGUUGGUGAUUGGCUCACCGACAUUGAAAGCUCAAGUGGUGACUCCUCCGAAAAUGAAAGUGAUGAUGAGAAGGUUGCCGCCAUCGCCAUCGAUGCUCCAUCACCAUCAUCUUCACCACCAUCUACAUCCUCUACACACCUAUGCCUUAUGGCCAAAGGUGACCGGAAGGUACAAAGUGAGGAUGAGAGUAGUGAAAGUGAUAGUGAAUAUGAAUCACCUUCUUAUGAUGAACUUGUAAAAUUGCUAAAUAAGUACACUAAAGUCAUAAGAAAAUCUAGAAGUGAAAAUGAAAAGCUUGAACUCGAAAAUGAAACACUUCUAGCAAAGCUUAAGUCUAGUGAUGAGCUUAGAGACCAAAAUAAGAUCAUGACCACUAAGCUCAAGGAGCUCAAACUCUCUCUUAAAGAGCUCAAAGAAAAACAUGAUAAACUUGAGAGUGUUCAUGAUGAGCUUAUCACUAGAUAUAGAGCAAUGAAAGAAGAACUAACAACUCUAAAAGCAAACUAUGAAAACCUUGAGAUUGCUUAUGAACUUGCAAUUGAUGAAACACAUGUUGCUACUAACAAUGUUGCUAAGCUUAAUGUAGCUACAUCUUGUGAUGACUUACUUGUGGAGAGCACAAGCAAAUGUGUUGAUUGCAAGGGCAAGAAAGUGGUAGUGGCCGAGAGUUAUGAGGACACUAUCAAGCUCAAGGAUGAGAUUGUCAUGCUCAAGAAAGAAUUGCAAGAACAAGUCAAGCACAAGACAAUUGUGAUUGAGUCACUUGAUCAAGACAAGAAGCUUGCAUAUGAGAACAAGUUACUCAAGGAAGAAAAUCAAUAUCUCAAGCUUGGCUUGAUGUAUGAUAAGCAAGAAGAAGAUGAGACAUUCAUCUUGGAUGAGUUAGCUAGCAACAAUGACCCAAUCAUCAAGAAGCUAACUCAAGAGAACAACAAGCUCAAGAAAGAGAAGGAACACCUAACUAUGGGGUUAGCAAAGUUCACAAAGGGGAAGGACCUUCAAAGUGAGCUUUUCAUGAACACCGUCAUGAAGAUGGACAAGAGUGGGAUUGGCUAUAAGGCUCAUCAAACAAAGCUCAUCAAGUCUCUAGCCACUCAUGAUCAAGCAAGCAAGCUAAAGCCAAAGAGAUGCUUUGAGUGUGGUCAAGAAGGACACUUUGCUCAUGAGUGUAAGGCACCACUACCACCACCCUUGCCCAAGCAUGCAAGACCAUUUGCCUUCAAUGCUCAUUACAUUGUAAGGAAAGACAAGUGUGGCAAGGUCAAGGUUAGCUUCAUGGGGCCAUCAAACAAGCAAAGGCCAAAGAAAAUUUGGGUGCCAAAGCAACUAGUAGAGAAGGUCAAGGGCCCUAAGCAAAUGUGGGUGCCAAAAUCUCAAGCUUGAUCUCUUGUGUGUAGGUGAACUACAAGACCGGUGGAUCACAUUGGGUAAUUGAUAGUGGUUGCACUCAACAUAUGACCGGAGAUCCCCGGAUGUUCACCUCUCUUGAUGAAGAUGUUGACAACCAAGAGAAGAUCACAUUUGGUGACAAUUCAAAAGGGAAAGUCAAGGGACUAGGAAAGGUUGCUAUAUCAAAUGACAACUCCAUCACCAAUGUGCUCUAUGUGCAAUCUUUGAGUUUCAACUUGCUCUCGGUUGGACAACUUUCUGAUCUCGGAUUUGAAUGCCUAUUCAAGAAGAAGGAAGUAAUUGCGACCAAGGAAGAUGACAAUGAAGUGAUUUUCAAAGGCUUUCGGCACAACAACUUAUAUGUAGUUGAUUUCUCAUCAAAUGAAGUUGAUGUCAAGACUUGCUUAUUCACCAAGACUUCACUUGGGUGGUUGUGGCAUAGAAGGUUAGCACAUGUUGGAAUGGGCACACUCAAGAAGUUGAUGAAGAAAGAAUUGAUUAGAGGCUUGAAGGAUGUGACAUUUGAGAAAGACAAGCUUUGUAGUGCAUGUCAAGCGGGCAAAUAAGUUGCAAACACUCAUCCAACCAAAGCCUAUCUCUCUACUUCAAGAGUGCUUGAGCUACUUCACAUGGAUUUGUUUGGACCAACCACAUAUGCUAGUCUUGGAGGCAACAAAUAUUGUUUGGUCAUAGUUGAUGAUUACUCUCAGUACACUUGGACAUUCUUUUUGCAAGACAAAGCCGAAGUUGCAUCAAUAUUCAAGAAGUUUGCAAAGAAUGCUCAAAAUCAAUUUGAUGUGAAGAUCAAGAAAAUUAGAAGUGACAAUGGCAAAGAGUUUGACAACACCAACAUUGAAGAGUAUUGUGAUGAAGUGGGAAUCAAGCAUGAGUUCUCCUCAACAUACACACCACAACAAAAUGGGGUUGUAGAAAGAAAGAACCGGACAUUAAUCACCUUGGCAAGAACAAUGCUAGAUGAGUAUAACACUUCGGAGAAGAUGUGGGCCGAGGCAAUCAACACCGCAUGCUAUGCAUCAAACCGGCUCUUUCCUCACAAGUUCCUAGAGAAGACACCAUAUGAGUUGCUCAAUGGGAAGAAGCCUGAUGUCUCAUUCUUUAGAGUGUUUGGAUGCAAGUGCUACAUCUACAAGAAGCGUCAACACUUGGGAAAGUUCCAAAGAAGAUGUGACAUUGGCUACUUGGUUGGCUAUUCAUCAAAGUCCAAAGCAUAUAGGGUUUUUAACCAUGCCACAAACAUGGUUGAAGAAACUUUUGAUGUUGAAUUUGAUGAAACAAAUGGCUCCCAAGGAGCAAGUGAUAAUCUUGAUGAUGUAGGUGGUGAACCAUUGAGGGAUGCCAUGAAGAACAUGCCGGUGGGAGACAUCAAGCCUAAAGAAGAUGAUGAUGAUGUGCAAGUCAUUGAGCCACCAUCCACCUCACAAGGACCACAAGAUGAAGACAAGGAUGUGAGAGAUGCCCAUGAAGACACUCAAGUCACUCAUGAGCAAGCAGUGGCACAAGCACAAGAUGUUGAUGCUCCCCAACCAAUCCCUCAAGUGGCACCAAGAAGAACAUCACAUCUUCUCCAAGAUCACUCUCAAGAUCUCAUCAUCGGGAGUCCAUCACGUGGUGUAACUACUCGGUCUAGACAUGCUUUAUUUAUUGAACAUCACACUUUUGUGUCUCUUGAAGAUGAACCAAAGACUAUAGAGGAAGCUCUUCGUGAUGUGGAUUGGAUCAUGGCCAUGCAAGAGGAGUUGAAUAACUUCACUCGCAACCAAGUAUGGACACUUGAAGAGCGACCCAAAGAUGCAAGAGUGAUUGGAACAAAGUGGGUCUUCCGGAACAAGAAGGAUGAUCAAGGCAAAGUGGUGCGAAACAAGGCAAAACUUGUGGCAAAAGGCUUUUCACAAGUGGAAGGUCUUGACUUCGGUGAAACCUUUACACCGGUGGCAAGACUUGAAGCAAUCCGUAUCCUACUUGCAUAUGCAUCUAGUCAUGAUAUCAAGUUAUUUCAAAUGGAUGUGAAAAGUGCCUUUUUAAAUGGUUAUAUUAAUGAGCUUGUCUAUGUUGAGCAACCCCUCGGUUUUGAAGACCCUAGGUACCCCAAGCAUGUCUACCGGUUGUCCAAGGCUCUCUACGGUCUCAAGCAAGCUCCUAGAGCUUGGUAUGAGAGGCUUAGGGACUUCCUCAUUGAGAAGGGUUUCAAGAUUGGGAAAGUUGACACAACACUCUUCACCAAGAAAAUGAAUGGGGAAAUCUUCAUUUGCCAAGUUUAUGUUGAUGAUAUUAUUUUUGGCUCUACUAAUGAAGAUUUUUGCAAGGAAUUUGGUGAUUUGAUGUCCAAGGAGUUUGAGAUGUCCAUGAUUGGCGAGCUAUCAUUCUUCCUAGGAUUUCAAGUCAAGCAAAUGAAGGAAGGGGUCUUCAUCUCUCAAGAGAAGUACACUCAAGAUCUUCUCAAGAGGUUCAAGAUGAUGGAUUGCAAGCCAAUCAAGACUCCCAUGGCAUCAAAUGGGCAUCUCAACUUGGAUGAGGGAGGUAACCCUAUUGACAAGACUCUCUAUCGCUCCAUGAUAGGAAGUCUACUCUACCUCACCGCAUCUAGGCCCGAUAUAAUGUUUAGUGUGUGUAUGUGUGCGAGGUAUCAAGCUAUGCCUAUGGAAUCUCACUUGAUUGCCGUCAAGAGAAUUCUUAGGUAUCUAAAAUACACACCUUGCCUAGGCUUGUGGUAUCCCAAAGGUGCAAGAUUCCAACUUGUAGGCUAUUCCGAUUCGGAUUAUGCCGGGUGCCGGAUUGAUUGAAAAAGCACAUCCGGAGGGUGCCAUUUCCUAGGUAGAUCUCUUGUCUCUUGGAUGUCAAAGAAACAAAAUAGUGUUGCUUUGUCAACGGCCGAGGCGGAAUACAUAGCCGCCGGUGCUUGUUGCGCACAAAUACUCUACAUGAAACAAACUUUGCUAGACUAUGGAGUAGUACUAGACAAAGUACCUUUGUUGUGUGACAACGAAAGUGCCGUAAAACUUGCAAACAACCCGGUUCAACACACCCGCACAAAACAUAUUGACAUCCGCCACCACUUCCUUAGGGAUCACGUUGCUAAAGGUGACAUAUCCCUAGAGAAUGUGGGAACGGAAAAUCAAUUAGCGGAUAUCUUUACAAAACCCCUAGAUGAACCUAGGUUUUGUAUGUUGAGAAAUGAACUUAAUGUGCUUGACUUGUCUAACUUCACUAAAAGAUAAAAGUUGUGUGUUGAAUCUUGUAAAUAACCUUUGUUUUGCAUAUCAUGCAUACUAAAACUAAAAAUAUAACUUGCAUGUAGGGCUUGUCUAACAUGGUUAAGAUAACCCCCUUGAGUGUGUGAAAAAGCUUAACCUUGGAUCAAACUUGACAAGCAUUAGCUUACUUUCAAGUUUUGCAUUAAAACUCAUAUCAUAUGCAUGCUUGUUUAUUGACCGUUUCUUUUCGGUUAUUCGUUGAGCAUCCGCUGUGUUCGUCCACAGAUAGGGGGAGCAUUCAAAGCUCAUUGUGAUUCCAACCCCUAGCUUUAUGGCCAUACGAUGCUCCUUGAUGCUUUCUCGAACUAUUUUCAUAAAAAUCUACUAAGCCUAUGGCUAAUUAUUUGUGAAAACUUGAGGGUUUGAGAGAUGUCACUCCUACCAGUUCCAUUUGGUGUUUACUUGAGUGUUUUUGAAGAUGGAACUUGGUUGGAUCAAAGUCGGACAUGGUGCUUAGUUGAAAAAGUGCUCAGAGGAGCACCGGACGAUGCACCGGACGCUGCCUCUGAGCGUCCGGUGUGGUGAGUGUGCUAGAUUGCACUCACCGGACGCAGGAACAGUGUCCCUGUGGCGUCCGGUGCGGUGCGUCCGGUGCUCACCUGGCGUGACCCAAAGCACCGGACGCUAAAGCCAGCGUCCGGUGCCCCUCGUCCGGUGCAAUGUCAAAAUGCAAACCUCUCUGCGCAUGAGUCCGGUGGUCACCGGACGCGUCCGGUGCCACUUUAAGUGCGUCCGGUGACCCCGCGACGGGCGGAUAAAGCCCGCGCCCAGAGGGUUUCGCGGGCAGUUUCUCUUCUUCCUCCUCCAAAUCUCUGGCCGCGCCCGUGCCCUAGCGCCGCCGCCGUCGUCCUUGCGCCGUUUCCCGGCGAGUUUGGAGCUUUCCCCCGCGCCAGAUCUGCUAAGGGACUUCUUCCCUUCCCUCUCCUCGCUCUGGUUUCCUUCCUUGCGAAGAAAUUAGGGCUUGGGGUAAGUUCUCUGCUCUAUCUCCCAAGGUGCUCGAGCCUUUGUGUUCAUGACUUUCGAUUUAGGUUUUGAUUCCAAUCUCGAUGGUCUUCUCGUUGCAGCACCUCUAGGAGAAGUUUCGUGGUCUCCGGAGGUUUCCGAUCGCGACUUUUUAAUCCUGAACGCGUCUCGUCAGUCGAUCGUAAGCCGUUCGUGCCCGUGUCUUAUCUUUUCUUGCGAUCCAUAGGUUUAUCUCAUCUCUAGUCGAUGUAUCUUCUUAUUUAGACCCUAUCCUGUCCAUUCUCUGCAGUGCAUUGUUCUCCAUUGCCAGUCAGUUGUUUAUCGGACGCUUGAGUUGCUAUGGCUCGUUGCAAGAAUGUUAGCGGUCCGACAGCUGGCUCAGGAGGUUCCCCAGGAGGCGAUGGUGGAGGUGAUCCUCCUCGUCGUUUCUCAGCGGCAGAGAAAGGCAAGGGAAAGAAGCUGGCCACCAAGAAGCGCAAAGUCAGUGACAGAGAUGCAGAGGUCGCCGAGGCAGUUGCAGCAGCGGCUGAGGCAGCCGAGAGGGGUGGUCGUUCUGGUUCUCUGAGGAUUGGGGAUGAUCUUACGCCGCGUCAGAGGCGUGCAGUGCUUGAGGCAGAGGCUUUCCAUGGAUCCCCUCCAGGCACCGUGACGAUUGGAGGACAGAGGGUUAGGCUUGUGGUCAGGGAUCCAGCUCAGGAGGAUCCAGACACUGAGACAGAGACCCAGGCAGAGGGUCCAGCACAGGAGCAGGAGCAGGAGCAGCCACUCAGGAGGUCGACUCGUGCUCGUACCCAGGCCGUUCCUCAGACCGGCAUGCCGGGUCAGUCCACUUCCACAGCUCAUGCCACACCAGCGAGAGGUACACCAGCUUCACGCCCGAGGCCAGUCAGGAUCCACAGGGAUCUUUCUCUUGUGUCAGCCAGAGAGAUCCAGCAGCUGAGGUUCGUUCCGUUUCCCACCUGGUUUCCAGCUGCCAGGGAUCCUAGAGCCGGUGCCAGGUUCUACACAGUCAUCCAGGAGGACAUCUAUGAGGCACUGGUUUGCUCUCAGGCUCAGUUCAGGGAGCACAGAGUGAUCGACCUGGAGAUACUGGGGAACGUCGUUGGAGCUGAUAUUCGUCAGUACUUUACCUACCUCCACGGACUUCCAGAGUUACUAGCACUUCCCGGGACUUACUGUGAGCAGUGGGUCAGAGAGUUCUACGCGUCAGUGUGGGUUUCUCCAGAUCACAGCUAUAUCCACUACGCACUGGCGGGGACAGACUACAGAGUGACAGCUCAGAGGGGCAGAGAGGUGCUUGGACUGCGAGCCUCUCCCACCAGGAUUCACCAGCUGUGCUACGGGAACGUGGAUCCCCCUCGUCGUCCUCACGGUGGUGAGAUACCACCAGUUGACUUCGUGGCUCCCUGUUUCCGUGCACCUUUUGGGGAGGGCUCCAGCAGGACAGUGGCAGACUUGACACGCCCAGCCAGGAUCCUCGACUUUGUGUUGAGGAAGACUCUUCUCCCCAGGACAGGCUACAGAGAUGGAUUCACUCGUAUGCAGCAGUGGCUCCUCGCUCACCUUAUCUCCCAGACACAGUUUGACUUGUGGGAUCUUAUCGUCUCAGAGAUAGAGGACACCAUCUCAGAGAGCUUCAGGGGCCGGCGUCAGUUGCCCUACGCACAUUGGAUCACCCUGCUUAUACUUCGUGCUAGGCCACUGCCCCUGCCAGCUCACUUGCAGAGUGAGUUGACAGAGUCAGACACCGUCUUCCCCCACUACGACCCCCGGCAGAUGUUGAGAGCGCAUCACGACCUUCGCGGUGCACCUCCUCCUCGUGCUCCAUGUGGACCCGUGCCCCCACUUUCUCCUAGGGGCACCCGCAGUACAGCGGCAAUUGCAGAGACAGAGGAGCAGCAGGAUAUAGCUAUUGGGGCGUUCGCCGAUGCAGAGGCAGAGGGCGAGUUUGACUUCGCCUCAGACAGUUCAGACGACAACUAUCAGCCGCCAGUGACUGACCUUCCUCCCAGAGCUCACGACCACGAGGCAGGCGGUUCUUCGAGUGCUUCACACCCUGCCCUGCUUGCUAUCCUAGAGGGGAUGAGGGCAGAUCAGCGCCGUGCAGCUGAGGAGCAGGCGAGGCGCGACAGGGAUCAGGCUGCUAUCAAUGCAGCCAUGCAGGCCAGGUAGGAUGAGCUCCAGCGUCAGCUUCUCACCUUUCGGGGGCAGCAGCUUGCUUUUCAGGCCCAGCAGACAGCGAUGUUGGCCGCUCUCAUGGCCGCCUCCGGGAUUCAGCUACCGCAGAUACAGCUCCCAGGCACGUCGUCCAUCAGGCCCCCUACUCCUGCGCCCCAGACUCAGAGCCCGUCUCAGGAGCCGCUCCAGCUACCAGCUCAGAGUCAGCCGUUUUCGACGCCCCAGCACCAGGUCUCUCAGGGUGCUAUCUCUUCAGGCUUUGAGCAGGUACCGCAGUUUACCCCUCUCCGCUCAGGCUUCACCCCUCAGUCAGCUUCAGCAUCGCAGCUUGUGUGGGACUCGCAGACAGAUCCACACCUCAGCUUCACCUACAGUGCUCUGACUGGUGACCCUACGCCUCCUCCUCUGCAGGCUCCUGCAGUCUUUACGACGCCAGUUACCACUACAGAGCUUCUGUCGUCGUCCGUAGCGUCGUCCGAGCAGCUUGCACCGUCUACUACCGUACCAGAGACGACAGCUACAGCGACCGAGUCCGUGCCAGCCUCGUCAGCCGGACUUGAGCAGCCAGCACAGCCUGUGACAGCGCCAGAGCAGACCCGGACCGCUUCUCCAGCACCUGCAGCUUCAGAGGGUCACUCCACCUCCUCCGCCUCGACGGCCGACACCUCAGAUGAUGCAGCUCGCUUCGUGGCCGCGCCGAGGGACUCUACUGCUCCGCCUCCUCCGCCGUCUUCUUAGGUUUUUGGCGCUUGAUGCCAAAGGGGGAGAGAGUGCAUAUGAGAGAGUUAGGGAGUUAGGGGGAGCUAGCUAGAGAGAGAGUUUAUUCUUAUGAGAUACUUUCGAUGUGUACUAUGUGUGCUACUUCAUCAUGCAUCAUGUUUACUUUUACGCAUUGCACUUGUGUGAGGUACACUGGUUAUGAGACAUGAUUUGUGCUUUUUGUGAUAUCUUCUUGUCAUGUGUUUGGCUUAUAUUAUCUUUGCUUCCGCAUUUUUACUCUGAUAUAACUAUGAGCCUUAUGUUUAUAUCCUGUCGUAUUUCACUCACCUAUUUGGAUGCAGGGUAUUGGAUUUGGUUGAUAUAAGCAUGACUAAUUCCUUUGUUCUUAUUGUAUCAUGCUUAUUGAAACCAAGUCCCCUUUAAAAACCUCAACUCUUUUCAUACUCGAGGUUGUCAUCAAUCACCAAAAAGGGGGAGAUUGAAAGAGCAUCUAGGCCCCUAGUGGUUUCGGUGAUUAAUGACAUUGUUGGUUACUAUGACUAAUGUGUGUUUUGCAGAGGCAAAGUCAUAGGUAAGGUCAUGGUAAAUAGGUACUCGAUGGACAGGGACGUACAUGCCAACUUAAUAGUGGAAAUCGUUUCGGUUUUCAAAGGAUGGAAGGACAUCGUCGAGAAUAGACUAGGUCUAAGUGCCAUAUGGUGAAGAAGGGCACUUAGAGUAGUUUAGGACUUUGUUUUCCUUUGACCGUACUAUUAAGAGGGGCUUUGAUCUAGUAGCUUGACUUAGGCAAGGCUUUAGGUUUAGGUGUGGUGCACACUUGGUAAACCUAGCACUAGGCAGCUCAGAGAUAGUCCUUAGAUCGAGAGGAACCAACUUCGUUUUGGAGCGAUCGCGUUUCGACGAAGUUUGGGUGCCCAAAGGGGCACCGGACGCUGCACCGGACGCUCUGUGAGUGCGUCCGGUGAGGUCCUUAGCCGUUAGAACAGUGCCGUGCUUAGGGUUAGGCACCGGACGCUAGCACCGGACGCACCGGGUAGCGUCCGGUCCCUUACCCAGGGAGCUUGCAAAGUUCCCCUGAGCACCGGACGCUAGCACCGGACGCACCGGGUAGCGUCCGGUCCCAUGCGCAAGGAGCUUGUAAUGUUUUCUCGAGCACCGGACGGUGCACCGGACGCUGAGAGUUUAGCGUCCGGUGACCUGUCAGAGUAAAGCGCAGGUAGCCGUUAUGUCACACCGGACGCUCGGUGCAGUGCGUCCGGUGCAACAUAAUGUGCGUCCGGUGACCCCGUUUUCUGUGAAAAACGGUUGGCCGAGCUUUGGACUUGGUGGAUAGUAUUUAUACUCCUCCACCUCGUCCAUGAGACCUCUCUUGCCCAUUUGAACAUCAGAGAGCCUUGUUGUCGAGCAAGAGAGUUGCAAGAGCUUAGAGAGGAUUGAGAUUUGAGUAAAUUCUUGAGAGAAUCCUCCUCUAGUGAGUUCCAAGAGUCAAGUGUGCUUCCACCCCUCUCUAGUGCCUUGUUUGGGUCAAGUGAGAGUUCUUUGCUUGUUACUCUUGGUGAUCGCCAUCACCUAGACGGUUCGGUGGUGAUUGGAGGCACGAAGAUCACCCGGAGUUCUUAUGGGUGGCUCGUGUCAAGCUUGUGAGCGGUUUUGGGCGAUUCACCGCGACGGAGUGUCGAAGAAUCAGCCCGUAGAGAGCACUUGGUCCUUGCGCGGACCAAGGGGGAGCAAGACCCUUGCGCGGGUGCUCCAACGAGGACUAGUGGAGAGUGGCGACUCUCCGAUACCUCGGCAAAACAUCGCCGAGCACCUUCUUCCACUACUCCUUCACUUUCUAGCAUUUACUUUGUGCUUUUACAUUCUUAGAAUUGUCAUGCUAGAAUAGGAUUGGAACUAGGUUGCAAAACUUUUAUCCGGUAGCUCUCUAAGUCACACUAGGCACAAGGGGUUGAAUUGGAGCUUAUAGGUUGCUUAAAUUUUUAGAGAAGCCCAAUUCACCCCCCCUCUUGGGCAUCUUGAUCCUUUCAAGUUUGUGUAGUCAUGGCUUACAGGCCAUUAUUUUUUGAUCACCCGCUAGCUCCGGCCAAACUGUCGGCACUGACCAACAUCUGCACCAGGAUCAACCCAAGUCUCUACCAGCCGGGACGAGCGCGCCAUCCCCUACAUCCCAUCUCCCUGCAUGCAUGCACGCACGCAAACGUGUGGCACCGUGCGAGCAAGCAGAGCAGUCGGGAGGGCAUGCCAUCUUGCUAGCUUGAUGAUGCUGUGAUGACUACACGAUGACAUCACUUGAGUUUUGUUGACGUUUUUCUUUAAAAAACAAUUCUACAAAUACAGAGUACACAAGCUUGAUUUGACCAUAUAAUCUCCGUUUUAAUUCCGUUUUGAUCCGUUCAAGUUGUGUUAGACUCAUAGCAAUGUAAUCUACGUGUUAGUGCUAGUGUUUUCAUGUCACAUGUUUUCCAUAUAUUGCUAAAUAUUUAAUUUCUUAAUACACUUUUAGUUAGUUUUAUAAUUAAAAAAUAAUAUAGGUUUCUUUGUAAUUAUAUGAGCUUGAAUUUAGCUAAUAUAGCAACUUGAAUAUGUUUUAAUUAUAUUUUGCUUAGACAAUCACCAUAUAUACCAUAAAACUUAUUUCAGUACUCACAUGUUACAUUAUUUUACAAGUUUAAGUUUGACCGGCAUAAACAAUAUAAAAUUAUGUAUGGAUAAAAUAUGAUCAUCUCCAACAGGUAUCAUGUAUAAUUUGAAUAGAUAUUCUCACACUUUCUUUGAAAUGUUAAAGUUUACUUUGAUUAAAAUGAUGUGUGCAUGCUUAUAUUUAAAAUAUGAUUAUUGAUUAUAUAAUAGACAUGUUCAUAAGUAAAAUAUAACUUGACUAAUCUGAAUUAGUAGGUUACACAUGAUUUCUCUUAAUUUAAACAUAUUAAAAUCAUAGUUGUUUCUUUUCAAUGACAUUUUUGGUUUCGACGUUUCUCGUAGCCUUAGCAUCAAGUCGUGUCGUUUAGUGCGCUCUCUUUUAAAGCUUUUCUUUUCGAUUGAUGCGUUGUUCUUAGUUUUUUCUAUUUGUUGCUUGUAUGUUUGUUGGUGUGCUUAGUUGCUGCGAUGUGCGAGUAGACAAGAACCACGCUUGUGUGUGUUGAAGAUGAGAAGAUGAUUGCCAAAAGCUGAUGGUGUGAGAAUUGAGCAAGUGCUUAAGGAAAGUAUAACUUGGGACUAUCCUUGUUACCUACACACUUUUAAUACAUAUAUCAUAUGCAUGUGUCCACCUUGAUGACCUUAGCAAAAUCAUACAUGAUUGUUAUCUUGAAUUCCUUGUUACCUAUUUUGAUAUGCAUUUGGGUAGUUCUUGCUAGUGCUUGACUAUAAUCCAUGAUCUUGUAACAUGAAUAUUUGGAUAUACAAUAAACAAUAAAAUAAGCUUUCUAGCAACUUGAAUAUAAAGGGUGGAAAGAACUCUAGCUUCUGCUAGAUUGAUCUUGACCCUCCAUAAAGACUUAUCCCUUGGCAAAAGCUGGUACAACUCGUACAACCAUAAGGGCUAUAUGGCUUUGGCUUUAGCUCAGUAUGAAGACCUUUUCUAGCUUGUUAAAGGUUACCCGAAAGGGCGGAGGGGCUGAACCGACACGGGUAUAGUGCGAGCCCCUGUCUCUAUGUGUAUAGGCUGCGCGUCAUUGGGCCAUUCGGAAGGGGGGUAUCUAUAUCUGCUCAUGAAGAAAACCUUGUGGCCCUAACAUGUUAGACAAACUUUUGAAAGGCUUCAUAGUGAACUCUGCCGACCUCCCUAGGAAGGGGGUUAAGAGACUAGCUACCUCGGGCGAAAGGGUAAAUCAUGACUCAUGGGUAAAGAUGUACAACCUCUGCAGAGUGUUAAAUCUGGUAUUCUAGCCGUGCCCACGGUUACGGGUGGCCUGGAAAACUGACGGAAUAGAUGGACACUCAUGAACAUGAUUAAUGAUGAUAAAUGAUGGUUUAUUAUGUUGUUUAUAUGUGAUAUUCUUAAUUCUUGUAUACAUUGAUCAUGUGGUUAUGGGAUUUAAUUAUGCUACUUGACAUUUUUUAUCUAAAUAUAAACUUGCUAUCUACAUAUAAAAGCUAAAUGCAGUCAAACCAGUGUCAGCUUAUUGAGCCUCAUGAACCCCUAGUUAUACUUGUUGAGUACGACAUGUGCUCAGUUCCCACCAAUAUAGUUUACUAGUAAGAGUUGAUCAGAAGAGUAAUGGAGUCACGGAGGACAUUCUUGGGAUACAAGAAGUGCUAGGCAUAUGUUACACCUAGUGAACCGUCCCUGUGAAGAUUGAGCCUUAAGUUUAGUUACUGUUCCGCGAUACUCUGAUGUAAGUGUUAAUUAUAAGUACGUUUCCGCUAUAUAACAUUGUUUCUGAUACUGUCUCUUUCUGUUGUUAUAUGUGUGGACUUCCUGGGCACACGUAUAGCUAGCCUGGUUUUGUUCUUUAUAUAGAGAUAGAUAGAUAGAUAGAUAGAUAGAUAGAUAGAUAGAUAGAUAGAUAGAUAGAUAGAUAGAUAGAUAGAUAGAUAGAUAGAUAGAUAGAUAGAUAGAUAGAUAGAUAGAUAGAUAGAUAGAUAGAUAGAUAGAUAGAUAGAUAGAUAGAUGGAUGGAUAGAUAGAUAGAUAGAUAGAUAGAUAGAUAGAUAGAUAGAUAGAUAGAUAGAUAGAUAGAUAGAUAGAUAGAUAGAUAGAUAGAUAGAUAGAUAGAUAGAUAGAUAGAUAGAUAGAUAGAUAGACAGAUAUAUAUAUGUAGACGGAGACACACAGACAUCAUUGCCCUUUGUAAGGAACACAUAGUGUAGCUUGUGUAGGUCAUUACGUAUAGUGAUCCAUCCCUUGUGUAUUGUGCUUCCUGUUCUGCCUCAGAUUACGAACCUACGUCAGGUGAGGCUACAUACCCCACGGAUUGUAUGUCUAAACUAGCCAUAGACAUUUUUUAGAAAAAUUCUAAAGUUCUCUUGCUUGUUUUUUGUUCCCUGUAUCUCUUGAAUAAACUUUCAGUGCAGUACUGCUCUAAUUACAUGUCACUUGGUUCUACAGGUUUUCAGUAAAUAUUUGUAACUGCAGCAUGGACAUGUUAACCAGUAGUGUCGUCCCAUUCUCCAUUGCACUUGUUUUCAUCACUGCAGUAAUCACCAAGGUUGCAUGGGCAAAAGUAACAGCUGAUCCGGCAUCAUCAAGCAAUAAUACUCAACCUCACCCCCCUAUGGUUAUCACUGGCAUCACCUCAGCUAUUCGACUUCUACAUACACUUCUCACCAAGGGUUUCAUAGCCAUGCUUCAUGAGCAAUACACAAAGUUAGGAAGUGUGUUCACAAUAAGUUUCUUAGGGAUGAAAACAACGUUCCUAGCUGGGCCGGAGGUCUCAGUUCAUUUUUACCAGGGACUGGAGUCUGAGAUCAGUCAUGGUCAUUUACUUGAGUUCACUGUACCCAUGUUUCGCAAAGAUGUUGCUUUUGGUGUGGAUAUCGUCACCCGAACUGAACAACAUCGCUUCGAUAUUGACGCACUAAAACCAGCUAAGUUGAGGUGCCAUGUUGCUCCAAUGCUUCAGGAAGUGGAAGUAAGUAACAUAAUAUGCAUGCACGCCUACUUUCAUUCAUUCUCCUUUGCCCGUCCUCUCGCUUUUUCUCACACACACAUAUGAUGCAUUGUCAGAAAAUUAAUAUAGUUAACAGGAUAUAUAUAGUUUUAAUGUUAUAUAUAUCCAUCAUACAAAAUGUAACAACUUUUAGUAAGAGCAACUGAGCAUGAACAAAUAAUGAAAUAAAUAUGAGUUUAUUGGCAAAACAACCAUCAAAAUAGGUUCCUCUUGGUUUGUACUGAUUUUUGAAUUUUCUCUCAUGUAAGUGGAUAUCCUGUUGUGUUUGUUUCCAUCCGUUAUUGCCUUGUAUAUAAGAAGGAUGAAAGGCAGAGUUUCAUCAAUGUUAACUAGAAAAGUAUGACAUGUUAAUUCAUUUAGAGUGUAUUCUUUCCAAAAACAAAUUAUUUUUUCUGAAAGAUGGAUAAAUUAAUUCGAUUUAAGGUAACAGGCAAAAAGGAUAUAUAUCUUCAUUUAUUAAUACUCUCUCCAUUCUAUAUAAGGUGUCCAAUCAUUCAAAAUUUGUCCUAAGUUAGUAGAGUUUUUAGGAGAAAUAACUCUGCACAACUCAAUAUAGAAGACAACAUCCACAUGCAUCAUGGGUAAUCACAUCUUCCUAGUAUACGUUCUAUUUAGGACACAAUGUAAUCUUUAACUACUUAUCAUUAUUCAGAAUUUUCCAUUAUAUGUUGCAUUAGCAUAUACUUUACUUAUAAACUAUUUAGGCUUGAUAUAUAAUUUCCUGUGUAACUAUAUAGGUCGCUGUACUAUAUCACUAUGGUAUGUGUGCGUACUAGAUGACAGAUGACCAUACCAUUGUGGGUCUGUGGUUUCGUAUCGCUAUCAUUUUUCUAAUUUUGUUGCUCCAUCUAGUGACAAAUGGAAUAUAUAUUAGAUCAAGAAUUUUUGUUGCCCAACUUCGCAAGUAUGACUAUAAAGAUAUGUUUCAAAUUAUAUAUUACGGAAAUCUGAUAAUGAUAUUAUAGACAUGCCUUGACAAGUAAAAUCAUAACAUCAAUAAUUAAAAAAAAGAAUGUAGUGUGGGCAUAGCUAAUAGAUAUUGAAGACUGCAUCACUAUUAGGAGUAUCUAAAAAAAAGUUCUUGUCCAGAAUACUACAUAUAUGUUAAUAAACAUACAUGCAUUUUUGUAUGCAGAAAUACUUUGCAAAAUGGGGACAGUAUGGUACCGUUGAUCUAAAGCAGGAACUGCAGCAGUUACUCAUGCUGAUCUCAGCACGCUGCCUACUCGGGAAAGAGGUUCGGGAGAAUAUGUUCGAUGAGGUUUUCUCCGGAUUCCAAGAACUCACAGAAAACAGCUUGCAGCUAAUCAGCUUACUAUUUCCAUAUGCCCCAACGCCAAUGACUCGACGGCGCGAUAGGGUGUGUACUAUGCUCUCAAGCAUUUUCACUCAGAUUGUUCGAUUGCGUAAGAGCUCCAACAGAGUCGAGGAGGAUGUUUUACAGAACCUGAUGGACUCCAAAUACAAGGAUGGACGCCCCACAACUGAACCUGAGGUUACUCGGCUCAUAAUUGCCAUCCUCUUUGCUGGAAAGCAGACAAGCACGACCAGCAGCACGUGGACUGGAGCUCGCCUUCUAAGCCACAAAGAGUGCUUGGAGGCUGCCCUUGAGGAGCAGCAGAAAAUCGUCAAGAAAUAUGGGGACAAUAUAGACUAUGAUAUCCUCCUGGAGAUGAGCUUCCUACACUGUUGCAUCAAGGAGGCACUACGGAUGCACCCUACAGCACCAAUGUUUCUUCACAAGGUGCACAAGAACUUUACCGUACAGACUAGAGAAGGCUUUGAGUACGAGAUUCCAAGUGGGCAUACCAUAGCAAGCCCUUUGGUCAUAAACCACAACAUUCCAUACCACUAGUACAGGGAAAGGCUUUAGCCCCGGGUGGUAAGGGCCUUUAGUCCCGGCUACCGAACCAGGGCUAAGGUUUCGGGACUAAAUGUCCCACCUUUAGUCCCGGUUGGUAACAGCAACCGGGACUAAAAGGCGCGCCAGGAUGUGCCAUCUGGCCUCCACUUUUAGUCCCGGUUGUUGCUACCAACCGGGACUAAAGAUUUUUUUCUUUUUUAUUUUUCUUUUCAUUUGGUUUUCCAUUUAGGGUGUACAAUUAUGUUAUUGUUAUUUUCGAAUGCGUAUUGUUUGCUGGUAGUUUAUGGAACGCGCAUCUAUAAUUUAUAUAAUUUAAAGAAUUAUAUAGAAAUAUACUAUAAAACACUAUAUAUAUAUAAAUAAUAUGUAUCUAUAGGUCCAUAAUAUAAUAUUUACACAUAUGCUUCACAGACAAAGUAUUUACAACACAAUUUAUCUCCGCCACUCAAGCAUCGUACAAAUGAUCAUCCUUAUUUGGUUUCAUUGGCUUCUGAUGGUUGAAGUAGCACUCGCCGCCGGGAUUCAAGACUUGGUCGUUAAGAAAUCCUGCGAUUGUCUCCUGAAUUCCUUUUAGACGCACCGCAUCCAACACCUGCUCCUUCAGCCAUAUCUCCUUUAAUAGACAUUACAGAAAAAAGUUAGAGGUAUGAAUAGGAUUUAUUAAAUAGCAACAAAUAAAUGAAAUAAACAUAUUAUAUAUACAUGUUACAUACUUUUAGGUGCUCAAGAUUAGUUCUUUUGGCGUACACCGUCAUAAACUCGCACACAUAGUAGUCACACAAAUUGUUGCCCGGUGUCUGCCGUAGAACCCACUGAAGUAAGAUGGGCUUUGAAAGUGCUGCAUUCAACUCUGGACGGUGUUUCUGCACGAACCCAGCCCAAACCCUAGCAAUAAAAUGAUCAUUAUUAAUUAUCCAUUACCAAGUUAAAAGAGCAGCAUUUAAUAUAUAGAUAUCGGAGUUACCCUUAGAUAAUAUUUAUUAUUUCUUGGUAAUCGUCCUGUGGUUUUCUCAAUGAGUCAUAGAUUACCAAUUGACUUUGCCAAAGAUCAAUGACAAUUAGUACCCAAUGAAAGCUGCAUUUGUAUGCAUAUGUAGGCAAAAUUAGUAUAUAUCUUCAUAUUGAUCUGAUUAAUUAAUUAAAUAGAAUGUACACACAAUAACGAUACUUACUUAAAAUUGUAGGGAAAGAUUAUAUAUCUUUUAUCUUUUUGGUUGAUCAAGAACCUCCGUAGAUUUCUCUAAGUUUGAGUUCUCCAUAAGACAUACGGGGUCUUGUGGUCUUUGAAUACAACAUUUGGAUCCACAAAUCCAAUCUCCUUGUCAUUUCUAACUCUGAGGUCCCUCAUCAUGUUUCUGCAUAUGUAUAGCGGGUUUCUGUAAUUAGUUAUAUAUAUAGAUGAUAAGUUACAGAGACAUUAUUGAAAGGAAGAAUCACUUACAGACAGAAGCAGCUCAUUAGAGAUUUGUCAAGAGCGUCCAUGUGACAUAGUUGGUGUAGCUCAUUAAAUUAAACAUAAAUAAUAUCAUCACCACGGAAGUAAUGAUAGUUUCUAAUUUGGAUACAAAGAUAGCCAUCUACUUUUCUGACACACGCUUCCAUGUACCAUUUGUUUAGCAUGUACAUUUGCGUUCCAAGCUUGCUGAGGGCCGCAGGGUUGUAUAAACUCUUGCCAUAUGUAUAUUCCUUCUGCCAAUGAUCAAUUUGUGGAGCACUUUCAAUUGGUGCCCCCGCUAUCAUUUCGGCUAAGCUAAGACCAGUUUUCGCAAAAAAAAUUCAAGCUCUUCAAAUUUUAAAUCUGUCGGUAUCUGCUGGUCUAGCACGUCAAUGUUUGAACCAUAUUAAUUUCCAAUGACUAGCGGGGGCACUGAUUGCUUUGAUUGUUCCCCGAGCUGUGCUACACCCUUGCGUGCUCUUUUCUCUUUCUUCUUCUCUUCUUCUAUGGAUUUUCUUAAAGUGCGAUCAUAGUCCGAUAAAGAUGAUGAUUCUUUCUGAGCUUCAUGCCUCUUUUUUUGUUCAGCCUCAACCAUUUGUCGUAGAUCUUCUGGCCGUAGUAAGAGGUAUGACUUCUCAGGUUUUGCUUGGCUUCUCUUUCAGUCUUAAGUUUCUUGAAGAAACUAUCCAUGUCUGAUUUUACUGAAGCAUUUAGUUCUGCAUCAGUCUUCUCAUAGGACAGCUUCUUAUGAAUGAUAGCUUGUUUCUUUUCGGAGGCUUUCUUUUUUGGUGGCGGGGCGGCCGACACAUUUGAUUGUGUGGCUGGCCUCUUCUUUCAUGCUGGAGCCACGUGUGGAGGCGAUGGGGCGGCCGGUGGCGGUGUUGGAGCCCGAGGAGGCGGCGUUGGAGCCCUAGGUGGCGUUGGAGCCCUAGGUGGCGGUGUUAGAGCCUGGGGUGGCGGUGUUGGGAGCCCGAGGUGGCGGUGUUGGAGCCCAUAGGUGGUGGCGUUGGAGACCGAGGCGAUGCAGCCGUGUCAUGCACUCCCUCAUCAUCACCUGCAGCACUAUGACAUGUAGGUGACCACCUGUGAAAACAAAAGGUAUAUGAGUAAACCAUUAACUAAGAUAAUGCAAAAUAAAUUUAGUGAACAAAUGUAUAGUCAAUUUUCAUCCGCAAAUAGGAUUAGAUUCAUGACGAGGAGGUGGUGGUAGACUAGUAGGUGAUGCCCUAGGAAUAAUGAUGUAGCGCUUGCGCCAACAAAUAAAAGUCUUCUUUGCUUCUCCUAGAGUCUUCUCUCCAUCACCUCCUUCAAUCUCAAGCUGCACAUUAGUGAAGCCUUUGACAACUCUAUCCACCGAGACACUAGCAUAUCCAGGUGGAACUAUCGCCCCAUGGAUUCUUCGUGUCCUCGUAGGGUCGACAGGAGUUACAACACUGACAGCAACCAUGACUGUGGCAGUCCCCUAUGGAAUGUGCAGCUCACGUGUUGUCAGAGGUUCAGUGAUGUCAUCCACCGGAAAGUGCAGCCCCACGUCGUCUUGAAUAGUUCGCAUCUCCGUGGAAGCGCAACUACUUUUCAACUGACCGGGGGGCUAAUGUUGACUCUAGGCUCUGAUGCUGUUUGCCCUUGUAUAUAGCUUACUGCAAUCUGCACUUGUCUUUUGAUCUCCUUGUUCAUUCUCUCUUCAAGCGCUUUCUCUCGCGCUAUCGCUUCACGAGCCGCUUCACGUGACUCAAUCACCAUUGCCACCAACCUAUGCAACCGCUCUGCUUCCUCUUCCUUCUUUCGUUGGCGGCUUCUAUAAGUCGGUCUAUCUUUAGGGAAGCCAUGCUCCCAUGAUACCUCCCCAUAGCCUCUGGUUCGCCCACCGUGUUCAGCAGUCUCCAGGGCGUAUGUCAGCUCAUCCUUUUCUCUAUUUGGCUGCCAUGUGCCGCUUUCAACUAAUCCUCUAGCAUAGGCCAUUCUCUGUCCUACUCUCUCAAGCUUUUCGCCGUACACUACCUUUCCGGUCUCUAGGUCUAUGGUUCCCCCGUGAUCAAAGAAUCAAUACUUGGCGCGCUCAGGCCAGUGCAUUGAUUCUGGUUCGAUCCCUCUCCCAAGAAUCUCUUGUUCCAGCUUUUGCCACUUAGGAAUAGCAGUCUUGUAGCCACCUGAACCCAAGUGAUGGUGGUAUUGCUUUUGUUUAGCAUUUUCUUGAUUCUUGAUCAUCCAUGCCUGACCCUCUUCUCAGUUCUUAAAAUCUACGAACUCAUCCCAAAAAGGCCUCAACUUGACGUUACGGCCUUGUUGGUGAAAUCUGGUGUGUGGCCUUGUGCAACAAAAGUCUUGUAUAAUGUCUUCUUCCAAGCCUGAAAUUGUUUGGCCAUCUUCUACAUAGCCCAGAUUUUAACCUUCUCCUUCAAAGCUUAAUCCUGUGUAUUGAGCGUGAAAUAUUGAAGGAUAUCUUGCCAAAUCAAUUUAUUGUCACGAUCUGAGACAAAACUAAUAUUAGGGUUCUCUUUCCGUUGCCUCCAUUCACGAGCACUGAUCGGGGGCCUGUCCCUUACAAGGUAGCCACAGUGCGCAACAAAUUUUUUAGAAUUAGCCCCAAGUACUUGUCCUCUACCGUCAUCGAAUUCCGACAGAAUGUACCGACCCUCCAACGGCUUCUUCGGGCCGCGCACUUUUCUACUCUUCUCAGAAGUUGUCGCCGAUUUAGAGGGCUACACAAACAAGUAUAAUUAUAUUAGUAUAAAUGUCAUUUAUUUUAAUUUCAUAUAUAUACAUAUAUACUAGAUUGUAGAUAGAUUGUCUUCUACAAGUUCUUCAUAAUCAGCAAAGUACUGACUCCCAUCAUCUUCGCCUUGGGGAUCUGGAUUGGCGCCGCUGUUGAUUAGGUCCAUUAUUGCAUCAUCCAUGUUGUCAUUCAGAUUGGCCAUUUCUGCAAAUAAAUCAAGUGUUAAAAGUUUUUGACGCGAUCAACAAAAAUUAUUUGGAUAGGCUAAACUUAGACAAUAUUCGAUUAUAUCAUAUAAAUUAUAAAUCUCAUCUCAAUAUCUAUCCCUACUAACUAAUUAGAACACAUCAUAAAUUUUAUGAUAUAAAUUAUAUAAUACAAAAGAUAAAUUAUAAAAUAGAAAUUAUACAUCUCAUCUCAAUAUCUAUCCCUACUAACUAACUACAACAUAGGAUAAAUUAUAUCAUAUAAAUUAUAUAAUACAAAAGAUAAAUUAUAAAAUAGAAAUUAUACAUCUCAUCUAAAUAUCUAUCCCUACUAACUAAUUACAACACAUGAUAAAUUAUAUUAUAUAAUUUAUAUAAUACAAAAGAUAAAUUAUAAAAUAGAAAUUAUACAUCUCAUCUCAAUAUCUAUCCCUACUAACUAAUUACAACAUAGGAUAAAUUAUAUCAUAUAAAUUAUAUAAUACAAAAGAUAAAUUAUAAAAUAGAAAUUAUACAUCUCAUCUCAAUAUGUAUCCCUACUAACUAAUUACAACAUAGGAUAAAUUAUAUCAUAUAAAUUAUAUAAUACAAAAGAUAAAUUAUAAAAUAGACAUUAUACAUCUCUUCGUCCAUUUUAUUAUUUUUGGCAAAAGACUUUAUGUAUAUCAAUUUUGGGAAUAUAUUAUUUUUGGCAAAAGACUUUAUGUAUAUCAAUUUUGGGAAUAUAUUAUAAAUAUAUAAUAUAAUAUACUCACUUCGUCCAUAAAAGAAUGCAAUUAUGUGAUUUGUGUCGAUGAAACUAAUUCAAAUUUAACCAAGUUAGUAGCAUUUAUUUCUCAAGCAAUUAUAUGAUUUGUGCCUUUAUCAUAACAAUUUGUAACUUCGCUUAACAAUAUUUAUCAAACAAACGAAAGUGCGACGAUUGUGCCUUUGAAUUGGGACUAAGUCCUUGUUUACUUCCCCAAAUAUUUUGGAAAAUAUUUCAAAUUCUCUAUCACAUCGAAUCUUGCGGCACAUGCAUAAAGUAUUAAAUAUAGGUAAAAAAUAACUAAUUACACAGUUUGUAUAUAUGUAAUUCGCAAGACGAAAAAAUAAACAUGCCACACUGUUCACACUGUUCAAAUUUUGCAUGUAUGAAAAAACAAACAAUUUGUAUAUAGGUAAAAAAUAACUAAUCACACUUUUCACAUUUUGUAUAAUUUUUUGCAAGUAAACAUGGCCAGGAACGACAAUAACUGCUCGGUGCCGGUCGGACAAGAUCGAAGCUCGCCGCGGCGCAAGGAGGGUCCUCGGCUCGGGCGAGCCGGGACGAGGGUCGGUGCAAGGAGCUCGGCGGUGGCGGCGCUCUGUACGUCCUCGGCUCGGGCCGUGGAGGAGGGUCGUCGGUGCCGCGCGUAGAAGAAGAAGGGUCCUCGGCUCGGGUCGUCGGAGCUCGACGCGGCGCUCCGUAUGGUCCUCAGCUCGGGCCGGGGACGAGGGGUGGCGGCGUUGGCGGCGGCGCUCCUGGGCUCGAGACGACGGCGACACUCGGCUGGGGACAAGGGUGUGAGGCGACUGCGGGGAGCGGCGCGCGGAGGAGUAAAACUAGGGCUCAGUCGAACUGGAUCGAGGAGGAAGACGUUUCUUAUAUACACGCGGGGACCUUUAGUCCCGGUUCCUGGCUAGAACCGGGACUAAAGGCCCCCGGUUCUAGCCAGGAACCGGGACUAAAUGUAUUUUUUAGUUUCUUAUUUAUUUAUGCAUACAAUAAUUAGAUUAAUGUUGUUAAUUGCAUAGUUAAUAGAAUAACAGGUAUUAAUUUGUUAAAAAAUAAUAGUUCCAUUUCUUUUUGUCUAAUUGCUUACAUAAUAAAUUUGGAAACAUAAAAUCUUUUCAUCACUUAUAUUAGCAAUCUUAAAUAUGAAAAAUAAUUAGUAUUUUGUUAAUGCAAAAAUGUAUUAUUUAAUUUUAAUAUCUUAAAGCAUAUGUUUUUGAUAGAAAAAUUUGUUUGUGCAAUAUUUAAAUGUAAAUUUUGUUUAUUUAUGAUCAUUUAUCUCCAAAAUCAUGACAUACGUGAUAUUCACCAUUACAUCGGAUUAUUUUUUUAAAAUUUUUCUCUAUUUCUUAUUUAUUUAUGCUUACAACAAUAUUCACCAUUACAUCGGAUUAUCUCUAACAACUUUGUAUUCAAAUUUUUUUCAUUUCAAGUCAUCAAAUGGGUCAUUUGACCAAGUUUGACCUAAGUCAAAGCAUUGGUUUAUAGAAACACACACUUUGACCAAACCCUAUAUGGUCCCAAAUAGAAAAGUAAUGAAUACAAAGUUUUUUGCACUCAUAAAGUUCUACAUUUUGUCUAAUGGUCGACAUUUCUUUUGGAAAAGUUUGAACCACUCAAUUUUGAAUUUUGAAAGAAUUCAUAGCCACGCAUCGGUUUUCGAAACCCUAUAUGGUCUCGAACGGAAAAGUUAUGAAUACCAAUAUUGUUUCACUCAUCAAAAUCUACAUUGAAUAUAUAGACCAUUUUUGCAUUUGACAAAGUGUUGCGAAGGUGUAGUUCAAAAUCCACAAUUGACACAUGCAGUUUCAUAUAGUUUGUGAAGAAAUGGUGGGUAUUGAGAACUUAAACUUUCUCAAAUGGAAAAAUUGUCUAUAUAAAAAGUUUAGAUCUUGAUGAUAUCUAACAACUUGGUAUUCAAAUUGUUUUCAUUUUAAGUAAUUUAGUUUGUCAUUUGACCAAGUUUGACCAAAACCCGUCUUGGAUUUUGAACAAAUGUGCUUAGGAUUGGCUAAAAUUUAUCCAAAUGGAAAAAUGGACAAUAUAUCAAAUGUAGAUCUUGAUGAUCUCUAACAACUUUGUAUUCAAAUUUUUUUCAUUUCAAGUCAUCAAAUGGGUCAUUUGACCAAGUUUGACCAAAGUCAAAGCGUUGGUUUUUAGAAACACACACUUUGACCGAAGUCAAAGCAUUGGUUUUUAGAAACACACACCAUUUCUGUGCCUUCCAUUUUAACAAUUCUAGUGUUGUACCCAAUUUUUUUGCCCAUCCUGGGCAGAUGCGUAUAGUAAUUUCUUGUGAUCUUCUAACAUGUGAUCAAACUUUGUCUUCUCUUUCGCAAUCUUUUUGUGCAUCACGAAUGACAUCACCAAGAGCAUCAUCUUCAACAUGUGCGCCUUCUGCACCUGCCUCAUCUCCAGCUUCUCCCAUUGCUGUAUCACCGAAGUCACCGUAUUGAGCAAUAAUGUCGUCAGGCUCCAACUGUUCUUCUUCACCUUCUUCCAUCAUUAUCCUGUUUUCUCCAUACUUGGUCCAACAAAUAUAGUUUGCCAUAAAACCCGACUUCAACAAAUGUGAGUGAAUAUUUCUAGAGCUAGAAUAUUCCUUCAAAUUCUGACACAAGGCACAUGGGCAACAUAUGAAUCCAUCCCGCUUGUUUUCCUCGGCCACUCUUAAGAAAUAAUGCACACCAUCAAUGAAUUCUUUGGAGCGGCGAUCGACAUUAUACAUCCAAUGACGUGUCAUUGUCUGCAUUGCAACGUAAAGUAUUAUAAGUUUUUAUUUUUUUAUAAAAAAUUAAAGUAACAAAUAACCUAAAAUUCUCUAUUUCUGUUUUUUCUAAACCAACAAAAUUGAAAAGACAUAAAAGUUCUCUAUUUUCUAACUAAUCAUGAAAUGUGGCAUGCAUACUAGUUAUAAUUAACUAAUUAACCAUGUCAUAAAGUGCAAAUUAAAGAAAUAUAAGUUUCUAAUUUUUAAUAGAGAAAUUAAAGUAACAAAAAACCUAAAAUUCUCUAUUUCUAAUUUUUCUAAACAACCAAAAUUAAAAAAAGCACAAAAGUUAUCUAUGUUUAUAACUAAUCAUGAAAUGUGGUAUGCAUACUAGUUAUAAUUAACUAAUUAACCUUGUCAUAAAUUGCAAAUUAAAGUAUUAUAAGUUUCUAAUUUUUAAUAGAGAAAUUAAAGUAACAAAAAUCCUAAAAUUCUCUAUUUCUAAUUUGUCUAAACAAGCAAAAUUAAAAAGCACAAAAAAUCUCUAUUUUCCUAAAUAAUCAUGAGAUGUGGUAUGCAUACUAGUUAUAAUUGAUUAACUAAAUCGGUCAAAAUUGCAAACUAAAGUAUUGUAUGUUUUUAAAUUUUUUUCUAAACUAAUUAAAAUAAAAAACAUAUUAUCACUAUUUCUCUAAAAAAACGCGUCGCUUUUGAAAUGGCGAUGAAGCUAAUAACCUCUUAAAAAACCAUAAAAUAAAAAACAAUAUACAUAACACUAGGAAAUGACAUAUGCCACUUCUAAAUGUUGAGAAGAUGAAACUAGUGACCUCUUAACAAGUGGAUGACGGUGUAGAAACGAUGAAAUGAAUCAAUAGCCGGAGAUGAGAGCAAGAACAAGCAACUGCAAAUGAAGAACACAGCUGUUGGGUUUUUAAACGCAAACAAAAAAAUCCGCAAGCGCACGGAUACCGAUGUAGCCUUCACCCGGGAGUAUUCCAGAGUAUCGAUUUUCCACAGGGAACGUGAGUGUACUAAUUAAGAAUCAAGAUCGCCCAAGGAUAACUAUAUAAUUAUUUUUGGUGGGAAGAGAGGAAGUUUCUCGAGAGUUCUCUAGUUGAUCUAAGAAUCAAGAAUUACUUCAAGAUUAUCUAUUUCGGGACAUCAGAACACUAACCACAGAAAGAGAUGAGAAGGGGGCUAGGAAGCUCUGACUACGGUCCUACAAACACCGAUCCGAACGAGGUGGAAUACAUCGACCGUUAGGGCUGUCACUACCCUAGGUCUACCACAACAAUCCGUAGGAUUGGGUGCAAUUCUAGGUAAUUGUAAGACUAAACACCACGUCUAAUCUAUUAAUUACUACUCUAGCGUUUCAAAGACUAGAGCACUUCAUGCAAGCUGGAAUCCAAUAAAUAACUUGAAUGUAAAUAAAAGUAAUUAAAGAACUCAGGAAUUAUGAAUUGAAGAACCUAGAGAACGAUGAAGAUCGAACCAGUUGCUGCAAAAGUACAAUGUUGAGGAUCAUGUGACAGAUCCGGCUCCUCUUCCUCCGCUCUCCUCUUCUCUCUCCCUAUUUUUUAGAUUACAACUAGAACUAACUAGAACUAGAACUAGAGGAACUAGAACUAGAACUAGAACUAGAGGAACUAGAACUAGAACUAGAUGAACUAGAGGUAGAACUAGAAGAACUAGAGGUACCCUCUCUACUUGGAUGAAGAAUUGAAACCUUAACUUUGAUUCUGUAGAAGAGGUAUGAUCUCCAGGGGCCAGGGGGCCUUGCUUAUAUAGUCUUUUCAGAUGAAUCUGUGCCGUCGGAUCAAACCGACAUUAAUCGCACGGUUUUCCUUAAUCCGUUAGGUCGGUGGAGCACGAUCCGCGAGUUUGGACGUGAUUGGGCAGAACUCCAGGGCGGACGCCCUCAGGACUUGGGUGGGCGCCCUGUCCCUGAGCCCUCUCGGCUUCCCGUUCGUUCCCGUGGCUUCUGGAGUCUUCUAGAUGGUAGAAAAUUGCGUGGCAUGUUAAUAUCUCUAUGUAAUCCUGACGUAUUUCCUGAUAACCCCCUGCAGAAAUAGGCAAACACCAAAACUCAUAGAAUUCUGUCAGAUAAAACCCUAAGUCUAGGUGUUGGUUGAAUUUGGAUCCUUUUCUAUGAUUAGUUGAUGGUUAAAUGUGAGCAUUAAGGACCGUCAACAAGCUCCCCCAAGCUUAACCUUUGCUAGUCCCUGAGCAAAGAUGAACUCAAGAGUUUCUUCAGGGGUUUCAUGUCUUAAAGGUACACAUGUGUUCAAACAAGAUCUCAUCUCUGGGUUAGGGUAAACUGUUAAGAUUUAAACUUACUCAUUUUACCUUCCACCAUGGGGCUUGCAACCGUCAUCUGUGUCUUGAGCAGUUAAAAAAUAGAACGAUCUAGUCAAGCGCCAUAUCUCUUGUUCUUUGAUUAACUAUAGCUCUUGAGUUUUUGUAGAUAUUCAAAUAAAACUCAGAGAUUCCUUGUAUGACUCUCUCUAGUCUCUCUUUUGUGGUAUUUCUGGAUCCUUACCAAGGCAGUAAUGGUGUAUGCCUUCUCUCAAGUAUGCGGUAUUUUUGGUAUGAGGCAUAGUGACAUUGCCUUCUCUGUCACCCUACUCUAAUAAGGCUUUUGAUAUCUGGAGCUCAUAGGUGGGACACAGCUAAUACAUCCUUACAAGACAUUUAUUGCAUAGUCAAACCAUGGAUCCAGAAAAACAAGUCAAUAAGUCAAAUCAAGAUAUGCAUGUGUGGCGAAUGAAUGGUGAAAACAAUGGUGAUGAUGGUGAUAACAAUGGUCAAAUUCUAAUUCUACGUUUGCUCUUUUCAGGGGAUACAUACCUUUCUUGCACUUUUUUUUUGAGGGGAAUGAGAUGCUCUAUAUUUUCUUCUCUCAGGUGGGUAUCUUGUACCCCUAAUUCUACUGUCGGACACUUGUCUAUUUUUACCUCUCGUCUCACUUUUUUCUUUUCUUUUGAGGUUCCGGGCACUUGCCCCUUUUUAUUUCCUGGUAUCUUCUUUUUCUCUUUUUUUAGAGCACUCACCUCUUGAAAUAAUAUAGCAAGUGGUAGUAACCAAGAUAACUUGAGCAUUUAUUUCAUAGGGGGAAAUAGAAAUGUUUUUGGCUAUUCUCUCCCGAAUUAGGAGUAGAAUACUUUUGGGUGAAUCUGGAGAUGGAAAUGGAUGGAUAUAUGUGGAUGUGUACUUUCGGAGUAGAAGCAGCAUGUGUCAGUGAACGUGCAAGUGAAUCUUGAUUUAACCACAUGACAAGCUCCUAAGAGUCUACACAGCUUGACCACACUCAAUGCUCAUAAGCAGUAAAAAGUAAAUGUGUGGCUCAAAGUUUAGCAAGCAUGUAUAUAUGGGUGUGGUAGGAAUUUAAACUCUCAUCAUACAGGAACUCAUCAUGCAACAUUUUAAAGAUAAAGAUAAAUUUCUACAGAAUUCUAGCAUCUCUAGGAAGAGAUAAACAACAGCUCAACCUUCCCAUAUCAUAUCCAUUAACAACUUAGACUUUAGAUCAAGUUUCCCACAAGUUCAGGUUUAGAGCAGGUUUAAAUUAUAACAAUUAUGCCUAAACUUGAGAGAGAGCUCAAACUUGAAAACUAGGUACAUGGCAGCACAACAAUUUAUUAUAUCCAUGUAAGAGUUUAUCAUGUGGGUUCAUAGCAAACUUUAUUUAUUUAUUUAGCAAACUAAGCAGAAGCACAGAAAAUUUUAUUUGGGUUUUCAUGAUUAUGCAUCUUUUUAUUAUUUGAGUAAAGUAUAAACACGAGUAGAAACACUUAGCUGGAUAAAUGGGGGUGCUCUCCCCAAGCUGGAUUUUGACGUAAUUUCUUCUGAUGUAGCUAGCAGGUGGCGGAGGUGUAUUUGAAUGUCGGCAACACCCUGACAGUGAGUAGGAUGUCCUCCGUCUGCUAGUCUUCUUUGAUCCUUGAAUUCUGUGGAGCUCAAAUAGACAACAAAGCAUUGUGGAACUGAUUGAGUGUUAGCAUAAAAUCUCUUAGCCGUUAUCAUGUUGAACUUCCUCUACUAAAUAUUACUCUCUUUGGUAGGAUCAUAAAUUUAUUUUUAUAUUUUCAUUUUUAUAGGAUAGGAAUAUAUUUAUUUUAUUUUUACGCCACCACAGUGAAUGUACUUAUGGGUUUUAUGCCAUGAGCAUACUCACAUGGGGCUUACUAUUUUUAACAUUUUUAUUUUUUUUCAAGAUGAUAUUAACCUGAUUAACUAAGCAAACUAUUUUAAAUAAUUGAAAGGAAAAAGAUAACUACCAAGUUUACCUCUUGGCAAGGCGUUCGGUGUUUUUACGUCCUCCGAACGGGACUCCGUUUUCUCAUUCGUCCUGGGAUUCGCUGGAUGGCGUAGUCGCUGGUUCCGGCGGUGCCUCCUCUUCGUGUAUAACUAUAUUCUCUUUCAUAGUCUGCCCAUCCGUCCUUGAUGAUUUGCCUCCUCUAGUUACGGUUGCGUCGUCUUCUUCUUGUCCUAACCUUCUUAGAGUCUUCAACUAUAUAGUUAGGGUCAGUAAAAUAGCAGCGUACCUUCUCAGAGGGGAAGUGCAUGUGGAAUUCUCUGGUUCCAAUGUAGAUGAUUGCUUUAACGGUGCUGAGGAACGGUCUCCCAAGGAUGAUGGGUGGACCGUACUCGUCUUCUCCCAUGUCAAUAACCUGAAAAUCUGUAUGGACAAAAUGAUCGUCUAUUUUGAUAGGGACAUCAAUUACUAUACCUUCAACCUUUUAGAAUGUCUGAUCUGCCAUCUGGAGCUGAAUGUAUGUCGGUUUUAGGGGCAUGGUUCCGAACGGGAGUUGAUAGGUGACUGCGGCCAUUAUGUUGACGCCUGAUACGGUGUCGCAAAGCGUCUUCUGCAAGUUGUAUCCAUUAAUGGAGCACUGGAUGCUUGGCAUACUUGGGUCAUCCUUUUUGGUCAGGAAUGGUGACUUAAGUCGACGAUGUUGACCUCCUUGAACUGCAGUGACUAUCUUAGCUGACUUGGUCCACAUUUGCUUGUUCCCAUUCCUCCUGUUGGUCCUCUUUCUUGGUUCAUGUCGGGAUUUCUGUGAGAUUUGUGUAGUCUUGUUCUUGAAGGAAAACGUCUCCUUCCGCCCCUUGAUGUAGAAAGUGAUCUUGGUAGCACUAGCGUGGAUGACAGCUCCCAAGGUGUUCAGGAAUGGCCUCCCUAAGAUGACGGGUGCCCUCUCGUGAGAACCGGUCUCUAUCACAACGAAGACUGCUGGGCGUACAAGGUACCAACUCGGACGCAGAGGUUCUUCAAUAUUCCCUUUGGGAAACGUAGCGUACGAUCUGCAUGCUGCAAACACAUGGCUGUUUCUAAUACAGGAUGUGUAAAGAAUUUUUCAUUGAGUACCCUGGGCAUAAUGUUGACGCUGGAGCCAAAGUCGUAGAGUGCUUCUGGGAAGUCCACCAUGCCGAUGGAGAUCAAGAUGACGGGGCGUCCUGGACCGCCUCUCUUAACCGGCAGAAGGUCAGUAAUUACUUCCACAGCAGGGUUACUCCAGAAGUUAUGUCAUUAAGCAUCUCAGGGCAGUGAUUGCCUAAGUGUCCAGUAUCUCCAAUGUGUUUGAGCUCGUAGAUCUAGGUUCUUCACUUGGAGGAGUCUGGGAGUUGUAAAAGUCCUUCAUAUUUUGCUCGAAGUGUACCUGCUCAUAGAGACAAGGCAGAGAUCAAGUGCAUGGGCCCUGUUGGUGGAAAACACCAACAGAACCAAAAGUGUAUUUGUUCUUCUCUAACCUUAAGCAUAGUGAGCAAGACAAAGUUGAUGGAUAAUAAGAUCAUGAGUGUAAGAUUUAAAACAUUUGUCAGAUCAGAUCACUCAACCUUAUGGAAAGAUAAUCUAUCUAAGUAAAUGUUUUUUCUUUACAUGACUCUCAUUUUCCAAAGAUUGAGUGUGCAAUAUUUUAGUUCAUAUGAUUAGGAGUGUGGGAUCACAAAGGUGGAAGGACUAGACAUAUUGAAUCGACUGGGUUGGUUAUCUAGAGUUGUAAAUCAUACAUUUUUGUCUCUUUUGUUCAUGUGAACGCCAGAACCAAGGAGAAGCUUAUAAAAGUGAUAGUCAAGUACCUUAAGAUGUUACCUUACUUGAAGAGUGAUGGUACAAUAUCACCUUAUGGAAGCAUUCCCUUCUUAGCGGUUGUGCAUCGUGUUUGUGGGACCCUCCAUAGAUCAUCUCUUGUGAGCUAUGUCUUCCUUGUGUAAAUUGUUAAAUUUCAUGUGUCUCUCUCUUUGUCUCCAAUGUGAGUUUAUCUCAGGACCUCCCAGGUUGAUAUUGAAAGUUUUCCUGCAGGGGUUAGUCCAACAAAAUAUCCAAUAUCUACUAUAGCAUACUAUCGGCUAAAAAAUCAACCUAGACACCUUGUCUAAUUUUACUUAGGAGGGUGUUGACACUAGCUAACACCACUUAGAUACUAGGUUGUCAUCCCCAGCAUGGUGCCAGAGUGUACAAAGGUAUUUAUAAAUGUAAAGGCUCUCUAGAAAAUAAUCUAUUCUAUCCGCAUGUGCACAGAUUAAACACCUCAUUGUAGCAUUUCACCAGGAUAAGUAUUCCAGGUAUCGUUAUUUAUAAUAUUGCUCGAGAAAAUUAAGGAGAUGAAAUUAAGGGCAAAAUCUAUCAAUGCAUAGACUAGAGAUAAACUUGCAAGGACAUGAUUACUAAUGAGAAACUCGUCACAUAGUCACUUACUUUAGCAGGGGGUAAACCAUAAAGAUAAUGAUAAUGAAUUAUAAGUUCAUGGGUAAAUAACACAGCGAUUAGAAAAUAGACUACUCCUCAUAUAUCAAGGUGAUGUCGGAUUAGCUAGAGAAUGGAUUCUAAGUUAUCUACUAACUACUAAGUCAUAAUCUAGUCUAGUUAUCUACAAGAUCAUAUAUAGCAUAAAAGACUCUUCAUUCAUGUAUAAGGAACAUUGAUAAAGUAAAUCAGAGCAUCGCAUGAAUUACUCCACAAUACCGGUUCUGCCUGUCCUAUCAACGGAGGGUGGACUAUAUAAGAAUCAACGAAGCUGUCACUAUCGCGAACUACCACACAACCCGGCCAAUAGGAUACAUUUGCAGAUAAAUAACAUCUAAGCACCACGCUCACAUGUGAUCUAUCACCUAACUCCCUCGCGUCAAGAGCUAAGCGCUUUGCAAACUUAUACAUAAACUCAUUAUCAAUUAGAACUAUAUCAAAUAUAGAACUAGAGCAAACUAACAACAUAAUAAUUAGAGACAUAAUGCAAUUAGAACAAUAGAAUUAGAGAAAGAUAUGAAUAAUACCAAUCUUUAUUACCGAAGAUCCGAAUCCAGAGCGUAGUGCUCUACUUCUCUAAUUGCUAUCUAAUCAAAUCUCUAAACUUGAAGGAUUAGGGAGUAGCUAAUUCUAAUUCUCUGUGGGAGAGAAGCUCUAAACCCUAACUUUGAUGGCUACCUCUGAAUAAUGAUUUCUUCUCUCCUCCUCCAGGGGCUAGGGGGUCUGGUUUUAUAGUCCCCUCAAGUGAACGUGAGCCAUUGGAUCAAACCGACAUAGAUUGUAUGGUUUAGAUUGAUCCUUUAGGUCGGUGGAGUUUUGCCCUGAAGCAGAGUCCUGAUUGGACUCCUGGCCUGGGCGGGCGCCCAAGGGGGGUGGGCGGGCGCCCUGCCACCGAGCCCGAUUCCCUUCUCAUUCGUUCCCGUGGCUUCUGGAGUCUUCUAGAUUGAAGAAAAUUGUGUGGCACAUAAUUAUCUCGUUGUAAACAUGACUUGUGGGCCUUCUAUCCAUAUUCUCUAAUAAACCCCUGCAGAAAUAGAUAAACACCAAAGCUCGUGGAAUUCUGUCAGAUAAAACCCUAAUUCUAGAUGUUUGUUCCAUAUUGAUCCUUUUUCAUGUUUAUUUGAUUAUUAAUUUUAGUACUUAAGGACCGUCAACAAACUCCCCCAAGCUUACCCUUUGCUCGUCUCUGAGCAAACAGCUAAACUCAGAUGGAUCAGGAGUUGCUUCGAUGUUUUCUUUCCUGGCAGGCACACAUGCUUUUACAUAAAAUUCUUCUAUAUUAGAGUUAAGUGUUAUGGAGUUUAGUACCUGCACUUAAAUCUUAAGUAAUCGAAAGAAAAAAUAAUUAAGUCAAGCACUAUUUCUCGUGUCUAUACUUCACCUUUGUUCCAGAGUUUUUUUAUAAGUUUUCAAAAUAAAACUCAGAGUUCCCAGCAAUGAUCUCUCAAGUCUCUCUAUAUGUGAUAUUUGUGGAUCCUUACCAUAAUGUCACUUACCUAUAGCUAAUGGAAUAUUUAAGUGGAGCUCAUAGGAGUGAAAACAGCUCAUACAUAUGUUGUCUAAUCGAGCUAUGGAUCCAAAGGAACUCAGCAUAUAAUUAAAUCAAGAUGUGCAUGUGUGGGGGAGUAAAUGAUAGUGAUGGUGAAGAUAUAUAUAAAACUUACUUCUCAUUGCUCCUCAUAUUGCUAUCUCUUCUCUUCUUUGAUCUUUGCUUUGGGAGAACAUGGGCUAUCUCUCUUUUUUUUUCAGGUGGGUAGUAGAUACCCCUAAUUCUACUCUCGGACACUUGUCCAUUUUUUCCGCUCAAGUGGGCGUCUUUGUACCCCUAAUUCUACUGUUGGACACUUGUCCAUUUUUACCUCUCGUCUCACUCUUUUCCUUUCUUUUCCGAGGUUCCGGGCACUUGCCCCUUUUUAUUUCCUCGCAUAUUUUUGCAUAACCCAUGCCUCUUCUGCAUUGAAUCUUUUUAGAGAGAGAGAAUAACAAUAUUUGGGACAGUGAGUGAUAAUAUUUUUAGCAAUUUUAAUGAAUAGUGAUGAAUGCUGUAGUGGAUGUGUGCAAGUGAAUAUCUUAAUUUAACCACAUGAAAAGCUCCUAAUGGUCUACACAGCUCGAUCAAACUCAAUGCAAAUAUAGAAAAAGAUGUUAUAGCAAGUAUGGCUGCGGUAGGUAGUUUGUUAUGCUAGGAACUCAUCAUGUGAUUUGUAAGUUUUCAAAAUAAAUCUCUAGAACUUAGUGUAGUAGGAACAAGAUAAACAGUAGCUCAACUUUAUAUUAUGCCUUUCUCUUACCUAGACUUUAGUUUUAUGCUUCCCAAAGAUAGUAAUUUUAGAUCUAGUAAUUCCUAGAAGAACUCUAAUAUAAAAGCUAGGUACUUGAAAGUAAGCAAACAGAGCAACUGUUCAUCAUUUCCAUCAUGCAUUUCUAGUAAGUGAAGAUUAAAGGCUAGACGAGUGAUAAGUGAAGUGCAUCCUACUGGUCCCUGAACACUAGGUAUGCUAAGACAAUGAGAAACUAAUAGUGUAAUAGGUGAAGUGGGUACUUUAUUAAUAGCAGCAUAUAAAAGUUGUAAAUCUCCUACUCUUACUUUUCUAAUAUCAUCACGAUAGAAAAGAUUGUACCCAAGCCAUUUGUGGAACAUACUAAGAGUGGGGUGUUCAUGUCACUGGUUCAGGCCUGACUAUAAAAAUUAUCUCUAGAUAUCUCUCUCCAAAACUGGUGUCUCUCAAAAUUGGGUAAAUCGGAGUCAAUGUUCAGGAUGCAUCUUGAAGAGAAACCAAGAUGGUCGCUCAGCUCUCUCCAAGACAACAUGAUCUCCUUUUGAACAUCCGAAAAACAAUCCCCCCUCAUAAUAUUGUAAGGUGCAAAGAAAUUCGAGGGUGAGAAGACGAGAACCCAGCUUAGUUAUAUUCCAAAAAUUUGUCCAACCUAUCAUCUGGAAAAUUAAGUCGAAUUCAGUGUCCAUACCUGUUUCAUGUAGUGAGAUUGGAUCAGGAGUAGGGGUGUGAAUGAAAUCUUUGUUCUUCAGUUGCUGAUAUACUUCUUUCUCCCUUCAGGUCUUCAGUCCAAGGUCUCCUAUCUUGAGAAGGACCUUGACUUGCUGACCUGAUGAAUAUGACAGAGCUUGUGUGGGUGUCGGGUCGACGCUCAUCUCUGAUGGGUGUGAGGAGUGUCGAGAUGAACUCCUUGUACCAAUGUUCUUGAGAGCCUUCCCUGCAUUCUUCACCUUCUUAAACAUCCUAUAAACAAAAGUUGGCAAAAACACAACUAGUGGAAAAUGUGAGAGAAAAUGUUAGUGGUCAGCAGUCCGGAAUGUCAGUAGUCCUGGGGUUAGUCGUUCAAGAUAAGUUUCUAUUUUAGCAAAACCUCCCCCUAAACAACUUUUACUUCCGCUUAGAUAGCGGGAUCACUACUUGCUAGGUGAUACUUACUCUCUAUCAACUUCUUUCCCACUCUUCUCUCUUUCUCCACUCUCUUCUCUCUCCACUACAAGAGCUCUUUCUGGAAACUGAUACUUGUGUGGUUUUCUGGAGUGCUUGUGUGGAGAGGAUGGAGGUAGAAUGUGGCUAUUUAUAGGAGGAAGAGGGAGCAGGGCGGGCGCCCUUGGUAGGUGGGUGGGCGCCCACUCCUGGUGUCCAUCCUGGGUGUGCCUCCUCCAGUUGCUUCCUUGCUUUGAUCUCACGCAGAAUAAUGUUGUGUGGUGGUGGUUGGACGGUGGAAAGUUGUCUGGUGAGUGGAAACAUAUUGGUGGAUGAAAUUAUGUGAUGGGAUGUAUGUGAGGUGUGGUGUAUGACAUGUGUAACCCAAGGAGUGUGGGUCAUGUUUAGGUUACUAUCAUUAAAUAUAAUGCAGGAAAAUCUAUGAUAAAUGAAACUUAAUUUAAAAUAAUAAUGGAAAAUAUUUUUGUGCCUUCACAAUAAUUAAUAGAUAUGGGUUGUUACACACCAUAAAUAUUAUUUAUAUGGGGCUUUUCAUUAUAAUAAUGCUAUGAAUUAAUAUGACUUAAUGCAAGAUUUAAUUAUGCAAGAAUUUAAAUAUGAGAAAAUUAAUAAUGCGGAUAAAUACCGAUUUAAGGUCCCCCAAGCUGGACCUCCAAAUCUUUUAAUCUUCUGAAUUACCUUCCUCCGGAGAAGGUGUCUCCAGUGGUUCUUCAUGAACUUCCUUCACUGUAGGGUCUCUCUCUGGUCUGGGUUUGAAUGUGAAAUGUUCUUCUUGUCCAUUUAUGUUGAACUUGAUUUCUCCUUUCCCGACAUCAAUGUGGGCAUUGGCAGUGCUCAGAAAUGGCCUUCCAAGGAUGAUGGACACUUUUGAGUCAGGACUCAUGUCCUCUACUACAAAGUCUACUGGCACCAGGAAAUCUCUGAUCUUGACUGGAAUGUUCUCGGCGAUACCCAACGGAUGUCGAACCGAUUGAUCCGCUAGUUGCAGGCACAUCAAUGUUGGUUCUAGGGUCGCAUGCUCAAGCUUCUUGUAGACUGAUGCUGGCAUCACACUGACACUUGCUCCGAGAUCCCAAAGUGCAUUGUUGAAGUGUUGGUUUCCGAUCGAGCAGUCAAUAGUGGGACAUCCGGGAUCUUCCUUCUUCUUUGGUGGUUUAUUGAGGAUGGCCGCACUACAUUCUUCUGUCAGCUUGAUAACCUCAGUGGUGGGCAGUGGUCUCUUCUUGUUAAGAAUAUCUCUGAUGUACUUUGCAUAUGUAGGUACCUGUAUGGCAUCCAGCAGAGGUAUGUUGACAUAUAAUUUCUGAAUGACCUCUACAAACUUACCAAAAUGCUCAUCCGACUGCAGUCCUCUGUUUCUUCUGGGAAAUGGUAAAUAGUUCGUGUCGUAAAAAUCUUUCCUCAUUUCUCUAGUUCUUGGUGGUUGGGGCAGAUCUUCUGCUUCAACUGGGCUUUCUUCUUCUAUCAUUGCUGGUUGUACUGGUGCUGAUGUUCUUUGUUUCUCUUUUGGGUAUGGAGGAUCUCUGGUGGCUUUGCCUCCUCUAGUAGUUAUAUUCUUUACCUGCUCAAUGUUAGUAGCAACAGGCAGUGCAGCAGCUAACUUUAUUAAUUUAAGCUCUACCCUUUUAUUAAGAGUGUUUUGCUCAUCAAAGGCAGUUAAUAGAAAAUUCAUUUUAUUAUGUAUAUCUUUUAGAGAUGAUUCAUUUGUAUCUAGCGUUUGUUUAACUUUAUCAUUAAUUUUGGUUUGUUGAGCAAUUAUUUCUUUUAAUGAAAGUUGCUUAAAAGUAUUACCUGAAUUCAUACCUUUGCUAUUGGGUUGACUCGAAGUUGGUUGAUAUUUAUAUGCUGUCUUGAUGUCCCUUUGAUCUUCUUUAAACUUGGCCCUCUGGUCAAUCCAAUGGAGCAAAUUUUCCAUCUUAGUUGAUAAUGCAUUUACUUCUUCUAGUAUUUCUUCAGUUUGAUGACAUUGUUGAGCUUUAUCUUGGAACCAGCUUUGGAUUUCUGCUAUCUUAUCCAAAAGUAUCUCUGCUUUUCCAGUUGUAAGCUCCAAGAAUGAUCCUUUAGCAGAUGCAUCUAGGCACUCACGAGCCUUCUAGGUUAAUCCAUGGUAGAAGGUCUGCAUAAGUAACCAUGUGGACAAUCUGAUAUGUAUCCUUGAAAACGCUCCCAUGCUUCUGAAAUGGCUUCUGUCUUCUGUUGUUGGAAACUGACAAUAUUUCCUCUUAAGGCAGUUGUUUUGCCUAUAGGGAAAAACUUUGAUAGAAAGGCAUCUGACAAGUUCGUCCAGUUGUUGAUGUUAUCUUGAUGAGUGUAGAACCACUUCCUCGCUUUCCCUUCUAGUGAGAAUGGAAAAAGGUGAAGCAGUAUGACAUCUUUGUGAACUCCGUUGAUGUGGAUUGUGCUUCCAAUCUCUAAGAAAUUCGGCAAGUGUGCACUAGCAUCUUCAUGUGCCUUUCCACUGAAUUGUGUAGCUUACACCAAAUUGAUGAGGCUUGACUUGAGCUCAAACUCGGGUACUCCUUCUUCUACUGCAAAUCUUGGACCAAUUGGAAUGUUCUCAAGACUUGGAGCAGAGAAUUCUUGCAAGGUCUUCUGUGCCAUAGCUUCAGCAAUUGGUAGCUAGCUUCUUCUUCUCUUGAUUGCUUUGGUUCUGAUGAUGAAGAGUUGAAUGUACCCAAAGUCAAUUCUGAUAUACCCUGUAUAAAAAUAUAAACAUAGAAAAACAACAGGGUGAACCUGCCAAAGCAGAGGUGCCUUGUUAUGAUUUCUCACUUAGUAUGUGUUUUUAUGCAAUUAUUUCUCUGUAUAAAAAUAUAAACAUAGAAAAACAACAGGGUGAACCUGCCAAAGCAGAGGUGCCUUGUUAUGAUUUCUCACUUAGUAGGUGUUUUUAUGCAAUUAUUUCUCUAUAGUCUAGUCUAAUAUUUUAUAUGAAUAACCUUGACUGAUUUUCUGGCUUUCCUUACCGUUCCUAAGUGUUAUCCUUUUGCUUCCCCUUAUGACUUACACAUGAGACUCCCCGGCAACGGCGCCAGAAAUGCUUGUUGACACUAGCUAACACCACUUAGAUACUAGGUUGUCAUCCACAACAUGGUGCCAGAGUGUACAAAGGUAUUUAUAAAUGUAAAGGCUCUCUAGAAAAUAAUCUAUUCUAUCCGCAAGCGCACAGAUAAAACACCUCAUUGUAGCAUUUCACCAGGAUAAGUAUUCCAGGUAUCGUUGUUUAUAAUUUUGCUCGAGAAAAUUAAGGAGAUGAAAUUAAGGGCAAAAUCUAUCAAGGCGUAGACUAGAGAUAAACUUGCAAGAACAUGAUUACUAAUGGGAAACUCAUCACACAGUCACUUACUUUAGCAGGGGGUAAACCAUAAAGAUAAUGAUAAUGAAUUAUAAGUUCAUGGGUAAAUAACACAGCGAUUAGAAAAUAGACUACUCCUCAUAUAUGUAGGUGAUGUCGGAUUAGCUAGAGAAUGGAUUCUAAGUUAUCUACUAACUACUAAGUCAUAAUCUACUCUAGUUAUCUACAAGAUCAUAUAUAGCAUAAAAGACUCUUCAUUCAUGUAUAAGGAACAUUGAUAAAGUAAAUCAGAGCAUCGCAUGACUUACUACACAAUACCGGUUCUGCCUAUCCUAUCAACGGAGGGUGGACUAUAUAAGAAUCAACGAAGCUGUCACUAUCACGAACUACCACACGACCUGGCCAAUAGGAUACAUUUGCAGAUAAAUAACAUCUAAGCACCACGCUCACAUGUGAUCUAUCACCUAACUCCCUCGCGUCAAGAGCUAAGCGCUUUGCAAACUUAUACAUAAACUCAUUAUCAAUUAGAACUAUAUCAAAUAUAGAACUAGAGCAAACUAAGAACAUAAUGAUUAGAGACAUAAUGCAAUUAGAACAAUAGAAUUAGAGAAAGAUAUGAAUAAUACCAAUCUUUAUUACCGAAGAUCCGAAUCUAGAGCGUAGUGCUCUACUUGUCUAAUUGCUAUUUAAUCAAACCUCUAAACUUGAAGGAUUAGGGAGUAGCUAAUUCUAAUUCUCUGUGGGAGAGAAGCUCUAAACCCUAACUUUGAUGGCUACCUCUAAAUAAUGAUUUCUUCUCUCCUCCUCCAGGGGCUAGGGGGUCUGGUUUUAUAGUCCCCUCAAGUGAACGUGAGCCAUUGGAUCAAACCGACAUAGAUUGUCUGGUCUAGAUUGAUCCUUUAGGUCGGUGGAGUUUUGCCCCGAAGCAGAGUCUUGAUUGGACUCCUGGCCUGGGCGGGCGCCCAAGGGGGGUGGGCGGGCGCCCUGCCCCCGAGCCCGAUUCCCUUCUCGUUCGUUCCCGUGGCUUCUGGAGUCUUCUAGAUUGAAGAAAAUUGUGCGGCAUGUAAUUAUCUCGUUGUAAACAUGACAUGUGGGCCUUCUCUCCAUAUUCUCUGAUAACCCCCUGCAGAAAUAGAUAAACACCAAAGCUCGUGGAAUUUUGUCAGAUAAAACCCUAAUUCUAGAUGUUUGUUCCAUAUUGAUCCUUUUUAAUGUUUAUUUGAUUAUUAAUUUUAGUACUUAAGGACCGUCAACAGAGGGCAUCUUAACCUAAGCAUCAUGCUUAAUUUAAAAUCCUUUGGAAGUAAGAUCAUCAUUCCUAAACUAAGCACCAUGCUUAAUUAUGAGAUAAAUGAAACUACUCCAAACCUAGACAUAUACUAAAGCAAAUAAAGGUAGUAUGAGAGCAUUUAUAGAAAUCUACUCAAGUGGAGAUGAAGUAGUGUGAUUAGUAUUUAACAAAUUGAGCAUGUCUCAAAGGUAGGGACAACCAACAUAGCAACAUGGCAAAUGAUGUUUUUAUGUAAAGUAAUUCCCCAAGCUUGAAUUUUGCAAAAUUCAAGUUUGGAUGAAUUUAAUUCAAUGUUGUAUGAUGAUUGGUUGGACAUACCUUGUGCUUGUCAUUCAUCUGAUCUUCUUGCUCCAAUCCUGGAAAGGUUAGUGACAAGAAUACCCGAAGGAAUAUUUUACAAUUAUCCUUAUAUGCUCAACACACAAGGUAAUGUUGCAAAUAAUUAAAAGCUCAUGUUACAAUCUGAUCAGUGCUUGUUUUAGGACACUAAGCUUGUCCUUCGGAAACCAUCAAUUUAUGUCGGUGAAGUGGUUUCCCCUCCAACGCUGACCUAUAUCAAGAUCAACUCAACGAGAUCUGCAAUAUUUAAUAUAGACAUAUGCAUCGACAACCGCCCUUUUAAAGUUUUUAUAAAUAGCAAGGAUGAGGGGGGUGGAGAUCUCGAAUGUGAUGAUGUUGGAAAAACCAAUGGAUUGGGAAGAUGUUGCAUAUGAGCAUGGAGUAAAUGAAGUGGCUAUGAAAUAAAUUCCAUGCUCGUUAAUGCUUAGAGUGAAAUCCAUAUGGUAUGGUGAAAAUGAUAAGGUGAUUGUGGUAAAAAAAGGAAAAGAAAAAGGAUACACGGACGACUUGGUUCGAAACUAGCACAGCUACCGUUCCCCGGCAACGGCGCCAGAAAGCUUGUUGGGUAUUUUAAACACAAACAGAAAAAUCCGCAAGCAUACAGAUACCGAUGUAGCCUUCACCCGGGAGUAUUCCAGAGUAUCAAUUUUCCACAGGGAACGUGAGUGUACUAAUUAAGAAUCAAGAUCGCCCAAGGAUAACUAUAUAAUUAUUUUUGGUGGGAAGAGUGGAAGUUUCCUAAGAGUUCUCUAGUUGAUCUAAGAAUCAAUAAUUACUUCAAGAUUAUCUAUUUUGUGACAUCAAAACACUAACCACAGAAAGAGAUGAGAAGGGGGCUAGGAAUCUCUGACUACGGUCCUACAAACAACGAUCCGAACGAGGUGGAAUACGUCGACCGUUAGGGCUGUCACUACCCUAGGGCUACCACAACAAUCCACACGAUUGGGUGCAAUUCCAAGUAAUUGGAAAACUAAACACCACGUCUAAUCUAUUAAUUAAUACUCUAGCGUUUCAAAGACUAGAGCACUUGAUGCAAGCAGGAAUCCAAUAAAUAACUUGAAUGUAAAUAAAAGUAAUUAAAGAACUCAGGAAUUAUGAAUUGAAGAACCUGGAGAACGAUGAAGGACAAACCAGUUGCUGCAAAAGUACAAUGUUGAGGAAGAUCCGACAGAUCCGGCUCCUCUUCCUCCGCUCUCCUCUUCUCUCUCCCUAUUUUCUAGACUACAACUAGAACUAACUAGAACUAGAACUAGAGGAACUAGAACUAGAACUAGAUGAACUAGAGGUAGAACUAGAAGAACUAGAGGGAUCCUCUAUACUUGGAUGAAGAAUUGAAACCCUAACUUUGAUUCUGUAGAAGAGGUAUGAUCUCCAGGGGCCAGGGGGCCUUGCUUAUAUAGUCUUUUCAGAUGAAUCUGGGCCGUCGGAUCAAACUAACAUUAAUCGCACGGUUUUCCUUGAUCCUUUAGGUCGGUGGAGCAUGAUCCGCGAGUUUGGACCUGAUUGGGGAGAACUCCAGGGCGGGCGCCCUCGGGACUUGGGUGGGCGCCCUGUCCCUGAGCCCUCUCGGCUUCCCGUUCGUUCCCGUAGCUUCUGGAGUCUUCUAGAUGGUAGAAAAUUCCGUGGCACGUUAAUAUCUCUAUGUAAUCCCGACGUGUGAGCCUUUCCUCCAUAUUUCCUGAUAACCCCCUGCAGAAAUAGACAAACACCAAAACUCAUGGAAUUCUGUCAGAUAAAACCCUAAGUCUAGGUGUUGGUUGAAUUUGGAUCCUUUUCUAUGAUUAGUUGACGGUUAAAUGUGAGCAUUAAGGACCGUCAACAACAACGAAGGAGUGAAGAUUGAUGGGCUCGGCCAGGGGAAGAAGAGUUCAAAUAUGGGGAGGGACAUUUAGUCCCGGUUCCUUUUAAAAACCGGGUCUAAAUUCCAACACUAGUCCCGGCCGGUGGGUCGGACCGGGACAACAGCUUUUAAUCCCGGUUGGUGGUACCAACCGGGACUAAAUAUGUUUUUGUCCCGGUUGGUGAGACCAACCGGGGCUAAAGGUCCCCAUAGCCGAUGUCUGACACAAUACCCGUUGGGCAGGGGACUUUUAGUCCCGGUUGGUCUCACCAACCGGGACUAAAUAUGUUUUUGUCCCGGACGCUGUUUGGGCCGAGAUUAUUGUUCAUUUUGGGCAAGUGACCAAAGGCCUGUUUCUGUAGUAGUGUACAUUUACAAGGACCCUAUGUGUAUGACCCACACUGGUUUGGUCAUGGAAGGGAGGAAGACAGAGUUGGUGGAAAGUUCACUUACAAUGCGUUCAGUGGUGGAAGACAUGCUUGCCCGUGGGAAGCUUAUGCCUAUAUGCAAGUGAAGGUGAUAUGGAGCCAUUUGCUAAGGAACUUUGAGCUCAAGUUGGUGUCAUCAUUCCCCGAGACAAAUUGGCUAAAGCUUUCCCCACAACCUAGAGGGAAAGUGGAGGUCAGUUACAAAAGGCGGAUGCUAUCUAGGAGCAUCUUGGAAAACUUAUGAUUACUUUUGUAUGAAAUGUUUUAUAUGUGCAUGCUUGUGUAAUAAACAAGUUUGUAUGCCCACA